GGCUUUUGGGUACCCAAAAUCAGCCCUUUAUAUACUGUUGACGAGGCUCCUCUACCAAGCUCUUCCUUGAAAUUAUUAGUCAUCUCUUCUAGCUCUUCAUAAGCAUAUCGUCGCGGAGCCACACUCUCAUUCAAUUCAAGGUCACCAUUCACAGCACUCAUUCUUUUAUAUGCCCAGACAUUGUGUUUCCACAACACAAUCACGGAAAUCAACAACAAAAUGGAUCCAAAAGCAGUAAAUGAAAGACCAAUAAUCAGGAUGUCAGUUCUACCUUUUUUCUUGCUUCCUGGUUGAACGAUUCUAGGAUCUGUAUGUGGUUUUGUAGGUACACCUACCUUGAUGAGAGCUCUGUCUGAAGUUCCAGUGUUUCUUCUACCAUAUCUCAAAGGAAGCCUCUGCUUUCUGCAGUUUGUACCGUCAAAAAGCGCAGCUUCACAGUUACAAUCCUCCAGACAGACUUGUAUGCAAUCGUCUUUGUCGGAUAAUCUCAAACUCAUAUACGAAACAUCUUCCCAUGUUGUGCUUUCCAGCUCUUCCAUGGUGUAAGUGAAAUUCUCAUUCCUGUUUUUGCAUGCAUCCGCAACAAAAUUUCUCUGGCACCCGGAUGUCUGAUUUCCCUGGUUGACAGAUUCGAAUCUCGGAAGACAUCUACAGUCCGGCUCUAGAUCAAUUAAGACACAAUAGCUAUUCAAUCCGCACAGGCCUUUAGGAACACACUUAUCCUUGGAAGACUCCCACUCAACUGACCAAAUUGCAUUCUUUGUCAAAUCAUGUGAAUACAAACGAAAUAUCCCAUUUGCAUCAAUUCUCAUAAGAUAAAGUUUUCCUUCAUCAGUAGGAAGACCUCCAUCUGUUAUAUUCAAAAUAUUCGAACCAGUCCCGUUGAGCAAGUAGAGACGGCCAUCAGCACCCAAAUUAAGUGUCAAGUUCUCUCCCGCUCCAUAAGUUGAAGAUGCAUAAAAAGCGUAAGGACUGGUGUCUGGAGUAUCUACAGGGUACUGAACAAGGUUUCCAUCCUUUUGCAUUUUGAGACGGAAAAUCCCCGUUGAGUGAUCAGCUUCUGAUUUCGCCGAGAAAAGUUCGUUUCCUGAUAAAAGGCGUUGACCGGGCAAAAGGGUGUCGGUUGGAUGAUCAAAGCUCUGCCAUACUAUUUUCCGACCAGAGUUGUACAGCACGAAAUUACCCGAAUUGAGCAUGGAAGCAUAAGAAGCAGAGCCAGAAGAUUUUACCAAGUAAUUUUGGCCUUCUGCUGUUGUCAAGGCAAGGCCGUCACCUGUGAAGAGCAAGGUGGCAUUGUUGGAGACUGGUGGAUCAUCUCGAUUUGCUGUCCACACGACUGUCUUUUCGGGAAUUCCAGCAAGAAAUAUCCCAACAGCAUAGCCAUUGCCUUGCCUGUAAAAUCCAAAGGCAUAUAGACCAGAACGUGACAGCCAUGUGGAGUUGGUGGUUGGUUUUAAAGAAGAGCCUUGGCUUAUAUUCGACUGCAUCUGUUGUGCUUCAGCAGCAACAAAUGCCAAGGCAAGAAGAAGGCAUGCCAUGAAAGCCAUCGAAAAAUGAUCUCAGUGUAAUUAUUUGUCUUCCUUUUCCUCUGUUUUUUAUUUUCCCUUCUGCAGCACUCCAGAAAAUUGGUUCCAAUGCAGUAUGAAGUUCUAAUUCUGAAUUUCUAUUUAAUUUAAGGUGGAUGGUGUAAAUUGGUUCCAAAAGAUGCACCAAAUUUUCCAUUAAAUUUUUUGUUCAAAUUGUUAAAAUGUAAACUGCCUAGCUAAUUUCUGAUUAGUUAGUAAUCACUUAGUCAGUUUAUAUUCAGUCCAUUUAAGUCAUCUGUUAGCUGAGCACCUUCAGCUCAUAUGCCAAGUGUAAGGCUUAGGAUUGUCUCUCUUAUUUCAGCGGUUCUAAAGCCUUGUAAUGCCAUGUGUCAUAUUCACAUUGGCUUACCCUUCACAACGGUUAGAUUGUAAUUGCUGAUGUAAGAACACAUUUUGGGUAUGAAUAGAGCUUUCUCUGCUGCAACGGUUAAGCAGAGGAGUAGUGGUCAUAACCAUUUUGAUUCCUUCUUGCUCAAGCUCUCUCUCAGUCUUUUGCUCUUUAGCUCCCUUGACAAUCCAAAUCUCAACACAAAUUGUUUAUUAACUUUAUCGUCAUAUUGUUUACUAUCUCCUAAAUUUGUCCCUAAUAGUACGUCCCAGAAUUUGUGAACUUGACUUUGUAGACUUUUCUAAUCACAUGUAAGGAAAACUAGUUAAGUCGCUUUCUUCUCUGUAGGCAAUGAGUCGGUCCAAAUCAAACCCUUCAUAUGCAUUUUUCUUCUUUGAUUUUAUGAAGAGGAUGCAGACGGACGAGGCACUUUGGACUUGUUCUCCAAUACCAUUAACCCCGUAAUUUUCUUGGAAGAAGGUCACACUACAACAUAAAAACCCUUCUAUGACGUCUGAUUUGCGUCAUGGAAGGCAUUUAAUGAUGCGGAUCAGGCGUCGUAACCCAUGUCGUCAAAAGGAGGGGAUCAUGGAAACUUUUUCCAAGCACGAUGUCUGUUCCGCGUCAAAGAAUGGGGUUUCAAUGACGCGGAUAGCGUGUCGUGGAAACCUUUUCAGAGCACGACAUCUAUUCAACGUCAUGGAAUGGGGUUUCAAUGAAGCGUGUAGCGUGUCAUGGAAACUUUUUCAAAGCACGACGUCUAUGCUGAGACGUCAUUGAAAUAUUUUUCAUGACACGGUUUAGACGUUGUUGAAAUUCUUUAAUUUUUUUUUUAAUAAAAAUUCUUAAUCUAUAUAUAUAUAUCCCAUCAUUUUAAUUAUGCGAAAAAAAAAUUAAUAUAUAAAAGCAAAAAUAUAAACACAAAGACAAAGACUCUGAAUUAUAUUUCUAUUAUUCAAAAUGAUCUAGUACAUUAAAAUUGUCUUUAACGAAUCCCACUAAACCAUUUCCCUUUCAAGAAGUUAAAAAUAUGAAGAAUGAAGCUUACAGGACCUUGAUUAAAAAAAUAAAAAAAAUUAAUUUAAAAAAAAUAAAAAAAAGCUUACAGGACAAAACAAAAACCACAAGGCGUUUUGGUAUUUUUAUCCAAGCCCAUAAUUAUCUUCUUAAUCUCUCCAGCAUGAGAAAAAAGCUCAUAAACUUGCUGUUCUGUUGUGUAGAAUGACAUAUUCCCAAUAUAAACAGUCAUUGAUGCCAGGAUUGCUUGUUCAAAUUCCUCAUGUGAUCUAGUAAAUCUUCUACCCUGAUAUUGUGAAAGCUUCCAUUGAUCCUAAUGAAAAAAGAAAAUGAUGAAAGAUAGGGUAAUUGCAGAGAGGAAUAACACAGUUAUAAAAUGCGUGCUGGAUCACAGAGGAUAAGCUGUAUUUUCAUCUGUAUUUCAAAGUGAGACUUGAAGAAGCAUACAAUAAUUUGGAAAUGCACAAAUGUACAAUCUGGCCCCUGGAGUUCCCUUUUCUUUCUAUAACAGAAACGGUUAUGAAAAUAGAGUAAAAUGAAUCUAAGAAAUCGUAAUGAAUAAAUCCCACUCAGUUCUAAAAAAAAUUCACAGCACGUGAAUAGCACAGGGUUCUUGAACAAGAAAUCUGGUUAAGUAAUUACUAUGAACAAAUCUUUUUAAACAUUUUUCAGAACUUCUCUAGCAUCCACACAUUUGAUUGAUUUGAACCAAAUCGAAAACCACAUCUUUUAUAUGACAACAUCGAAAAGAAAAAGCCUGUUGAAUGACCGUUUAUACAAUAAUUGUUCAGAUUCACAAUAUACGUCCUGGCAGUGUGCCCCUACUCUACACAGCUUCUCCAGAAACUCCAAAACAAUUGUACUUAAAGUAUUUAUAAAAAUAAAUAAAUAAAAUGGAAACUACGACAUAUUUGACUCGACAACAACGAAAGAGAAGAUAGAACUUAAACAUUCCCUUUUGCACAUUGCAUUGUCUAGUUCUCAAACAGAAGAAAAUAAAAGGGGUGGGGGCUUAACUUCUAAUUUCCAUCUCUCACCCACCAUGAGUUUCUUUCAUUUUCUUCUCUUCUCUUCUUGUAAUAUUAUCUCAUGCCCUCAUAUUACCAAAAUGGAAUAUUAUACACCUCUGAGGCCUGUGAGGAUUGUGGCUCGAGUUGACUUGGUGUCUCCGAGGCCUGCGAGGAAUGCAGCUCGGUUAAUUUUGUGUUUCUGAGGCCUGCGAGGAUGGAAUUGACAGAUUGCUACUAGAAUUGACGGAAAAAUGUUGGAAUUGACGGAUCAGGAAUGGGGGUACGCCUAGGUGAAGAAUAUUUGGGUUUUUAAGAGGUUUAAACAAAAAUUGAGGAUUUUAUGUUGGUAUUUAUGAGCAAAGGUUUUAAGUAAAAGAGGAAAAUAUAUGUUUCAGUUAAGCUAUUGUUAUUGACAUUAAGAUUUCACAUGAUCAAUGUUAUUGUUAAUAAUUUUCUCGUUUUCCUACUUAUCUGUAACAAGUUAAUUAUAAAUCUUUAUAUAUAGAUAUAUGUGUAUAUAUAAUAAUAAUAAUCUAAGCCAGUAAUACAUAAAUUGAUUUAGGAAUUAGAGGAAGUCCAGUGAGUGGACUUUUGUUUUAUAAAUGAAUUUUAUAGUUUUAUUGAUUGAGUUUGAAUGAUUUAUUUAUGGUUAUUACUUUCCAAACAUGAUUAUUUGAUUUUGAAUACUUGUAUUAUAUUCUGGUUAUAUUUAAAUUGAGAAUGGCUUGGAAAGUAGGAAGGAUAAUGGCAACAUGAUUUAAGGAUGGAUGAUAAAUAGUUUUAUAAUUUUCCAGGAAAUGUUUUAAACCACCAUAGGUGCCCUGUGUUGCCUUCGGAUUAUUGUUUCCUUCGGUUAUGUCAGCGCGUUUGACAGUUGCAUCACGAGUCUUAGGGAUAUCCGGACCGUGCAGAGCGAGGAAAUGCAGAUCAGGUUGACUAAAUGUCCCCUGAGUCUUGCGAGGAUUGCGGGUCGGGUCGACUUUGUGUUACAGAGACCUGCGAGGACGUGUCACAAAUUGUGACACGAGGAAUUGAUGGAAAUUAAGGAAUUCACGAUUAUAUAAUGGGUACACCUAGGUGGAAGUGAAAUAUUGAUUUUUCAAUGCUUUAACUGAUUUAAUGAUUUAUGUAAACGUGUGAAAUAUUAUAUAAAUAUAAAUAUGCCUGUUCGAUUUCUGUAUGAGUAUAGCAUGUGAAUGUUAUUUAGCAUGUCGCUAACAUGAGAACUUGGAUUGAUUUGCAAUCACAAUGGACAAUAACAAUUGACAAGAUACAUAAGUGCAGUAUAAAAAUGGAAGGAACUACGUAUGGCUUGAUCCCUUGUUAAGGGUACGUAAGCAACCUAGAGUUACUAGAUGCAGCCAUGAGACCAAGUGAUUAUUGUAAAGCUAUUCAGUCAAGUUAAUUUGAAAUCUAUUAGCGUACUUGUGUGUUUUAAAGGUUGGGAUCAAUUUCAAUUGGCAGAACGAUUUAUCUGAUUUAAGAGGCCUGAUGUCAUGAUAGGAUUGCAAAGUUCAUUUCAUGCCAUUGAGAUUCUGAAGUUUAUAUGUUUAUUAUUUCAAGAUUUAUAUUAGAAGCUGAGGUCUUUCCUUUAUGCUCGAAAUCUUGUUGAGGUUGUUAGUAAUUGAGAAGUUUCAAUAUUUGAGGAAAGUUUAUAAAUUCUUUAUUAUCAUUCUCACUUGUGAGCCUAAUCUGAUAUUAUUUGCAUUAAGUGGCAGUUAUGGUGUAUAACUCAACUAGCUUAUUUGUACAUAUUCUUUUCUGCUUAGCCUGUCAUGAAUAUAUCAUGUCAGUAUCUUUGGACUUUGAUGUGUGACGUAUGUUUGGUUGUAUGAAUUCCAUUUUUGGUACAUGCUGAACGAAUGGAGAUAUUUAGAUUGUUUGUUACAGGUGAAAAUUUUGGGAAACGAGUAUUUAUAGGGGAGACACUGUUAAAUUUUCGACAUAAGUCAAACUUGAGGUUAAUUUUGGUUUCUGCUAGAAGGGCAAUUUGGUCAAUUGUGCCCGGCACCUGCCAGGUGUCGAACACGCACAGGGUUCGGCUCAGAUUCCAAAGUGAAAUUUGGGUUGGGUCUUGUCAUCAUGUCCUACCCAUUGUGUAUGCCAUAAAUCCUUUGAAGCCAAACACUUAACCUUUUCUUUCAUCACCCACAAUAUUCCCUUACCCUUUUCACCCUAUUUUUAGCCAUACCCUAUAACUUGGGAUAUGCCAUGGCACAUGAAGACAAGGAUGAAGGUUAAGCUCUACAUCAACAAAAGAGGUAGCGUGUACUGAGGAAAUAUGUGCUCAUAGUUCAAGAAAAAGAAAAUAGAAGGGGGAAAAAAGAGAGAAAUAUAUUCCCAAAAAAAUAAAUAAAUAAACAAUAAAGCAUAUCAAAAAUCCUGGAUGCCUUGGUGAAGUAAAUUUGAAGAGCCAAACCAUAUAACACGAAAAAUGCAUUGUUAUGUCUCAAGUUCUAAUAUUCCAUAUCCUUUCUUUCAUAACCCAUAACCUAGCCCUACAUUACAACCAUAGUAAAAGACCUAAUGGAUCUGUGGGGACUUCUUACUCGGAAGUGGAGGUAUGUACUUCAUCUAUGGUUCUUAGUAUUUGAUUUCCUUUCCAUGAGAUCUAUUCCUAGAAAUUGCCUUUUAUUCAUUUUGGAUGCAUGUGUCUUAUAUUUUGAUUUCUUCACCUAACUCCAUUCAUAUAUGCGGGGUAAGAGUGCAACCCUAGGUUUUGUGAGAAAAUUGAGAGUUAUCCAAUGAGGCAUAGAGUCAAGGCGAAUUUGUACACACGCUGAGUGUGAUUAUCUUUAAGUUCGAGUGCUUGGAGUAUUGGUUUCACACUUUAUGACAGGACCCGAUCCAAAUUCCGCUUUGAAAUUCGAACCAGACCCUGUGCGUGUCCGACACCUGGUGAAUGUCGGGCACAAAUGACCUAUUUGCCUCUCAACACAAAACAUGAUAAAAUAACAAGGUUGACUUCUACCGAAAAUUCGGCAGAGUUUCCCUUGUAACUGGCUCAAUACCAAAAUAUUUUCACCUGCCAAACAAGUAUACAUAUAUACAACCAACUGCCAGCAUACGUAUAUAUACAUUCCAACAGUUCAAUUCAAAGUCUAGGGCAAAAUAUCAGAGCGACUACUAAGAAUUUACAAAGGAGUGAAUCCUUUUACAAAACAAAAAUCCUACAUCAAAGAAAGGCGCGGAAAAUGGGAAGUGGCCCGGUGGUGAAUUUCUGUGCACAUCUACUGCCUGGGGGCGCAAAACAAUAAUAAAGGUGAGUGGACCCAAAAACAAAGUUUAGAAAAUAGUAUAUGAACAUACUAACCCCACUGUAAAAACAGUUAUACAAACUCACUUAUUUUCUUUAUUUCUGAAAUCAAUGCAUGUAGAUAAUUAUAUACAUUUGAAAACAGUUUAAAACUAUCACCUAGGUGUACCCUUAUUUCCGUCAAUUCCUUAUAUCCGUCAAUUCCUUGCAUCACCAUGGGUGACACAUACUCGCAAGUCUCAGUGACACGAAGUCAGUCCGAGCCGCAACUCGCAGGAUGCAGGGGACCGUAGUUCACCUGAUCCGCAUUACUCGCUCCACACGAGUUCGAGUACCAAGGAACUCGUGGGGAAACUGUCAAGCAUGCUGACUAAACCGAAGGCAACAAAUAUAGUCCGAAGGCAACAGUUAAUAUCUGGGUACAAGGUGGUUUAAGAAAAUAUAAAGUUUCUGAAGCAAAACUGUUGAAUAAUUAACUUUCUGUAACCUUUAAAAUUCUGCUGCCAUUUAUCUGAUAAUUAACGAGAAUAUCUUUUUCUAUAUUCUUUAAAGGAGAUUUCACUCGGCAGCAUGCAACAUAAAAUAUGUAACAGAAUAAAACAGCUGAUAACUGAAACUGAACUGCUUAAAUUCAUUUAUUAAAACAAAGAGUCCACUCACUGAUAGUCCGAGUUCGCUGGACCUCUUGAAGGUCCUUCCUGCGGGUCAACUGGUACCCGGGUGCCUGAUUCAAUGACCAUAUUAUUCUAUUAAUACAAUAUAGUAUUAAAGUAAAAACCCUACCCCCGGCUCCUAAAAGUACGUGCAGCAAUUUAAAGUGAUCCCUAUGCCCAUAACAGCUUUCCUUCCACAUGGGAUAGUUUAGCGGUAUCUUGGGACUCAAAAAGUGCUAAAAUCCAAAAAGUCAAUCUGGAACCCCACGGGUCCAUAACCUCACAAUAUGAUCCAGAUGCCGCUAGAAGGUCCAAUAUAUUUAGGACAUAUGUCCCGAGAGUAUUGGUGUCAAUCGGACGGUCGGAUUAAUCACGAUCGUGUAAUCGCAUAAUUUUUAAACCCUAGCCAUAGGGUUGGCGAUUUCAGAGUAUCCGGGACUCCGAUUCACGAUCCGUCGAAUCCUACACGUUUCUGAAAUUAUCUAGAGUAACAUAUCUAAAAUUUAUUACGAUCCAACGGCUUAACAAUAUUGAACCCGGUAAUCGCACAAUAUGGAAAAUCCGUUCGAGGCUCAAACGGUAUCCAAAUUGAGAUCCGCGAAUUCCUAUGCGCUCGUGACAACCUAAGGAUCGCAUCAAGACACAGUGCCACUGCACUACACUCGCCCACUCGCCGCCGCACGCGCCGGCAGCGAUGGGUGUCCAAAGCGAUUACGCAUCGCCAGAAAAUCUCAAAACAAAGGCUCCAAACUCCUACUCUAGGUAUAACACCAUAUUUGGAACCACUUUUGUUCUUGGACCUACCCCAAAAACAGACCGGAAUUGGCCGAACACGGAGGCCAAAAAUUGGCCGAAUUCCAAUUUGAAAACUGAGCUAGCUACGGUGAAAAUCAAUGCAAACCUACCCAACCAUCAGCUAGAGCACGGAAAAUAGGUAGAAAUCCAUACCUAACUCGACAAAUUUGGAGGAGAAUUGAAGGAGAACGAGCGGUUGCAAAACUGUGCAAAACAGGCUCGAUUUUCACAGUUUCCGGCGGCUGACUGCAGUGGCUGGCAGCGGGGCUGGGUCGGGUGUGGUGGCGGCGUGACGCCGGUCAUUUUGGCUCCGGUCUUGCGGCUUGGGGUGGCCGGUGGCGUGAGAUAUAGAAGUGUGGAGGGUGACAGACGGGAGAGAAAGAAAAACAGAGAGGGAGGAGGGCGCGGGGAGAGAGAAAGAGAGAGAGAGAGAGAGAGAGAGAGAGAGAGAGAGAGAGAGAGAGAAAUGAGGUUUUGUAAUAAAAAUCUGAUUUUUUUUCUAAUUUACCGUUUUGUCCUUCGUGAUAUUUUAAUCGUAUUUUCUUCGUUAAAACUCCGAUUCGAGCUCACUUCAUGUCUAUGAAUUCGUGUCGUCGUGCUCUACGCAACGGUAUAUGUGGAAUUGUCAAAUUCCUUUUUGGUCAAAAAGUCAACUUUUUGUUCAUAAUUUAGUCCAAGGGCAAAAUUGUCUUUCCUCAUAAUAAAUUACUAAUUAAAUAUGAAUUUUAGGUUUGGGUCAUUACACUUUACACUAUGGUGCAUUUUAUUUGUAUUGGCAUAACUUUAGUUUUUGAAUUGUGAUUGGCAUUCCUUGGUUAUUAUUAGUUUGUUAGAAGUAUUGCUUUAACAAAUUUGGUUUGCAAGGAGCGUUUAUGGGUGUCGUGACUAGUAAACCCUCAGGAGUCACAAUUCCUCUUACGAGGGACACCUAAAGGUUUAAAGGCUUGUGGCAUAUGCUAAGUGCCAUCGAGAUUACCUACGAAAGUGGUUAGUUUAGUUUGUUUGUUUUAAAUUAUUUUUUUAUUUUCAGUUUUGCUCGAGGACUAGCAAAAGAUAGGUUUGAGGGUAUUUGAUAAGCCUAUAUUAUAUAUAAAUAUAUAUAUUAUGACUCCUUUGCUUAUUUAUUUGUUAAUUUACUUGGAUUAAAUUGGUUGUUUUAAUUGGUUUUGUGAGAUAUGUGAAGGAAUUGUGAAAUUGGAGAAAGUGUGCUAAAAAUGGCAAGAAGAUGAAGAUUGGAGUUUAAUUAAAAAGAAGCUAAGUCAUUCCUUUUGUCGCAAGGAAUAUUGUCAAAUUUCCUAAUUCAAGAUGGUUCAAGUCUUACCAAGUCAAUCAAGGAGAAAUAAAGAAGACCCAAUAUGAGAAGGAAUCCUAUUUUUAUAACAAUUGUAAUUAUACUUUAGAUAGGUAGGAUUUCUAGGAGUAUUAUAAGCCUAAAUUUACUUAUUAUAAAUAGGGAGUUUCAGUCAUUGAUCCUGAAUCGAUCAUCCUCCAUCAUCUACCAUCAAAUUCCUAUAUAUUCAUACUCAUAGCCGAAACACCCAAAGGAGAAUACGAAGAGAGCUUGCGCAACCUAGGCGUUUUACUUGGAGAAUUCGGUGCCUUCCAUGUCUUCACCAACCAGCAUGAUUCUCAAUAAGUCCAUCAUGAACUAAUUUCUUUUACUAGGGCUUCGAUGUAGCCUAGCUAUGAAUACUCAAAUUCUUUGAUAUUGUUGAUUUUAUUUAUCUAUACAUGUUGAGUGCUUGUUACCAUUCUUAAUGCUUUCAAUUAAUUGGCCACUAAUUGCAUGAUUGGAAGAAUUAGGUUGAGACCGGAAGGAGAUUCCUAGUAAAUAGCUUCUUGUAACAAGUACCAUAAAUUACAUUGCCGACUCGGAAGAUUAGGUUAUGGUUUGUGUAAUCUUCAAUGUUUUUCACAAAUUUUAAUGGGUUUUUAGCUAUCUAAAUCAAUAACUAGGAAUAGAGUGGGUCGAUGAUAAGGAAUACAACUAAUAUAACUCGGAACAGAGUUUUGGGUAGGUAAGGGAAAAUGAUUAUCAACAUGUUAGGUAAUUAGGAUAACAAGCUAGAAGGAUUUGGGUGGGAUUAGCUAAGUGAAAUUGGUGCCUUAGUGCUUUAUCAUCUUUAUUUUCAUCUUUUAUAUUAUUUACUUGAUCUCAAUUUAUUUUACUUGCUUAAUUAGAUUUUAAUCGUCAUAAUUCUCUUAUCGUUUAAUUCAAAUAUAAUUAGAAAUAAAUCAUUCUAGUAUUUAAUAGAUUAACUUGAUUCCUGUUGGAACAAUACUCCAUUUAGUAUUAUACUAGUCUGAGCGAUAUUGUCCACUUGUAAUUAAUCAGAUCAAUGGUGUAAAUGAAUUCGUACGUGUUUCUUCUCUCUGUGGAGCAGUUCACCACCCAUAUAUAAUUUACUCUACCAUAAGAAGAUUCAAAGGAGAGAUACAAUAAGUGCCAGUCCGGUCAAAAGUGAUGGAAUACUUGUCAUGCGUUGACGUUGACGGAGACUUUUGAGUCCAUGUAAUUAACUAGACACAGACUGAGAUUUCGUUGUCAACAUGAAUUUUCAGAACUGACAUUAUAAUCUGAAGAAUUAGUUUUAUAAUUAAGUGAGCAAAUUGACCUCACUUACAUGUCCAAAAGAUGCACCAAAUUUUCCAUUAAUUUUUUUGUUCAAAUUGUUUAUUAACUUUAUCGUCAGAUUGUUUACUAUCUCCUAAAUUUGUCCCUAAUAGUACGUCCCAGAAUUUGUGAACUUGACUUUGUAGACUUUUCUAAUCACAUGUAAGGAAAACUAGUUAAGUCGCUUUCUUCUCUGUAGGCAAUGAGUCCGUCCAAAUCAAACCCUUCAUGUGCAUUUUUCUUCUUUGAUUUUAUGAAGAGGAUGCAGACGGACGAGGGACUUUGGACUUGUUCUCCAAUACCCUUAACUCCGUAAUUUCAUGGAAGAAGAUCAGCAAAGGCAUCAUCCCAAAAGAAACUUUACAAUCUCAUUCAAACAUCCAGUUAUUGACCAGUAUAGCCUUUAGAAGUCCUUGCUUCGUACCGAUGGCUUCUAGUUCCAAAACCGUCGCAUACGUUACGCUAAUGGAACCUGCUACUCAAUCAUUCCUCGAGUUGUUACAAAUAACAAAUCAGUACCAGCCUGACCGGAUUACAGACAUACCUCAACAUUUAGUUUAAAGCAAUCUAGACUAGGUGGUUUCCGUACACUUCUCGGACAAGAAGGAUGUUAUCUUUUUAAGCACCAGUUCAACUAUUUUUCCAAAAAUCACAUAAAAGUUAAUGAUUUAUAAUCAUAACUUCAACUGCAUCAGGUAGUAUUCCGAAAAAUAGAACAAUUACGUGUCACCAAAUUUUCCAUCAGACACUAAAAUAUUUUUACAAAUGAAAGGGAGCUAAAGAGGACCAACAAGAACCAAUCCCAUGUACUUAUUUAUAUUAACUAAGGUGGGGGACGUAAUUAGGUACAAUCACGAAAAGUUAGGAGAGACUUUAUGGAUCUGUAAUACCGAGGGAAGACCCGGAAUAGAAUAAUGACGCGCAAAUGUGCCCGAUUGUUAACUUUGUUUGGAAGGAAUGACGAUGCAAAAUCUAGAUUUUAUCAUUUCAGGAGGAAACUGCAUUCACGCUUGUUUAAGAGAUGAAGGAAAAUAUAGAACAUCCGUUACAAGGGCAAGAAAUAUAUUAUGAACACAACUCAUUAUUGUGGUAUAAGUGUAUCAAAAGAUGCAUUUAUAAACAAGUAGUCAUUCGUGUGUAGACAGGGCAAACUGCCAGUUUUGAAGUACUAGAAACGUGAACAAGACAAUUUCCAAAAACACAAGCGACUCGGUUAGCUGCUACAGUACAAUCAAGCCUCACGUCUCAUUCAAGGAUCAAACUCAUCUCUCUCUAUUAGGUGGACUUCGAAGCUUUGUGUAGGAUGUCAAAAACACUUCGUAGAGUCAUCUCCUCCACAAUAACAACCUUGUCUCUUGAUUUAGAGCCAGAACCAAUAGAAACCUGCCUUCUUUUUACCCCUAAAACCUGUAAUUUGGAAAGAAUAAAAAUUUGAAGUUUCCAAGCAUAAACAUUAAUGGUUGAGCAGACCAAAUAAACUGAGCGGUUAAAACGUCAAAAGAAAAUUGACAAAUUUGGUGCAUGCAACUCAAAACCAUUUGGCAAUGGGUGUAGACAGAGGCUUUAGGAUUUCUAUGGUAAGAUGCACGGCUUAGAAUGCCCAAUAUGAAACUUUAUAUUCUUGCUAAAAAAUUAUUAGAAAACUAUGCUACAUUUCACUCAUAAUAAUACAAAUUAGACCCUCAAAAGUAUAGGCCUCAUUCUGUACCCAUCAUUUAAAGUGAAAUUAAUCUUCCCUUCGAACUUUCUCGAGAAUCUGUUCUGUCACAAAUCCCUUGCCAACCCUGCCACAAAGCUACCGAGCCACCUUAUCUUGCCAACUUAUAAACAAAUGAUGGGUAGAGAAGUAUAUUUUCAUGUAUAUGUGUGUGCACGACUUUAGAAUGUAUUUGAAUGUAGAAGUUCAACAUACUUGUAGUCAUAGACGAAUAACUGAAAAAUGAUAACAAAAAUAUAUCUCUAGAAACAACACCAGCUGAAGCAUAUAAUCUACCCAAAAUGCAAAUCAGUGUUUGACCAAAUAAUCUAUAAAAGCUAUUCUUUCUUACUAGCUAACUGCGGUGUAGAUAGGAUGGACAGGUGGUAUGAAGUGGUCCAGGAAUAGACAUUUUAUGCUUGGGGGAGAAAGAAGAAAUCCACCCUUCACACUCUGCACUGUGGCUAUUCUUGGCCACACCACACAUCAUCUUGAAAAGAAUAAAUUAGACUUGAGGAAACCUUAGAAGAGCUCACAUCCAACCCUUGUGCCUUUCCACAAGCUUAUCCCAUGAGUAAGUUUGUUUCACCAUUUCAGAUCACCACUUCACCUCACUUUUCUCUAGUUUAGCUCAAUAUUUCUCUCCUUUGCAAGACCAAAUCACUUCACAAUCAAAGGUCCGUUAAAAGCACGACAAUCUCAACCAAAAAGAUACAAACAAAACAUCACUUCCCCAACAAAGCUCGGUUAGAGCAACAGCACUAGACCAACAAAUUACAAAUUAAAGCAUCACUUCCCCAAUUGAAGUUAACGUAAGCAAUCACAAUGAAUGUUAGGAUCUUUCAAGAACCACACAAUCUUCUUAAGACACAGCACACUAAUCACAAAAACCCGAAACAAGUAAAUGCAACUCCAAGUCUCCAACCCACUAAUAAUAAUAGGAUGAUGCACCAAUGAACCUAAGAAUUCUCAAAUCAAACUUUAAUUUGGCAUUCCAUAUAAAAAAGCUCAAAAAACCAUUAAAAAAAGACAAAAAAGGUUGAAAAGGGAUAACCCAAUAAGAAACAAGACCAACCGAGCUGAUGUAGUCAAGUAGCGCUGCAUUAGCUUCCCCGUCCUUUGCAGACGCGUUUAUUUGUACCCCCAACGCCUCAUCACUGAAAUCUUCAUUUCAAAAAAUAGAAAAUUAUAUUCUAUAAAUACACAGACCUAUACAUAUAAAAAUAGAGAGAGAAAGAGAAGGACCAGUGAUGGAGGCGAUUUUGGAACCAGGCUUUGCGUGGAUGGUGAUGGCGACUGAGGACGGAGGUAUGUACCGAAUAGAGGUUGGGAAAUUGUUGUUGGGGUUUACGGGCUGAGUUGACUCGGCCGGGUUGGCCUUAGUCUUGGCCUUGGCCUUCUUGGCUGGUGCCAUUUGUUUGUUUUUUGGUUUUGUUUUUGUUUUUCUUCUCUCUCUUCCCGCUUCAGAAGAAAGACUUCAUCGGCAGGGUUGGCCUCGGCGGCCUUAGUCUCAGGGUUCUUGGUUGGAGAGUUAAAGGCCCACUAAUAACUUUGGAUAUUUAAGGCCCAUUAAUAACUUUGGAGACAUAUGAGGAAAUUUUUUGGUGUUGAUUUAUGAACAAAUGGAGUAUUUUUAGAAUUUGUGAUGAUUUUUAGGUAGCAUUUGAUCUCGAUUGAUUAAUAUUACAAAUUUGACCUUCGGACAUAACUAUGGGGAAAUUAUCAAAAUGUCCUUAAAAUACAAGAUGCUUCUAAACCCAUCCUGCAUGCUUCCAAAUAAACAGACUUGCAAGUUGUGCUCCUUUCACUCCACCGAAGAUAAUGCAUUUUUAUAGUGUGUAUAUGAAUUUGCUUGGUUGUUUGUGUGUAUAUGAAUUUGCUUGAUUGUUUGUGUGCAUGUGAUGUGUAAGUGGUGUGCAUGUGAUGUGAUGUGCAUAUAAUGUGUAAGUAGAAGUGUCGAAAGGGAAACAUUUGGGUGAGGGUCUACUCCCUGCCUAGGGUUAGAAUUUUUCUCCUAAUUUUCUUUUAGGUUUUCUUGGUGGCUACUUGUUUGCUGUUUGGGCGGAUUUUGAAACUGGUUAUCUAUGAUGGAAAACAUGGAUUUUAUGGCUGAGAAGGAAGAUGUGGAGGAAGUGGUAUGUUCUUUUGAUAAGGUAUUGUCGUUAACUAAUGAAGAACAAGAUUGCCUUCAAAUCGAACCAGAUAAUAUGACAACGAUGAACGAGUGACUCCAUCUCUCUUUGGUAGGGACGGUAUUUACUGAUCAAGGUUUCAACCGUGAGGCUUUCAAACAAACCAUGUUGAGGGCCUAGGAUAAGAUGCGAGAGGUGGGUGUGAAGGACCUACAAGACAAUCUUUUCUUAUUCACGUUCACAACUAUGCGUGAUAAGGAGAUGGUGAUACGAGGGGGACCUUGGAAUUUUGAUAAAAACCUAGUCUUACUAGAAACACCAGAUAGUAAUAGAGCACCGAACAUAAUGGUUCUUCAGAAUGCUGAUUUUUGGGUUCAAGCGCAGCAUCUGCUGUUAAAUAAAAUGAUUGUUGUGAAUUUUAGACAACCUGAAAAAUGGAUAUUAUAAAGACUAAUCUAAACACAAAUUAUACUUGAAAGUGUACAAGGUCAAUCGUAAUAUAGUAUGGCAAAUACGAGGUCAUUCCCACGAGGAUUGAGCUCAACUUCCAAUUAGUCUAACCUAAUUUACUUCACAAAAUACAUUAACUACUCUAAUUAUAUAAACAAGAAAUUAACACAUAGCAUUCUCACGUAAACACAAAAGGGGUUUUUGAAAAAAUGAUUUAAUUAACAGCGAAAUUAAAGACAAAACAAGUAGAAAGUCACGAAACACAAGGAUGAGAAAUUCAAAUUGAUAAAAGCACUAGGACAAUGAAUUCACCACUAGCAAUCUGAUCCAGCCUCUUAUUCAACUACCUAUUAACUAACCAUUUGAUGUCACCGCUUAGUUUUCCUUUUUUAUGAAUUACCUAUGGUAUUCAGGCUAACUCGUAUAUUCCUACAUGUAAUCCGCCUAUGGUAUUUAGGUCAAAUAUCAACGCAUAGAAACUCAUUAAGAUCAAUGAAAACCUCUAACAAGCAUGUAAACCCUAGGAACCCUAGACGAAUUACAAAUCCUAAUCACAAGAAGCAAGCCUCAAAUUAAGUAUGGUAUUUACUCUAAUUUGCAUCCAAUUAACUCAAUUAAAAGUCUAGAUAGUGAUCAAGCAUCAAGAUUAUCAACCAAAUUAUUAAGCACAAUGAUUAAGAAUCUGACAGGACCCACCCCGGAAUUUUCUUGAAAUCGGAGCGGACCCCGUCUUUUUACUGACAUCACCCCAAAGCCGGGCCCACUUACUAAAGACCUCGAGACUCUCUACCAAAAUUUUGGCAGAAUCUCCCCUAUAAAUUGAACAACCCAACAAAAUUCAACCUGCAUAAAACACAUAACAAGAUCCCAACCAGCAACAUGCUUUAAAGCGAAUAAACAGUUUACAACAAAGGCCUCUGGCCUCAUAAAUCAAACCCUAACAAGGGCGAUAACAGAGCAUGUCUAAGGAAUUUCAGUUACAACAAAAACAAAGUUCAACUGGAAUAGAAAGAUGAAAGAGUUCCUACGAAGGCUCAAGGCUCGGAAGCACAUGAUCUGGCUCGGUUGAGGAGCUCAGUCAACUAGUGGCUGGGGGGCGCAAAACAGAAAAAUGUGAGUGGACAAAAAUAAAAUUCAGUUCAGUGUAAACCAACGUAAUAUAAACCCAACGUUUAGAAAACCAUGCAAGAAAUCCAAAUGCAUCCCAAAACCAGCAUAAUCAAGUAUAUAUAUAUAUCAAAACCAAACCAAUAUCGGAUGCCAAGUCCGAAAUCCAAAAGAACACUUUACAAACCCACCAAUCAAAUAUUAUAAGUCCCAAACUAAACUCUUGAAAGCGUACCCAUUGGCACGACCGGCAAGGAAGUAUCCUCACCGAAAAACAAGAAUGAAUGAAUAGUUAUAUAUAUGUAAAUAUAUAAUAUAAGAGAUAUAUAUAUAUAAUAUAUAUAUAUAUGACCAUCACCUAGUUGCACCGGAAAAACAAUCCAACUAGGGGAUUAUUUGACUAGUCACCAUGGCAGAGUCCCAAUAAAUAAAUUCCUUAAUACACCAUGUGACUAGGGAACGAGCCGUCCAACUAGGGGACCAACUCUCAGCCAGCACAUACCAUUGAUAGCCUCAAAAUCCGUACGUCUGUACCAGUCCUACGCGCGCAAACUACCCAAUCAAGGGUCCACAGCAACAUCCUGUCAAGGAUGCCUUGGGUUCCGACAAGUCCAAGUAUCUCAAGUUUUCGUAUCUAAGUUCCAAAUCCGGGAAGGUACAUAGGGUAGUGCUUAUAGCACUCCAAACUGACAUUCUAUACUCAUCACUUCCCACAAUCUCAUCUCAACAACCCAAGUACCCCAUACAUAGCCAAACAUAUAUAGAAAUUCUCAAAAUCCAUAUAUUCAUACUCAAGAUACUCAAAUAUGUCAAAACCCAAAAUAUAUUUCCAAUGCAUCAUAAAAAUAUCACUUUCAACACUUGAAUAAAUAAUAUAUCCAAAAUACCAUUUAAAAUAUCAUGCAUAAUAUUUCCCAUCAUAAAAGCAUGCAUAAGAUUUGAAAACAAAUGUCCACUCACAAGUAGUCCCACGCUGCUUGACCCUGAGAGGGUCCUGCCUGCGGCAUACGCGUGGUCGGAGUACCUAUUUCUGAAUACGAAUACGAGAUUAAUACAAGCGUUUCGAACGAGAACUUUGAAUUAAAAUCCUAGUUUCCUGGGUGUCUAGUGAGUGUAUGAGGAACGAGACGUUCUAAGGUCCAACUACCCAAUUCAGACGUUGGAACAUUUUCGGGAGACAUUCGGUCAACUGGCAGUCAAACUUCCCAAUUCAGGUCAAUCGGGCCCAUGAGACCCACGACCUCCGUUUUACUAUCCGAGAGUGCCUAUAGGUUCUACAAGGUCUAGGAUACCCGUCUCGCAAGUUUGGUCCGAAACGGACGGUUAGAUCGCUUACGAUCGCACGAUCGGACAGUUAUCGUAAAACGUAAACUUUAAGUUAUUGAAUUGGAACAUCCAGGACUCCGAUUAACGAUCCGUGAAUUCCUACACGAUCCUAGGAAGGUCUAGAGUAACAUAUAUUGGAAUGGAGUCGAUCCAACGGUCUGAACAUAUUGAACCCAGAUAACUCCUAAUAUGUGAGAUUCGUUCGGGGUUCAAACGUCAACCAAGUUGGAAUCAGAGCAUACCUAUGCGCUCGUGACAUCAAGGGGAUCGCAUUGGGAUAAAAAUGCCCCUAUGCUACAGUGCCCAAGAGCCGCCACACCUCCCGGCAGCGCGUGGGUGUCCAAAGCGAUUACUUUUCGCAGAAAAAUCUCCAAAUUACAAGACAUUCUCCCGGCUACAGGUUCUACUCGACAAGUGGAACACUUUAUUCAACUACAGCCAAGUCCAAUUCGGACGGCAAGUGGCCGGAAUCGGCGCCGGACACUCACGGUUUAACCCGAAACUUCACGGCUUCGAUCCGACGACCAUCGUCACCAUUGUUGUCACACAAUCUAGGAAAUAGCUAAAAGGAGAGGAGGGCUACCUGUUCCAAGAGACGGCGCAGCUCGCGGUGGCCGGAAACGUCGCCGGUGACGUUGGUAGUGUUGGCCGAUUUUUCACGUCGUUGCCACCUCCGUUUGUCGGGUUUUCAAUCGGAGAAAAGGGGUGGGCUGGGUAGAGGAGGAAGAGGGGAAGCUUUUGCAAGAAACGCCACUUGAAAUGGAGGUCUGACGGCGAAGUUCUUGCCGUCUGAAAUUCCGGCGAAAAAAUGUGUCUGGGAUGGGGGAUUUCAGCCACGGGGAGAGAGAGAGAGCGAGAGAGAGAGAGAGAGAGAGAGAGAGAGAGAGAGAGAUUUAAAAAAUCAUAUUUUUAUCCAAACUCUUUUCGAAAUAUUUACAAGUUUGCCACUGAACUACUUUUGGUCGCCAAACCUUCGUUACAACUCCGAUUCAAGCCUACCACGUGUCUACGGAUUCGUCUCAGUAGAACCUACCCAAAAAUACUAGUCACUACCCCAAACUCUUUCCGAGUAAGAAAAUGACCAAAAUACCCCUACCCCCAAGGGUAAAUUCAAAAUUUCACUUAAAUAAUUUAAAUAAGGGAUUAAAUUUUGAGUCGGGGUGUUACAGAAUCCAACAUCAAACGGCAAUCAAUAGAUAGGUAAAAUAAGAAAACUAGAUUAUCAUUCUAGAGCUACAUCAUUCCCUAGCAAAAGAAAAUUAGUUGCACAUAAUCAUAGAAUUCGACAUAAGCAAAAACAUAAGGAAGAAACAAUAAAACUUAGCCAAUUGCAAUACUCUUUUGGCGUCUCCAAUUUCUCCUAGUCUUUACAUGUGUAACCCCCAAAGGAGUUGUAUCUCAUGCUUAAAUAAAACACCACACACUACUACAAAAAUCAAAAUAGAUGACGGGAAACCACCGUCGUCUAGAAGGUUUUCAAACCAUCGUGAAAUUGACCGCCAUCUUUUGUACAUAAAACAACGACGGUUAUUAACCGACGUCGUUAACACAUUCAACGUCCAAAACUAUUACGAACCAACGUAUAAUUACUAUAUAUUUAGCCUAAAAUGAAAUCUUUGACAACAUUAGACGAUGAUUUUAUGAAAACUGAGACGUCUAAAGACUGUUACAUGUCAAGAUCAAAAGAAGAACCAACGUAAAGAUAAUUAUCCAUGUCCCUAAUUGAAGGAAAAAAGACAUGGAUAACCUAGAAACCGUUGUGGUUAAUUUAUACUACGUUAAACAAAUAAAGACACCGACGUCUAAAAUAUAAAAGACGACGCGCACACAAACCAAUAGACGUUUAAAGAGUAUUACAUGUCAGUUGUCUCUCAGUAAUCGCCGUAAAAUGCCUUAACCAAGUCUCGUACCUAGCAGAACCAUCUCUUAUGUGAUUAUCCACGUCGCAGAGUAGGAGAACAACGACAUUUUAACAUUAUUCCAUGUCUGUUUCUUGCGAGAAUCGUAGUUUAAAUUAUACAAAGAAGCCCCUUUGACAAAGUUAGAAGUCACUUUUUCUGAAUAACUGACGUCUAAAAGAUUUAAAAUGACACAAUAUUACUUAAUACCGACGUAACAAAUCAUACCCACGACGACUGUUGUCAAAGGCGGACGUUAUAAAUAAUAUUGAAGGCGUGGAUAGGAAAAAAAUCAACGUGGAUUAUAUAUUCAAUGUCGGUGGCGUUAAAAUAAAGGACGUGGUUAAUUUUUUCACUACGUCAUGAGAUCCAACUGCUUGACAUUGUAAUUGCUUACCACGUUGAUUUUAAAUACAUGAUGACGUGGUUGUCCUUUUAAAAGUUGAUUGUUUAACCUUCCUUCACGUGUGUAUUCUCUGAGACGUCAGUUAUUUUAGACUAGCCGACAUGCAGAACAUCUAUCACGACAGUUAAUGAAAAUGAACGGCCUUUAUUUCUGACUUUAGACGACGGUUUCUUUUAAGCUGUGUUUAACAAACCGACGUGAUUUCAGUUUCAUAUGGCGGUUUUUUUGGUUUACGGUCUUUUGCAUUUUUAAAACCCGACGUUGGUUUUAUUUUAGACGUCUGUUUUUCCAAUUUUUUUUACUGGACCGUCAUAUUUUACACCUUUAACCCAGUUUUUAUAAUUUUUGAUUUGUUGUGCCCAAAGCCUGCAUAAUGAAAAUGUGAUCAGAAUUAAAAUGAUGUACAUAGUUAUUAAUUAAUGUCAUAUAAUUAAUUGAAUAACUAAUGUCAUACAUUACAACAAUCAAUCAAUCCAUAUAUCUUCACAUCUUUCAUUCCCAAACUCACCCACUAGGUCAUCAAAUGUGUCAACAUUUGGUAUCCCUCUAGUAAAUGGCUCACACUCAAUUCUAAUAUCACCUAGCACAUCAUCACCAAUAACAUCAUUAUAUUCUCUAUUAGGCAUUGAUAACACUACUGACCAACCAUGAUGCAUUGGGUCGUCAACAUAAAAUACUUGUUUGACUUGAGAAGACAUAACAAAUUGGUCAUUCCUAUGUCUAAUUUUACUCAGAUCUACAAGGGUAAAUCCAAGUUCGUCGACUACAAGACCCGAAGUGUUAUUUAUCUAAUCACACCUCAAGACUGGGAUUUUAAACUUUUGGUAGUCAAGGUCUCAAAUUUCUUGAAUAACACCAUAAAAACCCAUAUUGGAGACAAUAGAGUUUUUAUCAUUGGCACUAGCAACUUGCAUAGUAUGUGCAAGUAAAUAAACUCCACUAUUUUGGACAGUUCACACAUCAUCUUGUGCCUUGGUGUUACAUUUAACACCAUUAGUAAGAUAGCACCUAUAUGAUGGCACUGCCAUGCUUGGACCAGCUGCUAGCCACCUCAAAUUUUCUGAUACGCCAUUAUGCUCUUCCCCAUUAAGUUCACUUUGAACCUGCAAAUUAAUCAUGUAUAUCUUAAUUCAAUCUAACAUAUAGAAAGGAAGAAAAUUAAAAGUUGAAUAUAUCAUUCAAUAACAUAUAUAUAUAUAUAUAUAUAUACGUUAAAGUGGAGCCAUUGAAUGAAAGUGUGAUUGUACUUAUCUUGCAGCCGCUUUGUUCUCUUUCUAAAUUUUGGAUAAGUGGUUUUGAUGUGGAUCAUAUGUUCCCUACAUUGACAUGAAAAAAUCAAGCAUUACGGUCCCUUGUAUAUAAGAUAAACAUAAGGAAUAAUAAUAUUUAAAAUGGCUUCAUUUGAAAAAUAAAACUCAUACAUACUCGAUAUAAGGUAGGACUUCCUCCAUAUUCUCCAAGACAUAUAGAUGUACCUGGUUCAACAAGUCUUGAUCAACUAAGCUUACUGUGCAACCUGAUAAUGGUUUCGAAACUCCCAUCUUCUGGCUUGAAGGCACUCUAACUGUACUAACAUCAGAUAAAUGCUCGAUGCAAAACUCUACAGCUUCUUCAGCUAUAUACCGCUCAGCAAUGCAACCUUCCGGACGAGUACGGUUCUGAACAUACCCCUUUAGCACUUUCAUAUAUCUUUCAAACGGAUACAUCCAUCUAAAAUAUACUGGGUCACAUAGACGAACUUCUCUGACAAGAUGUACUACUAGAUGAACCAUGAUAUCAAAGAAUGAAGGGGGAAAGUACUUCUCAAGCAAACACAAAGUAACUACUACAUCUUCUUCCAACUUAUCUAGCUUGGAAACAUCUACCGUCUUUGCACAUAUAGCAUUGAAGAAGAAGCACAAUCGAGUUAUUGCAUACCUUGCAGGCUUCUCCAAAACAGAACGAAUUGCCACAGGGAGCAAUUGUUGCAUCAAGGUAUGACAAUCAUGAGAUUUAAGUCCAAGAAGUCUUUAAUCUUUUAAAGAUACAAGAUUUUUUAUAUUUGAAGAAUAACCUUCAUACCAUAGAAAGAAUUGCAAACCGCUCUCUUCUCUACUCUUGACAAAUUCCAAGGCCCUGGAGGCAAGCGAGUAUGCCUUUUUUCAUACUCGGGUUGCAAAUCAGUUUUGACCCCCAUGUUGAAUAAAUCUAAUCGAGCAGCAAUCCCAUCUUUAUUUUUUCCAGGGAUCUCCAGCAAUGUACCAAUGAUACUAUCGCAAACAUUCUUCUCAAUAUGCAUAACAUCUAGGUGCCUCACAAGAAGGUAUUUCCAAUACUCGAGAUCAAAGAAUUUUUAUUUCUUCCAACAAACUCUGUCACCAUCAUUCUCACCAACACUUCCCCCAUUUUUCGAGCCCCAUAUGUAAUUAAUAUCUUCAACCAUGUACAACACUUCUUCUCCAUUUAAUGGCUCGAGAGGCGUGCUAUAUUCAGAUUUCCCAUUAAAAGCUGCACACUGCCUCCGAUAUGGAUGAUUGAGUGGUAACCAUUUUCUAUGCUCAAUGUAACAAAUUUUGUGGCCAUUUUUCAACCUGUGACUAGGUGUAUCAUCGCGUCAUAUUGGACAAGCUUUAUAUCCUUUAACGACACAACCAGAUAAGUUCCCAUAGGUAGGAAAAUCAUUAAUUGUCCAUAGUAAUACACCUCUGAGUGUAAAGUAUUCUCCUAUAUGUGCAUCAUACACUCCUCUAAUCUCAUCCCACAUAUAUUUUAAAUCAUCAAUCAAAGGCUCUAAGUAGACAUCUAUAUCAUUUCCGGGCUGUUUAGGACCGAAAAUCAAUAAGGUCAACAUCAUGAACUUCUGUUUCAUGCACAGCCAUGGUGGGAGAUUAUAUGUAACUAAGAUAACUGACCAACAACUGUAUAUGCUACUUAAAGAACUGUGGGGAUUGAAUCCAUCAGAUGAGAGAGCCAAUCUCAAGUUUCUCGCUCUUUACCAAACUCAGGCCAUUUAUCAUCAACAAGUUUCCUAGACGGGGAAUCCGCUAGAUGAGACAUAUGACCGUCAACUGAUUUUCUAGCAGCAUGCCAAGUCAAACUCUAAGUUGUCUUAUGUGAUUGAAAUAUCCUUUUAAACCUUGGACUUGGAGGAAAAUACCACACAAACCUUCGUUGGCACAUGCCUUCCUUCCACCUUGAGAUACCAUAAGUAGGACAAUUAGUUGAAUCUUCAUAAUCCUUCCUAUACAAGAUGCAGUCAUUGGAACAUGCGUAGAUUUUCUCAUAACUCUUCCCUAAAGCAGACAAUAUCUUUUUUGCCUCGUACAUAGAGGAAGAUAGUGUAUUUCCUUCUGGAAGCAAAUCUCCUUGAAGUAUCAAUAAUUCUAUAAAACAAACAUCACUCAUCCCAUGUUUUGCUUUCAAAUUAUAUAACUUCACCAAAGUCGACAACUUCGUGUACUUACCGCAACCAGGGUACAAGGGUUGAUCUCCAUCCUCAAUCACAUUGGCAAACUCAAAAGGGUCAAAUCCAAUAUUGCCUAAAUCAUUAUCAUCCAUCCCUAAUUCUUCAGAAACAAAACUAAACCUACUUUGCUCAUCUUCUUCCACAUUUCUACUAGCAUUAGUAGUCCAUUCCCAAGAUUCUCCGUGCCAUGUCCAAAUCUUAUAGCUUUGGUCAAUGCCAUUAAAGUAUAAGUGGUCCCUUAUAAUUCCAACCCCAAACAAUCGAAUAUUCUCACAUUUAACACAUGGACAACGAAUAUCAGUUGUAUUUCCAAGAUUUUCUAUAGCAAAAUUCAAAAAUUCUUCCACCCCUAACUCAUAUGCCUUCAAUCUUCUGUCCGCAUGCAUCCAUGACUUAUCCAUCUCACACACUAUAAAAUCAUAUAUAUAAUAAAGUAAAAAGACCAGCAAUGAAACAAUACUAUAUUCACAAAGCAGAGAACAAAUUGGAAAAAAAAAAAAACAAGAAUCAGAUGACGGUUUUUUCAAAAUAAUCAUAGUGUAACAUAAAGUCAGACGACGGCAUAUCUAUUUACUGUCGUCUUUAAGCUACCCAAAACCAGAUAUUUGUAUUCUUUUUGAAGAACCAGGUUUGGGUUCUGGUAGCCUAAUGACGACGACGGUAGUAAAUAAAAAACCGACGUAUAAUAAAAAUUUAGAUGACGGUUUGUUCCACCAACCGUCAUCAUGGUUUACAAAAAACUGAAGCCUAAAUCUUCCAUCCCCAUUCCUUUUCAAAGAACCCUUAACAGAAUGCGAACACCAAAACAUAAAAGAACCCAUAGCUCCCAAAACAUAUAUUAAGAAACCAAAGCUAAGAGAAUAUACAAACUAAGAGAAUUUGAGAGAGAGCUGAGAGAAAAUAACAAGUGCUUGAGAGAAAGCUCAGAGAAUAUACCCAAUGCUUUGAGAGAGAGCGAAAACUUUAAGACAAAUUUACGUUGAAGAGAGAGAAGGAAAUAUUUUAGAGUUAAAGGGAAAUUCUGAAAAUUUUAGAUCUCGGUCAAAAAUUUUAAAGGACUGUGUUUAUCAAAGACGACAGUAAAUACAACCCAGUCGUCGUUUAAUUUCACAUUUAUGACGAGGGUUAUGGUAAAUUGCCGCCGUUGUAAAGCAUUGUUACGUCGCCUCUAUAAAAAUUGAUGUCUAAAAUAUUAAACAAUUAGAUUUGGUUUGCGUUUCCUGGGAUUCGAACGUGCGUAAUUGACCAAAAAGAGUGAGAGAAAACCAGCGUCAUUUCAAUAAAACCUAAACCCUAAAUUUUACAAUAAUUAUAAAAAAAAAUACACAAGUAUGAGAAAAAUGAACCAAAAAUUGCUACGGACUCCUUACAACAAUGCCUUCUAUAUUAGUAGGCUAAAAUCCAUAUUAAAUAAUUUUGAAUUUUUUGACCACCAAUGGAUCACAUAAACCUUAAGGUUAUGUUAUGGAAAGUAUAAUGACUAUUGUGCUUUGUCUCUAAAUCUUUUUGACUUUUGUUAUCACUUGUAAUUUUGAAAUCUAAAAUUAAAAUUUUCAGGCAUUGAGGGGGGAGAUAUUGUCUCAAUGAGUGCAUAGAAUUUAUCAUUUUAUUUUUUGAAUUUUUUAAAAAUAUAUUAUGAAUAUUAGUAAUUAAAUACAAAUUAAUUUUUUUUUAAAGAUUUAGGGGAGAGACAAUCUUUCAAUGGGGGUGCAUGGUAGUUGUCAGUUUAUUUUUUGAAAUUUAUUUUGAAUAUUAGGAAUUAAAUCAAAUAUAAAAGUCAUAUAAAAAUUAAAUGACAAAUGUACAUAACUGACGUUGCAUCCAUUUACAACGAUGUUAAAUAACACAUGACGUCGUCCUAGAAUACAUUAGACGUCGCAAUGUACCCACUGAUGUGGUUAGUGGGUUACAACGUCCUCUGGUUCUUAAUAACCGACGUGGGUAGCAUUUACAAUGUCGAUUAUUAUGUUAAUGCCGUCGUUGUUUAGAUAUACAACGUCACAUUUGGUCAGGUAACCGACGUUGUGUGUCUUUAACACGUCUUGCUUGUUGUACUAACGGACGUAGUAUAUCUAUACAAAUUUUUUUCGUAGAUUUCAGUUUUAUAUAUAAACUGUCGUGUUUAGCCUCCUUACAUGUCGUUUUUAAGAAAUGUCGUCGAUGUUUUAUUUCCUACUAUAAUAAGAUGACGAUUGUUUAUAGAUAUGAGACGUGUAAACUAGAAUGAGACGUCGGUUUUUGGGAAUGAAUUUAAGUUUUUAUGAUUUAUUGUCAUUUUAUUUCAUUUAAUGACAUAAAUAUCCUAUACAAAAAAAAAUAUUUAAAAAUUUGAUUUUUUGAUGAUUGUUCAAUUAAUUACCAAAAAUAUAUUUAUGUACAUUGUCAAUAAAUUAAAAUAAACCUAAACAUUGUUAAAAUAAAUUAUAUCACUUAUAAUUCUGUAAUUGCUUGUUCACGAAUUCUUCCCAUUCCAGCCUGACUUCGUCAAUAUGUUCUUGUACAUACUGAACUGGUUCCUUUUUCUUGUCAAAUUGCAAAUAAAGAACAAAAACUAACGUGUUAUAAUUAUUAAAACGACGGUUUUUAAAGAAAAAGUCGUGGUAUUAAAAUAAAGAAAUUAUAUCUUAAAUUUUACCUUCUCAAUGCUAGGGUUGGAUCAUGAAUUAUAGCUCUCAUGAAACGCAUCACGUAAUAGCCACACUCUACAUUUGUUGGUUGUUGAGGAGUGCCAUGUAGAUUUUUCCAUAUGGCUGAUUUACAUGAUGAUUGUUUGCCUGUGUGAGAGUUAUACAUUUUGAUUGAACUGUUUCAAGAAAACAAAAAGUGUUAAUGACAAAACUAAAAAUCAGCAUAAAAAAAUAUUAACCGUCGUGGUAAAUAAGUGAAGAUGAAGGUUUUGUAAAACAAGUGACGUCAUAUUUAAUUCCAAACGUCGGUAAAUAAAAACCGUUGUUGUGUAGCAUUCUAAAGUCGGCGACGAUGAAAAAUGACGUAUAAACAAAAGUUGUUUGUAAAUGAAAGUUGAACAAAAAAAAAUUAAAACGUCCUAAAAUAAAAAACUCAAACAACGUGGUAUUUCAAUUAAGACGACGGUUUACAGAAAAUACUGACGUUGUAAAUGAUUUCAAACGUCGGUUAUAAUUUACCGUCGUUGUGUUUUGAUUACAACGUCGGUAUUAAAAAAAGUCAUCGUAUCAUUCAAAUGCAGAAAUAAAAAAUCUUAGAUUUUUAUAAAUAAACUUACGUAUUCACUAUAUUUCUCAUGUCCUGGUCAUCAGAGCGGUUUGGCAAUGAAUCCAUGUCAUAAACAGUCUCCUUAGCUGGUCUCAUAAUUAUUAACACCCAAUGACCCCUACACAUAAUGAUCCAUAUAGAUUAAAUAUACUACAAAAACAAAAUAUAUUACAAGGCACCAAGUAUAGUUAAGGGACUAACCCUGGAUUAUAAGGCACCAAGUAAAAUUGAUCCCCAUCUGCGUUUUUUAGGCUCCCUGAAGCUUGAAGAAGUAAUUCAAGCUCUUCAAUCAUAUGCUAAACUAGAUGAUAUAACUGAAAGCUCUCAAGGCCUUUAUGCCGAAGGCAAGGAGAGGGGCCGGGAAAAGACAAAGGAAGAGAAAAUAGACAACAGAGGUAGGUCAAAAUCCAAGAAGAAAAAGGAAAAGAAGGAAGGCUGUUUCGAAUGUGGUUCAGCCUGUCAUUGGAAGAGGAACUGCAAGAUUUGGAAAGAGAAGAAAGCCAAGAAGGAAGGAAGCUCAGGUUUAGCUAGUGCAGUCACCGAGCAUGAGAGUGACGGGGAGCUUCUUUCAGUAACAUCAGGCUCCAAGGCUUUCACAAAUUGGAUUUUGGAUACCAGAUUCACUUUUCAUAUGUGUGCAGUAAGAGAAUGGUUCGAUACUUACAAAGAAGUCAGCAGCGGGGAAGUUUUAAUGGGGGACGAUUCUUCAUGUCCUGUAAAAGGAAUCGGCACUGUUCGAAUCAUAAUGUUUGAUGGAAUGAUACGAGUUUUGGGGAACGAUAGAUAUGUCCCUAGACUAAGAAAGAAUUUGAUUUCCUUGGGUACUUUAGAUGAGGCAGGCUAUGGAUAUGAGUCUAAAAAGGGAAGACUCAGGGUAACAAAAGGAUCACUGGUGGCAAUGCAGGAUGACCUACAACCCAAUAAGCUGUAUAAGUUAAUUGGGACCACUACAGUCAAGGGAGCAGCUGUUUUUGUAAAUCAAGGUAUAGAAGACAAGACUGAACUUUGGCAUCAUAGGCUCAGGCACAUAAGCCAGAAAGGGUUGCAAGAAUUACACAAGCAAAGCCUGUUGGAAGGCGUGUCAUCUUGCAAAUUGGACUUUUGUGAAUAUUGUGUUAUUAGAAAGCAAAGGAAGGUAUCAUUCACGAGUAGCAGUGCAGAUAACCGAAGCAAGGAGCAACUCAGCUAUAUUCACUCAGAUGUUUGGGGCCCUGCACCAACCAAAUCAAAUGGUGAAGCCAAGUAUUUUGUUACUUUCAUGGAUAUUUUUUCUAGGAAGGUUUGGAUUUAUUACAUGAAGUAGAAAUCCGAGGUUUUUGCAAAGUUCAAGGAAUGGAAAACAGAAACUGAGAAUCAAAUUGGAAGAAAGAUCAAGUACAUGAGAAGUGACAAUGGAGUGAAUAUACAAGUAAUGAGUUUACCGAUUACUACAAGCAAGAAGGCAUCAUAAGGCACUUCACAAUUAAGAAGAAUCCCCAACAAAAUGGAGCUGCUGAGAGGAUGAACCGAAUUCUCAUGGAGAGACAGAGAGAGAGAGAGAGAGAGAGAGAGAGAGAAAGAGAGGAGCAUGCCAUUUUAUGCAGGAUUGCCUGAUAGUUUUUGGGUAGAAGCUGUUAAUCAUGCAAGUUAUUUGAUUAAUAGAUCACCAUUUACAAUUCUCGUUUUAAGAGUGCAGAAGAGGUAUGGUCUGAGAAGCCGGUGGACUAUUCCAAGCUCAGGGUAUUCGACUGUAGUGCUUACGCACAUAUUCCAAGUGAUGAAAGGUCAAAGCUCAAACCAAAGUCUACGCAUUGCAUAUUCUUUGGUUUCGAGAAAAGAGUGAAGGGUUUCAAGCUGUGGGAUAUCAACAACAGGAAAAAGGUUGUUAGCCGAGAUGUUGUCUUUGAUGAGACAACCAUGCCUCUGAAUAAAGUCGAGAGCAAUAGGGAGAAGAGAGACGAUGCUGAAAUUGAAGCAACAAAGAUUCCGUUAAUUAGUUCAUACGAAGAAGAAGCUCAAGUGGAGCAAAUGGAGCAAGAUGCUGAAUCUGAUGGUUUUGAGGAAGAAGAAGAGCAUCAGCAUCGUUCACCAGUUACGAAUCAGGUGGAACAAGAAAUAAGGCAUAUUGAAGGCACUCUAAUUCGCCAGACAUCCCAAAGGGUUUGAACUCCAACCAACAAUCCACCUGCAUUCCAGAGAUGCAUAGCACUGGACAAACCUAAUCGGAAUAAGAAGAAACCUGACAGGUUUGGGUUUAACCAAGACGAAGUUAAUUAUGCUCUCAACAUUAGUCAAGGAGAUCCAACUACUUAUCAAGAAGCUAUAGCAAGUGAUGAGCGAGAUAGUUGGAUAAGUUCUAUGACAGAAGAAAUGGAGUCUCUUUACAAGAACUCUGUUUGGGAGUUGAUUCCUAAACCCAAAGACAGAAAGCUAGUUGGAUGCAAGUGGUUAUUUAGGAAAAAGGAAGGACUACAUGAACAAGAUGUCGUGAGAUUCAAAGCAAGGCUCGUGGCUAAAGGGUACUCACAAAAGGAAGGGGUGGAUUAUGAUGAGAUCUUUUCACCUGUAGUCAAGCAUACUUCUAUCAGAUUGUUUUUAGCAAUGGCAACUCAGAGAGAUAGGACCGCUGGAAGGAUCUGGAUAUCACAAGCCAAGUAUAUUUAGAAGGUUCUUGAGAAGUUCAACAUGCAAGAAGCGAAGGUACUUUCAACUCCUUUGGCAUCUCACUUCAAGUUAAAUGGGCACCAGUGUCCUAAGUCUGAGGAAGAGUAGCAAGUAAUGGAGAAGGUGCCUUAUGCUAAUGUCUUGGGCUGCCUUAUGUAUGCAAUGGUAUGCACACGUCCCGACAUAGCUCAAGCAAUUAGUGUCGUUUCCAGAUACAUGGCAAAUCCAAGAAAGCAACAUUGGGAUGCAGUCAAGUGGAUUUUACGUUAUUUGAAGACUUCUUGGCGACAAAGGAUUAUGUUUGAGAAGCAAAAAGAAAAUGCAGGGGUGUUGGGAUAUGUGGAUGCCAAUUAUACAGGGGACUUGGACAAGAAAAGGUCAACUUUUGGUUAUGUAAACAUGCACAGGGGGACCGAUCAGUUGGAGGGCACUACUGCAACCAAUUACAGCUUUGUCGACCACAAAGGCAGAGUAUAUUGCAUUGGCCGAAGCUGGAAAGGAAGCAAUUUGGCUUAGUAGCUUGGUAAGUCAAAUGGGAAUCACUCAAGAUUGUGUGAAGCUGAAAUGUGAUAGUCAAAGUGCCAUUCACUUGGCAAAAAAUCAAGUUUUUUUCUGGAAGAUCAAAGCACAGUGAAGUAAGAUAUCACAGAAUCAGAAAUUGGGUAGAGUCUAAGGAGAUUUGGAUUGAAAAGAUUCAUACGGAUGACAAUGCCGCAGAUUUCCUUACAAAGAUAGUGUCGACCAAGAAGUUCAAGCAUUGCUUGAACUUGAUCAAUCUCGUUGAUUGAUUAAAGUGGAGCACCUCUUCACUUGAGGUGCAAUGAGGCAAGAAGAAGAUUGCCAAGGUAAAGACUCUUGAAGAUUUCCAGAGCUGCUUCAAGGAGGUUCAAAGAUACUCUGGAGUGCAACGAUCAAGACUUGGUUUGACUCACCAAGGUGGAGAUUGUUAGGAUUUUGGCUCGUCAAAUAUGUCCUAGUUGGUUUAGGAUUGUUUUAGGAAAAUUAGAGGUAUACCAAUUCUUGUCCUAGAGGGAUUAGGAAAGAAUUUCAGUUUUCCUUAUUCAAUUUAGAUUUGGAUUUCUAGAAGUCUAUUAGGAUUUGGAUAAGUGUAAUUUCCUAAUCUACAUAGAAAUAGGAAUUCAAUCAGCCUUAGGACAUGUAAGCCAACUCUAUAUCUAUAAAUAAGGUGCGGCAAGGCUUAUUUUAAGGGGAAAAAACAGCCAGAGACAGCCGAGAGUUUUGAAAUUAGUUCUAGGGUUGCAAAAGUUCUGUAAUCUCUAUUAUUAAUCAAAGGAGCGGUGAUUUCUCUACCUAGAGAAAUCACAACUGGACAUAGGCAAAAGUUCUGCCGAACCAGUAUAAUUCUUGUGUGUUUCUAAGUUUUCUAAUAUUUGCUAGUUUAGUCUAUUGCCGUUGGUUACAUUAAAGAACAAGAUCUAGUGUGCGGGUUAUUUAACAACUAUACGGAAACGAACGAAGUUGGCAUGACGAAUCACAGUUAUAGGAGGCUCUUUUGCGGAUUUGUUUGCUUUGGCGGCUGAGAAGUUGACGCUAGUUGAGUUAGAGACGUUUGCCUGUGGAGCUUGGCAUUUCGGAAGCUUCGCAAUGAUCUAUUGCAUGGGAAGAGUGAACAACAUAUGAAUGUGAUCGUGGAAAGCACUCUGGAGAUGCAUGCUCUGUUCAAAGCCAAUGUUGAGAGGCCGCAAAAAUCGGCUGCUUCUUUAGCUGUGCAAUGGAUUAAGCCACCGCUCCAAACUCUCAUUCUCAACUAUGAUGGUGCUAUUAGCAGGGAUGGAAGUGGUCGGGGAGGGGGUUGUUGCUGUGAUUACACUGUAAAUUUUCUAUGUGGGUUCACGGCUAGUGGGCCUCCGGGGUUGGAUGUGCUAGGUACGAAGCUGGAGGUGUUACGUGAAGGCCUUCUGAUGAUGGGAUUUAAAAGUUUAACCUGUUUUGUUGUGGCUUCAGACUCAAAAGAAGCAAUGUCUAGGCUCAAAGGUUAGUUGGAUUGGUGGGGUAACAUUGGUAGAGUGGUGGAGGAUAUUUGACGUUUGCUUGUUGACAAGGAAGUAAUAGAUGUGGUGCAUCAACCUAAAUUGGGCAAUAGAAUGGCCCAUGCACUUGCUCAGUUUGGGUUAAAGGAAAGCACAAGGUUCUUUUGGGAAGACGUUGCUCCACCUUGACUGGUGGCAAGAUUGCGACAUGAUUUAGAAUUGGCUUAGUCUGUUAUUUGUUUAUUAUGGAAGGCCGUUGUACUCUUUUUUCUUGACCGCAUUUUCCCUUUGGGGUUUUGAUGACAAGGUUUUAACGAGACCACAUUUUUGCCCUUCGGUCUUUCAAAGUUUGGUGCAUUGUAAGUUUUUCCCCAAUUGAAUGAAGUUACUUGUUUUGAUCCCAAAAAAAAAAAAAAAGUCUUCCUCUAGCCUACCUUGAUUGAUUGGUAAAAGUCUUCCUCAAGUCUUAUAAACACCCACCUUUGUCCCACUCCUCAUAACAAAGGAAGAGGACAUGUAUUUUCCUUUUUAAUUUAUGAGCACAUGUAUCUCCUUUUCUGAUAAGUCUUCCUCUAGAAUUUUCUUCGUCAUUUAAUGUGAAAAUUACAUAAAGAAAGAACGGAAAUUCCAUACAUUAUUUCAUUGACUGAUUUGUCUUCCUUUUUGUUUGUUCCCCAAUACACGAUAUGAACUCAUACACAUCAAUAACUUCAGACAUAAUAGAAAAUUGACAGACUAAGGAAAGGCAAUGCGCAUAUGAAGUGAGAAAUGUAAAAAUUUCCACAUGAAAAAGAACUAACUGUUAGCGUUUGUUUCAUUGAAUGAAAUAGGAUCCUUAAAUAAAAUAAACACCUAAGAAGAACUAAGCUUGCAAAAUCAAUAUUACGUAUUAAUACCUCUUUUAACUAAUGCUUUUGGUCUUGAGCAUCCAAGAAGAGGAGCAACAAAAGUAGAACUCGAGCAAUCUCACUUUCAUAGGAGGAUUUCUAUAAUAUCAUGAACAUGCCCUUUAUGGAACCAAAUGACUCAAGAUAUUACAAUCAAGGCAGACUUUCUGAAAUUCAAUUCUAACUUCUAAGCUCAGAGUUACUACGAAAACAGUUCUCUAAAAUGCAAAAAUGCACCUUUCAAGGCCAAACAAAAGGAAUGAGCCUAAAGACAUCACGAUCCAUGGAAAAGUGAUGGAGCUUGAAGAUCUUGACGUUCCCAGUCAGUAAACCUCUUCUAACACAAUUUUUCUUUUUGGAACUUGAUCUCAACUGGUGCCUUGUCGCCUUUUGGGAAUCAAACUCAUCAGUAAAAGCACUUUCUAUAUAGAUUCCAAACUGCAUCUGAGUUCCGAUAAUUGUUUUUACAUCUCAACUCUUCUCAAAAACCUUGAAAAACCUAUGCGAAUAAAAUUCAUGGAAAGACAGGCGGUGAACUGCAAUAAUGCAUCAAUCAGUCAGGGGCUUCCUCAUAAAGACAGAGGACCAAGAGCCUCGACCAGAUUGGGAUCCUACAUGGUUAUACCAUGCUUUUAACCCAUGUACCAGAAUCUUCUACGGUUUGGAUUGUGCCAUAUCUGCAAUGUUUAAGUUUAUUUUCGGUUAAGACUACAAUGACAUUUGCACUGUCUCACAGCCCUUAUCCUCUUCUUUCAUGCUCCUCCUUGACCUUGAAGAGAACACUCAGCCUCCCAUAUUGUUUCCCUACAACUAUAACAGAGAAAAAUCACCUAAAUUCAUGGUCCCUAUGGCUAGAACCAUCAAACCAAUGUCUCACCAACAUUUUUAGGUUACAUUACAUCUCCAUGAAAACCACAAUACCGAAUGAAUAAAACUUCAACUUUAUGCUCACAUAGACAAUAAACUGAAAUUGGGAAGCGCAGAUACAAAAAUCUCAUCUAUAUUGAUUUUCUUUAAUCAAAAUUCAAAUCACUCAAUUAUCCUCAACAUGCAAGAGCAAGGUAUUGAACCUGAUAUGUAAGACUCAAUAAAAUUUUACUAAUGAAACUUCAAACAAUGAAAACCUUUUACGAAUUCUACUUGUAUACCCUAAAAUUUCACUCAUCUUCAACGUGCAACUGUUCUUCUAGAUGGCUAAUGAGGAAAGCUUUAGUUUGAAUCUAAAUGCAGUGAAUUCCAUGACAGUUUUUCGUUAUGUAGUUAUUUAGGCACAUCAGGUAUCUUCUGUUUUCAAUCUAUCGGCUCUUCUUAACAUUAACAGUUUAGAGUCAAACAAAAAAAAAAAUUUGAAUGGCUCAACAAUUGAAAUAGGGUUUCGAUGUGGGAAAUUUGGGUGUCGGACAGAUUGAGUUUUUUUAUUUAUAAUAAUUUUGUUUUCCUUGUACGAAGUCAAAAUUAGAGGUUAUUCACCCUUACAUGCAUUCAGAGAAUUGAUUUGUAGAGGUAAUGGGAUUUGAUCUUAGCUCUAGGUAUCAGCAGGGUUGAAAGACUGAGCGCUUGGAGAAGAUGCAUAAACUCCUUAAAGAAUAGAACAAUUAAUACCCUGGUAUAACCAGAUAAAAUCCCAACCUGGUAGAGAAUCCUGGUCCUAACAGAUAAGCAAUAUAUAGCUAGUUUUGGUGAAGGGUACAAUAAGAAUAUAAGAAAUUGAGGAAGGUAUAAUGCUAGACCUGGAUUUCGAGACAACAGUUUUGAACAUAUAUCAACAGAGUCUGGAUGCAACCGAGAAAGGAUGAGUUGGUCAAAAGGGAGACAUGUAGAUGACUUGAUGUUCUUAAGCACCUGGAAAGUAAAAAAUCUAUCACUAUUUGAGCGAGCAUGUUUAAAGGAGUUUGUAUGGCAAAAAGUAGUACGUUGAUACCUGAACAUUAGUCCUACCAGGAAAAGGAGGGCAACCAUUAAGAAGCUCAAAAAGAAUUACACCAACACUCCACAUGUCCACCUAUGAAAAUCAAAACCUUUAUUUCUGUUCAUCCUGAUUGAAAAGGGAAAAUGGCAUGAGCUCUGGACAAGAUCAUACCUUUCCAUCAUAUCUUUCAAACUGAAGAACUUCAGGUGCCAUGUAUAAUGGGGAUCCACAAACUGUCUCCGCAUAAUCACCUGGAUGUAAACUUCUGUCCAUAGUAGAAAAGAAAAGGCAAAAAAUGAAACUUCCAAAUUUAAUUGCUUUAAAUCAUAGUAAAUAAUAUAUAAUAAAAAGGGUUACAGGAUGAAUUUCCACAUAUGUCCCUCUAUGAUAGAGGUUACCUUGAGAGACCGAAAUCAGCUACCUUUAGCACUGCAUCAUCGUCACUGCGAGAGAGUAGAAUGUUCUAGUCCAACAAAACAAAAGAAUUCAGGAAAUUUUAGAAUUAUGAUGUUGCGCAAACCAUAGGAAAAACACUGCAUUUGCAGGUACUAUGUAGAAAACCAGAAAACAAAUUGCAACUUUUUUACUCUACUUUAGAAAAUUACAGCAUUGUCAGAACAACAAUUAGUUGUCAUGUAAAAUUCUGAAGUAGCAUUUUAUGCGACAAGACAUCACUAAGACUAGAAAUUUCAAAAAGCUUCAAGAAAAAAAGACAUGGAAGUUUCCAAUUUGAAGACUCCAAACCCAAAAGAAUCUGUUAAUAUUUAGAAGUAAUUUUUGGUAAUUUUUUUUUUUCAAAUCCUAGUUGUUGAGUGGAAACCAUUGGUGAAGUUUAAAAACAGGGUCACUCCAAUCUACUAAUGCAAUUUACACGUAAGGGGGCAAUGAAUUAGGUAAGGAUCAAAGUUCAACCAAUAUAGAUUCAAUUCAUAAAAUCCGAUCCUAUAAUGUAGAUUUAUAUAUGAGUUUAAAAUUCAAUAAAAUCAUGUUCAAAUAAGAUUCAUAAUCGUGAAUAUCAAAAUCAGAUUAAGAAUGUCCUCUUGGGUUCUUGCUUCUCCAGCAUUGUGAGACAAACACCCGGGUGCGAACUGAAAGUUGAUCUUCUGUGGAUAUUCAACCAUAGGGCCCAUAUAACCCAUAACUUCCCCGGCAAAAGAAAAUAAUGGCUACAAAUAGGAAAAUUUACUUUUGUUGCCAUUGUCCUAUAAAAUCCUGUUUUUACCUCUGGUUUUAAGUCUCUAUGCAUGAUGUGGUGAGAAUGUAGUAUUUCCAAACCAGCCCCUGUACAACAAGAAUUUGAUUAGAUGCAGACUGUAGAAGCAGUGUAAAGCCUUAUUACAAAUUAAAAUGAAAAUAAGAAGCUACCAAGCUGCUGCAUAAAUUUCCUAGCGAUCUGUUCAUGAACUCUCCCAUGUUGCCGAAUAUAGGCUGCCAAAUUUCCCCCAUUGCAGAAUUCCAGGACCAGGAAUAUGCAACCUUCAUUCUGGGUUGAAGACAUGAAUAACUCACUAAAUAAUAGCCAAAUAACACGCUGGUUUCCAACAGUUAAAAGGUUUGGUGCCUGGAUAUCUUCAUUUAUAUAAUCUCACUCUCUUCUGCUUCCUUUUCCCUAUCUACAGAAUUCCGUUAUGGCAUGUUUACUUAUCAGGAAUGGGUAUUGGAACAAUUCCAAUUCAUGACUUACCCGGCGUUUACUAACACAUAAGGAAUAAAAAAAUUUGCGUUCCUUGUUAAAAUCUGUAAUCAAAUACCCUCAAAACUAGGAAUUGGAUCAACUACAGUCCUUACACAUAAAAUAUAUUGUGAAACUAGUUUGAUGUUUAGAGAACAAUCCCAUGUUCACUUCCAAACUUCUAUGAAAAUUCAAAAAGAUAGAGAUUGAGAAUUUGGGGUUCUAAAUGGUUGAGUUGUGAUUAUGGAAUUCCUCAAGAACAACCCCUGCAUUCAAAAUCUGCUGUGAAAGUAGUUUAGUGUUUAGAGGAUGAUCUCAUGCCUACUUUUACGUUUGUAUGAAACAUGCUUAGUGAUAGAACUUGAGAGGUUUGGGCCAGUUACCGGUACAAUAUUCUUAAAUAAAUUACUCAUGCCUGGACAUGUUUAAAAGAUAAGUAAGUGAUUCAUGACAGUGAAGGCUGGAAAGAGUGUAUUGAGGAUCACUCAAAUCUACGUGAGGCAUUAUACUACUCAUGUAGACAACGACAAUAAUGGUGCAUAACAGUCCUAGAAUCAAGUAGGUUAGUAAGUCUAAGUCUAAUCAGUUGAAUCCUGACUCGACCCAUGUUUCUUGCUUAGGUCUUCUGCAUUAAAAGUUUGACUAAAAAAUUGAAUCAAAGAUCAAGAUGUCCUUGUAUGCAUCCAAACACGUGUAUAUCAGAAAGUACUCAUGUGAGAUGAGAAUUUUUGUUGUAUUUGUAAAAAACAAAUUAGUGUGCCAGUAUUUAGGAAUGUCAACAGAAACCUAUCCACCCCUCUAGGUUUCUUAUCCAUUAUAUUUGGAUCUUAAAUAGUGGUUUAGUGACAUGCCAAUGCUGUAUAUCUUUUAGAAGGUUCUGUAGAUAGACUGAAGAUUGCUGGGAUAAUAACCAAUUUCCAAGGAUUUCUUAGGAUAAUUCUAGCAAAGGUCCUUUGGGCUGUAAAGGAUAAUUUAACUAAAUAGAAUGAAGAGGUAUCUAACAAGAUGAAGAUCAAGAAACAGAAUGGUGGAAGGAGAUUAAGGGCCGGAGAGCCAGCAUAGAUGUGAAACUGGUGGAGUGGGGCAGGCAGCACUUAGGUUUGAGACUUCAAUCAUCCAUAGGCGAGAGAAAAAUAAAACCUACUUGGAGGGGGUAAAAUUCAAUCCAACAACCAACCAAAAAUUAAAAAAAACCUUAAUAUAUGGCAAAGGCUUCUCUGCAUUCACAAUGCAAGCGUAAUAAAUCCUUCAUACUCAAAAAUCACCACGGCUACUACCGGGUGGAUGGAGGAACCAAUUACUAAUAUUAUCCCUCAAUAUUUUAGGUAAAAACCUAUAAAUAACAUUGACCACUAAACCAAUCACCAGUCACAUAAAAAUCAAUCAAUCACCAAGAGAAAAAUCAAAAGACAGACGGCACAAGUUGAAGCGUGAUUAGCCAUUAAAAACUAGUUUCACUAAAAUAUGGAAAUUUAGAAACUCCAAAUUUCCUACAAUAUUGCUCUGAUUCAACCAAACUAAUGAAAUGGGUAUAUGGAAAAAAAAUUAAAAAUUAAAAAUAAUCGAAGAAAUUGAAAGAAAGGAGAUGAUCAAGUACCUGGAAAGCUUUGAGGAGACGAACGACGUUGGGGUGGCAAAUAGAGGACAAGAAUUUGAUCUCGCAAUCCAAGCAAUUCUUGAGGCGCCUGUUGAGCCGCGAGAGGAAGACCUUCUUCAGAGCCACCACCUCCCCACUUUCUCUGUGCACGGCUUUCCACACUCUGGAGAAAGAGCCUUCCCCAACCUCUGAUAUCAGAACGUAAUCUCCUAAUGCUGCUGUGCUGCUGAGUUCAGAGAGACUUGGCUUGCUUUCAGGUUCCAUAUUGAUGUUUUUGAGCUCUCAAGACUUUGCUUUGCUUGCCCUGUAAUGAAAGCGUUAUGGGUUUCCUUCAUAGCUAACUCUCUAUCAUAGCUAACUCACCGUCCCCUCAAAAAUUUGACACAUGUCUUUAACUAUAUCCAUGUUGUAAACUAAAGAGAUUAUGGAGAGAAUUAAGAUGGAGAGAGGGCAUAGAAGCCUGAUCUUUUCAUUGAAUGUUUUCUCUAUAUCUUUGCAGGCAAGAGGGUUGCCUAUUUAUAGGCAUGUUAAAUGGCACCCGUGAAUAAAAGAGAAGACAUAAUGAUGUUUCUACCCAAUUAUCACUGUUCACCUUUUGACUAUGUGGGCUUCACCCAUUCUACUUUACAACACUCCCUCUUGGAGACCACAUGUCCCUAGAUUGGUUGCCUCAUUAAAACCUUGCUUGUAAAAACCCAGUGGGAAAAAACCUAAGCGAAGGAAAAAGAGUACAACUUUAUUUGGGACAUAAAGGUAAUACGCUCAUGUUGCCUCGUUAAAACCUUGCUUGGAAAAAUUCGGUGGGGAAAAACCCUAGUCGAAGGAAAAAGAGUACAAUGCGCAUAUGUCCUGUGUUAGAGGACUCUUGAAUGCUCCCCCUGAUUUUGCAUGCUCCAACUUGAUUUCUUGCAGAGUUGUCGUAAGCCGAUGCCAUGCACUAACUUUUGGAAUGUACAUUUCGGCAAUGAUUUAGUGAAGAGAUCUGCCAGGUUAUCGCUUGAGCGGAUUUGUCUGACUUUGAUUUCUUGACUCUUCUGGAGCUCGUGUGUAUAGAAAAACUUUGGUGAUAUGUGCUUAGUCCUGUCACCCUUGAUAUGUGUAUAGAAAAACCUUGCCAGUAAAAACCCAGUGGGACAAAAAACUGGUCGAAGGAAAAAAGAGUACAUAACCAUGUGUAACAUAAAAUUCUGUGUAUAUUGACAUGCGUACGACACUGCCUCGUUAAAACAUUGCCAGGAAAAACCCAGUGGGAUAAAAACCUGGACGAAGGAAAAAGAGUACAGUGUGAAAAGGUCUUUAUUGACAGCACGCUCCCCCCCCCCGAUGAAUAUCUCCUCCUGAAAACUUCAUGACUAGCUUUUUCCAGUAAGCGACCAUAGAGAUUUUCAGAGUCCGCAUAUCUAAUAACACUUGGGCUAUUUAUAAGUUCACUCAAAAAUAUGCCCGUAUAUGGUGUUGUGCUUAGAUAGCAUCAAAUAUGCCUCACAUCAUCCCAAAAUGAUGGUGAUGGAGUUGAGCUCUAUCUGGAAAAUACGAUGUACAGUCCAAUAUACUUCCCUGAAAAUCCUGAAAGUGUCCAACGGAUAAUCCUCAUAAAAAUGCUUCAAUACUUUCUUAGUAUAAGCGAGAAUCUCGUUGGCAUAAUGCUCGAUCUUUAAGUCGAGACAAAUAUUUCUUGAACUCUUCAGAAGCUUUAAUGUGUUGCAAACACAUUAUAGUCCAUGUACUCACUGAGGCAAUUUAUGCAUAUUAGUAUUGAGUACUGAUUUUGUGCUUUAGGCAUAUGUCCUUUACAGACUUGCUUCAUGCAAUUUCAAUCCUUUCAAGGAUUUUGUUUAAAGGGAUUAAACUUUAUGACACAUUAUAUAGCUUUUACCCAGCUAUUUAUACAUCUUUAGGGAAUCGCUUCUGGCGAUAUGCUUCGUGCAUUUAAUAACCCUUAAAGAUAACAUGUUGGUCUCCGUAAAUGUGCAAUAAGGAGGCACAAUUGAAUCUGUAAAUAUGGAGAAGACCCAACAUUCCUUGUCUCUGCCAGAAACAUUGUGUCAUACAAAGUAGGUAUAUUCCCUUUUAUUCCGAACACCCAAGUAUAACUUUCAGUAUUAACAUCUUUUGGGGUUCGUACUGUGGGUUUGUUCUUUCACGUUCAUUCUCAUCUAUAAUGGAAUUACCUCAUUCCAUUUUGGCCAAUGAUAUUGUCGACAUUUAAUAAUUGAACGUGGUUCCAAUCAACACAGCCCAUUGAUGAUUUGAGUAGCUACUCCAAAACCAAAAAUUGUCAUUCAUCAAUUCAUGAUCCCACCAUUCUCAUUUGCAUGUGCAUGCAUCAAUUAUAAGCAUUUCUUUGCUUUUGGGUACCCAAGCCACUUCAGGGGGUUUUUAUUAUGUGAGAAUGUGGAUUAUAACCUUCAAUGGAGCGUUAUUUUACAUAGGGCGUGGAAAAUCUCCAUUUUGGGAGUUGGAACAUUCAGAACUCAUACAUCUGUCAUGCUGCAGGCAUGCCACAGAUUAAUACAUACAUGUCAAUUAAUUUAUGGGACUUUAACCCAUAUAAUUUGCUACGCAUUAGGCGUGCACAAUAUCAAUAUUGACAUGUUAAAGGAUUUUCCUUUCGGGACUUCAAUCCACAUCAUUUGCUACGCAACAAGCGUGUAUCAUAUUGAUCACUGCUAUACCCAUAUUCUGUUCUUAUGGGAUUUUAAUAUGUGCAGUGUAUUAUCAAUGUAUCCAACUUGCAAUCUGUAAAAUUUGUGUUAAUAAUUCAUGGAUACAUACAAGCCAUUCUUUUGGAACGGACUUAUCUCCCCAUUUGCUUACCUUUCAAGAUAAAAUAUCAAAUAAGUAUAUAAGUAUAAAAUAACACAAAUAUUGCUUACAUCCUUAGGUGGGAGAAACUUUUCUCAAGUAUCAUUCAAGCUCGUAUCGGCCCAGUAAAUAUAAUGUAGCGCUUGAUGAUCUAGUUAUAUCCUGCAAGAGCAAAAUCACAACUCUUUUCUCUGUCAAAAACAAAUAACCCUCAGAGUUAUGAUCACUUCAUGGAUUCUUUCUUCAGAUGUUCAUUCUAAAGAAAUAAAAUCUCUUAUGAACAGAGAGUUACAAAAAGAGAAAAAAUGCAAAAAAAUUGUGAUAUUGAUUGCAAGAUAAGGUAAGCAAUCAGGGAAGGAAGCUGGUGGGAGCAGACAAUAAGCUCUCAUUUCUCCUAGUCUAAAAGGACUUCCGGAGAUUAGAGCAUAAGAUCGCCUUCACAGUUUCCUGAUGUAGCGGAAACGUGAUCAGGGAUAGUCUCGCUUCCUGAAUGGAUGAUCAGAGAUAGUCUUGCUUCUCGGGCAUAUUGAGUGCUCACUGAUAAGAAAAAUAAGUAGAUAUCGCAUCACUAGGUAUGGAGAAAACUGGAUGUCUUCUGCAAAGAAAAUUUUGUUAGUAACACAUUUAUACACAAAUAAGAGGAAUAGAUAGAACCGGUGAAUUUCAAAUUAACCAUAGGAAAAUUGCGAGAUUCUUGGGGCACUUUUGAAAAAGUAGCUCCGUGAAAUCCGCAAAGCAAGAUCGGCUUUGACGAAAAUAAUACUUGGAAACGCCGAAAGUGCCAACAAAUAUUAAUGGAGGCCGCGUGAAGUUUUGGAAUCUGGAAAAGAAAAGGAGAAUAUGGGGAUCUGAGAUAAUAUUGGGAUCCUGAAAACUGUAGCCAUAUUUCCUCCUAUAGAUAUUGCCUUUGCAAGACUUGAUUGGAGCAACUGCGUUUCAACUCAACUUCCUUCAUUUUCUGAAACUUUAGUUUUUCUAAGACUUUCUUCGAAACCUUCUUAAAAUGGCUUCCUCUUCUUCCAGCCCAAAUUAUUUCAAUUUAAAUGAUGCUCCCACAACAACCAGUGACGCCAAAGUUUGGCGUCCCUCCUUUGUAUCCCAAAAUCGUCAUCUCAUAGUUAAUGAUUCUGUGAUGAUGAAUGAUGCUACUGCUGUCAUAGUAGCUAGGAAUUUCAUUACUCCAAUGGAUGAAAUACUGUUAACAGGGAGGUUUGAGGAAGAGGCUAUUGAUGACUCAAUGGCUUCUAGCAUUCAGAGUGCUGCUUCUGUUUCUAACAUGGCUGAUCGUUUGCGUGCUAGAGCAAACGAGGUUCAGAAGCUAACAACUGAAAAUUCGUCUCUUCAAAGGAUGCUUCAUGAGUCUCAACAGGAGGUUGAGAAACUUAAAGGAGAGAAUAAUUCCUUGUUGAAACUGGUGAGUUCGUACUCCGUUGAUACACUGAGAAGGCUAGACAUGCUGCAGGUCUCCAAUGAAAGAAUUUUGGAAGACCACGAGAGGCUUAUGGCUAAGCUUAAGAGGCGUCGUCCUCUUCCGUCAGAGGCUUCCAGAACAUGAUGUAAUUUUAUAGAUUUUACAGGGCCUGCACCUUCAUUGCAGGUGGAAAAAUCUAUCUGUUGUAUGCUCCUUUCCUGUUAUAAUAAUUGCACACAUUCUUAAAUUUGCACCUGUGGUUUUUAUGUCUUUUCAAAAUGACGGUUUGGAACCUUGUGCCUUAUAUGUUCAAAUAACCACAUCGACUCUCCCAAAUUUCCUAUUUCAACGUAUGGGAGCCCGAAACUUUUGCCCUGGGCUAAACACAAACUCAGAAUUUAUUCGCCCUUUUCAAAUGGACAUGAAAUAUGAAUUGAGUAAAAGCCACGAUAAUUUCGCAAUAUAGUAGUGAAGAGCAUUAACUACUAUAUACCCACAACCUCAAGUUCGGGAUUUCUCAUAUAUUUGAAUCCAUGUGCUUCCGGCCCAGAUAUAACAAAAUAUGUGGGGAGCCUCAAUUCAUCAUUUGAGGUUUAUAUUGAUAUUAUCCAUUUCACGGUGUAUUCUUAACAACCAGAAUUCACAAAAUAUAUUUCUUCCUUGAGGUGUCGAUUAUAACAUAAUCGAACUUUAUUAAAUUCAUCAUUUUCUUAUGCCAAAGAAAUAUGUGGUGUACCACAAUUUGUAAUAAUACCUCAAGGGUUGUCCAUUUAACUGUUGGAACUUUAGGUUCUCAACACUGUUAGAUUUUGAACUUCAUGCCAAAAUCACAUAUUCUCAUGGUAUGGACUUUCAAUCCCCUUAGAUUUUGAAUUUCGGGCUAAAAUCACAUAUUCUCAUGGUAUGGACAUUUUUACAAUUUUCUGUACAUAUUUCUGGACUUCAAGCCCUUACAUAAUUGUCCAUAUUUUGAGGAACUUCUGGCAUCUCAUUUAAUUGCUUAUCCAUGAGUUUAAGGAACUGCAGGUUCCCUUUUGUAUAGUGACGGUUUACCCAAAAUGGUUAAUAUUUAUGUAUACGUCACUAUUCAUGUAUCCGGUACUAUUCAUCAAGUCAUGAAUACGUAUCUAUUCAUGUGUACAGUACAUUUGCCAAUACAGUUAUUAUCCAUGUGUACGGCACUAUGAACCAAUACGGUACUGUUACAUCAUUAAGGAACCCCAGGUCCUUAUUUACAUGUCAGGGAUCAAGGACCGUCAAGUCCAAUCACAUGUUUACAAAUAUCAUCAUCAAGGAUCUUCAAGUCCUGAUGUAAUUGUAUGAUGAGGAUCAAGGAACUUCUGGUCCUGAUCUGCAUACUAUAAGAAAACUCAUCAUACAACACAAUUAAUCCAUAAAAUAAAUUGCUGGUAAAUAAAUUACUGGUAUGGACGAUAAACCCGCACCAUACUUUAAAUAAAUGUAAAUGUGCGGUAAAAUAAAUUCAUAAAUUAAAUUGCUUGUUGUAUGGACAUUAAUCCCGCACCAUACCUUAAAUAAAAUUAAAUGUGCAGUCAAGUAAAUUCAUAAAGUAUGAGGGUUAAUUCCACAUCAUACUUUAAGUAAAAAUAAAUUUACGAUAAAGUAAACGUGCUUGUAUGGGCACUAAUUCUGCUCCAUACAUUUAAAUAAAAGUAAAGGUGUGGACGAUAAACCCGCGCCACCCUUUUAAAUAGAUACUGUUGUAUGGGUAAUAAACCUACACCAUACAGUAAAUAAAAUAAAUGUAGAAAUAAAACCACCACUAAAAAUAUAAAAGAGUGAAACCGACAAUUAUUUGUGGGUUCUUAGCAACACCACGAUCAAAUAAUAUAUAUGCUGUCAACUUGAAUUGCCUCCCUUUUUUUUCGGUGGAAUUCCUCUCAAAACUAGAGGAAAUAGGAAACAAUAUAAUAUGAUUACAUUAAUAUAUGUAACUAGAAAAGUUGAGACAAACCAUAGUGCUAGUCUGCCUUCAUGUUUGUCUGCUCCAUAAUUUCGUAAAUAAAAUGGAUGAACAUGAACCUGCACAAGUUCCUCUUGUACACCUUUACUUGCUUUUUAUGAUCAAUAUAAUUAUAUAAUAUUAAAGAUAAAAUAGGAUAAAGAAAAACAGAGGACUUAUCUCUUUUCCUCAGACCCACUGGUUCCACUUGCCUGAUCUGACUUACAGAUCUUUGACAAAAACUAUGUUCCAGAAACUUGCUUGAAUACGGCAAUCUAGUAGCCUAGGUAACACCCACUGAGCUGGACUCUAGCUAUUAUGACUUCUCCAUAGACUCAGCUUCAAACCGGUUUUUCAUCCAAUUCCUCCAUGUCUGAGUGCUGCGCAGAAUGCCUUUGCUUGAUCGGUUUGUGGCCUUUUCUUCUUCCUCUAUGUUUGUAGACAUGUUUUAGAGAGGGCUAUACUCUCUGCUACAGUUGAUAGGUUGAUAGCUGGAAAUUUGAGAAAGAAAGGUAUUGAAGCAGAUGGAAUUCAUCCGAGAAUUCAACUGGUAUUUUUGAAAGCGAAUUCGUGCUGAUAACGUGUUGUAAACUAAAGAGAUUAUGGAGAGAAUUGAGAUGGAGAGAGGGCAUAGAAGCCUGAUCUUUUCAUUGAAUGUUUUCUCUAUAUCUUUGCAGGCAAGAGGGUUGCCUAUUUAUAGGCAUGUUAAAUGGCACCCGUGAAUAAAAGAGAAGACAUAAUGAUGUUUCUACCCAAUUAUCACUGUUCACCUUUUGACUAUGUGGGCUUUACCCAUUCUACUUUACAACAAUCCAUAACUAUUUUCAAUUUUUCAAAGCAUUUGAAAACAAAAAAUUAAGUCUAAUAAUAAUUUAUUUUUAUUUUUAUUUUUCAAAAAAUUGUCUCUUUCUCUUUCCUCCUUGCCGACCCAUCCUACCAUUGGGGAUCUAUUCUCCACAACCAUCCCAGCCACCGUUCACUCGUCCACCUUAUUCACCCUUCACCACGCUCCCCACCACAACAACCACCCACACCGAAACCCCAAAACCCUAGCCACCUCACCACGACAACACAAAAAAAUAUACAAAUAGAGAGAAAACAAGCUAUUUUAUUGGAUUCCUCUAUUUUUAGAGAAAGAGAUGGGAGAUGGGUUUGGAAUUUGGGGUUUGUUUAUUGAGAAGCUGCUGCUUCUUUUUUAUAGAGAGAGAGAGGAGUCCAGAGAGAGAGGGAGGGAAAUGAGUGGAAAGAGGGGAUGUGACGAGUUAAUAAGAAAUCGAAAUUGAUUCGGUCUCUCUGUUGAAGUUGGGUAUAUUUAAUUUAAUUUAUGCAUGUAAAGACGNNNNNNNNNNNNNNNNNNNNNNNNNNNNNNNNNNNNNNNNNNNNNNNNNNNNNNNNNNNNNNNNNNNNNNNNNNNNNNNNNNNNNNNNNNNNNNNNNNNNCUAAAUGACUUCGACCCACAAACAUUAUAGAUGUUCCACAAUCUUGGACUGCGUUUUUGGGGGGGGGGGGGGGUCUGGACUCUGGAGUUGCUACAGAGGAAUGGUGGCUAGGGUUUUUAAGGGCAGUGGCUAUAGAGAAUAAAGAGAGUUUUUUUACAAAUUUAUUUUAUUAUUAUUUGACUUUAUUUUUCUGUUUUCAAAUCCUUCAAAAAAUUGAAAAUAGAGAGUUAAUUAUAGUUAUAGUCAAGGAGUUUUAGUUUUAAAACACAAUAUAGUUUACUAAUUUGAGAUAUAGGAAUACAAUUUCAUCUAAUUAGCAUAAAGCCAAAACCAAAAUUUAGUAUCUAAUUUUACAAAAAUAUUAUUAAAAAAUAUCAAAAUUACACACAAUGCCACUCCUUCUAAAGUAAGCAUACUAUGCCACAUGUCAAUAUCAAGCCAACCACCAUCGCCGACCACCUGCCGCCGGUCCUUGCCGGCCUGCCAUCGUCUGUAGGGAACCAACUCCGUUGUCCUUUAUUCACCUUUAAAAAAAAAAAGAUUUUGUGUCCUUGAAUGGACUUGAACCUUGAUCUUCAAAGGAGGAAAGCUCAUUCACAAACCACUACACCAAACUUGAUUUUGUAAUAUUUAUUCAGUUAUACAAUAUAUAUAUAAAACAAUCAACAGUUUUUAAAACAAAAAACAAAAAAAUCAUUUCAACACUUAUUCACACAAAAACUACAAAUAAAAAUAGAAACUGCAAUAAAAAUACAAUGUAGAUAUCAAUUAUGUUUAAAAAAAAUGAAAACAGCUACAAAAACAAUUGUAAUUAAAUGAAAACUGAAAUGCAGUUUCCAAUUUCCAAAAGUCUGAUUUUGAGUUCCCUUACUCUUGGGUAGUUUUCUCUUCUCUUGCCUACCCAAUUCCUCAUCUGGGUAGCCUCUACUCUCCAAAUUGGUGAGGUUGACGGCCAAGGAAAGAACAAAAAUCAAAUUGUAAUCAAAUGAAAACUACAAUGCAGUUUCCAAAAGUCCAAUUUUGAGUUCCCUUUCUCUUAGGUAGUUUCACUCUUCUCUUGCCCACCCAAUUCCUCAUCUGGGUAGCCUCAACUCUUCAAAUUGGAGAGGUUGAAGGCCAAGGAAAGAGCCAAGAUCCAAUUGUAAUUACCAAAAUUGCAAUGCAGAACCUGUAUAAAAUUUUACCUACUGAAAAAUAAAGAAAUAUAAUGCUGCAAGCAUAAACGAAAGACAAAGACAUGGAGAAAAAUAAAUAAAUUUAACCCACAAGAUCAUACCCCAUACCAAAUAUUACGGACAAAUACAAUCAAUCAUACCCAAAUCAAAUAUAAAUCCAAAUAUUAUGUACAAAAAUCAUGUAGGAUCAUCUUCCACCAAAUUUUUUUGUUCUUAUUGUCAAGCAUCGUUCUUUUAAUCAAUAUCAAUGCAUAGUUGAUGGACCUGUCUUUCUCAACAUGCAAAUUGACAAAUAAUGACAAAUUUCAAAAUAUUGGAUUAUGAUAGUGAAGAUUGAUGAAGACAAGAUGAGAAACAGAGAAAUGGGUUAUUCAUCUUACAAAUUGGUAAAUUCUUUCCAAGAACGAAACCAAGAGUUAAGAAUCUCAAACUUUUCCAGUAAAUUCUGAUAUAUAUUCUAUAAUUUCAACGAAGAUAAAAGCUAUUUUUUGUAUAAUUACAUCCUGUCAAAUAACCAAAAUAAUGUGUGUAUAAGUACUAUCAACUUCGACCACUUUCCACCAACUCUCCAAAUUUUGUCAAGAUCCAAGGUUGACAGUUAUAACCUUCCAAAAAAAUUUAACGGAGAAUUCUGACCGAAGAAAGCUCAUGCCCAGACAAAAAAAAAGUGUUACACACUGAAAUUUCUGUUUAACUUGACUUUGGAAUUAUAUGACAGGGAAGACUGGAAUUAAUUGAACUUUGGUGGUUGUAAGUUAUAACCAAACCAAAGAAGCUAACGCAAGCAAUUUAUUGUAUGUAACAGAUGGCCCAAAAUUACAAAUGCCAGCCUAUAUGCAAUCUGACUGUAAUGGAGCAUAUCAAAUUAAAAUGUUGAAGAAACACGCAGGUCACCAAAUUUAAGGACAAACUAUAUCAAUUAACACAUAUAAUAACAGCAUAGGGGAGCUAAGCAAUCAUACUAGUAUAGGCUGUUUGACCCGAUCUUCAUGCUGAUUAUGGUGAACGACUAACAAAAUCAGGACUGCAAUCGAGAAGAGUCCAAAAGGAGCCCAGAUUCAAUACGAAAACCUCCUUUGAACCAGGCGCCGAUACUCGGCUCGCAACGAUGAUGAUCUCAUGUACGUGCUUCUCGCUCGCUGUGCGACAUCGCUUUGAAGAUCACCACCUAAAGGUCUGGCACUAGGUUGAUCGCUAUGGUUGCGAUGCCGAUGCUCGUCUAGUCCUUGCCGAUCGCUAAUUUUAAUAUCACGGUGGAAAAAAAAAAUCAAAAAAUUGCAAAAAUGUAAAUGUAACUCUUAUAUUAAUCAUGCUUUUAGCACGUGGGCUUACUAAUUGGUCUUUAACAGAAGGGUUAACUGCCGAAAACCUCCAUGAACUAUAUCGACUAUCGGAAUUUCCCUCAUGGAUUAUUAUUUUUUGCCAAUUUAGCCUUCAAAUUAAAAGAAAUAGCCAAUUUCACCCCUGCCGUUAGUUUUUCCCCAAUUCCAUCCAAAUGCCCGUUAAAAACACCACGUGAAAGGCACGUAAGCCGUCUGAUAAGGGUAAUAUCGUCAUUCUAUACCCUCAACCCUCAGCCCCCUUUAACUGAAUCGUUCGUAAGGGUCAAUUCCCAAAUCAGAGUUAGGGUUUUUGAAAAAGGGUGAGAGUGAAAGAGAGAAAGCGACUGAAAGAUUCGAAAAAGGGUGAGAAAGACAAACUACGACUGAGAGAUUCGAUUUUGAGAGAUAUUUUGUGACUUGAAGAUUCCAAACGAAGGUGCGACGGUAAAGGCAAAAUGAAAAUAAGAGAUGGUGGGGAAGCUCCCAUAUACAGUAAGUACGCUUAGUUUAUUUGUUUGAUUCAAUUGUUUGAGUUUUAAUGUCGAAUUUCAUUGCUGGACUUGAUGAAAAAGCAUAAUAAAAGGAAGAAAGUGGUCCCUAUGGUUGUUGUUUGUUGACUGAGACUUAGGUUGGGUUGUGAAUGUGGUCCCUAUGCAUGUUGUUUGUUUAUUGUUUGUCGGGUUCUUUGUCUGGGUUUGUAUUGUAAUGUAUUGUAUAGGAGAAUUAGUAAUGUACUGUAUAGGGUAGAUAGUAAAUGUAUAUUGUACUAUAUAGGGUAGAUAGUAAAUUAAUGAGAAAAUUUAUUGUUGUGCAGCUAAUCCUGACAUGUUCACACUUGAAGUACACCAUGGGGGCUAUUGUUUUGGCCUAAAUUUGGCACAUCCAGUCCAAAUAUCAAAAGCCCAUGUCAGCAAUCCCUAAAUAAAGGGCCAAAAUUACACACUCAGCCCAACACUGGAAACCCAGAAUAACGAAGCAAUCUCAGGACCCAAGCAGAUUAGGCUUUGCAUUGAAGUUGAAUUGAAAAGCCCAAAUCCAAGAAGGCCCAGCCCAGAAUCUGUCAUUUGGGCUUCAAAAAAAAAAAGGAAAAUCAGCCCACAGUUUCAAAAACUCAACCUGGGCUUAGCAUGAUUAAAAAGAGAAGAAAGGCCCAAAAUUGAAGGCAAACCCACGUGACUGCUUGAACUUUGAAAAGUCAGCAAUUUCAACUGGGAUUGAUAAGGAAUUAAUAAGGGCGGGUUUGAAAAAGACAUCUCUAAAAAUCUAUGCUACCAGAAGAUCAAAAUCCCUUUUUAUAUACUCAGAGAAAAAUCUGCUCCAAAGAAAGGCACCAUUUUUUAAGAGAUAAGAAAACUACGUUUGGGAGAUAAACAGAAAGCAGGAAGCAGGGAGUUGUUCAAAAUGGAAGAUCAAACUAACCAUCACAGUUUGAACUCUUAUAAGGGCAGUUGGAAUUAAAGAAGGGGUAGGUUUUCUUUCAAGAAAAACAGGGAAGUGAUUGCCUUAGGAACUGACUAUUGAGGGCUUAUCUGCCAGAAUUGAUAGAACCCCUUUUUCUUUACAUUUUAAAACGACAGAUCUUUUGAGAAUUUUUGCCGCCCAUUAUUAAAAAGUUAGAAACCAUACUUCAAAACAUUUCUUAUAAAUAUAAGAGAGGGUGAACAUAGCAGAGGAAAAUCAAUCAAACAACCAAAAAAUCAGUCGAAAGACAAAAACUCAAAAUGAUCACUUGAUUUCAAAGAAUCUCCAAACAAACUGAAGCAACCAAAAGCUCAUUGAGCCACAAGAAUGAAGCCAGCUACAAAUCAGUUUCAGAUUUAGAGAAAAGUCAUUUAAAACAAGAUUUCUCUCGUUGCAAAUUUGGUUCAGCAAAAGCCAAAACAAGCAGAGCCUGGGUUUUUACAAAUAUGAAAACCUCAACAAAUUUAUGGAGAGCCCUGAUCAAGCAGAACAGGCAUCACAGUGCAAUUCCAGCUCAAUAAUCCUUGAAUCUAGCCACUUCUGCCCCCUUCAGACUGAAGAGGCCGCAAUUCUGUCUUGUUCAAAAAGUCUUCUAAGGCUUGAAAUAGAUUAAAGCUAUGCCAAACUCGAACGUUGGUACGAUUUACAGCUGAAACUUGACAGUUGAAGUUGCUGACAGUCCAGUCCUGCAUAGGCAUACCCAGUCCAGUCCUGAUCAGAAGCAUCUAUCCAGGUAGAAAUGGAAGUCCAACCUUCUCUUUGUCUUUCUAGAGUUGGCUUUUCCCUUUUGAGUUUUGUAAAAGGGAGUUCUGCCUAAAAACAGUUCAUUUUCUCAUCAUUUAUUCUGGCAAGAACUACCAAUAUUGUACUGUGAAAAAUUGUGAAGUUCUCACCUGUCUGAGGCAAGAAAAGAACUUACUUAUGAGGUAUUCCUCACCCAAAUUCACAUUUGCUUGUUUAGAAAUCAGUAACUUGAGGCGCAAAUUAUCUAUUUUCGAAGUCUGCUAGGCUUUUUCAUUACUAGCAGUGGCAUGCUCGCACAAUAAAGAAAGUUGACUUGUUAACCAGACAAUGGUUUUCAAGGCAAUGGGGAACUUUACCUUACCAUCACAGGAACAAACACGAAACGGGUGAACAGCUACUUUGUUGAUGGUUUAUAUAUGGGAGGUAUUGUACAAUGGGUUGAUGGGCAAGAUAUAGAUGAGGUUUCAAUGCUUGAGUUCUUGAACUGGUUAAACACCAUGGUUAUGAUGAGCAGAACAUUCAAUACUAUUACAAGCAGAGGACAAAUGGCUGGGUUGAAAUUAUGACAGAUAAGGAUUAUUUUGGAGCAUUAAAGUUGGUGAAACCGAGCCAGCUGUUUGUGUUAUACAUAACUAACAAUCCAGCACCUAGGCCUCUAAAUAUUCAAUCCCCAGUAUUCUCUUCACAAGGUGAAAAUGCUGAACAUUAUGAAGACGAAGACACUGCUCAUGGAUAUGAUGGUGAUGAAGAAAAUGGGCAAUAUGAUUUCGUGGAUGUUGAGAUACAUGAAGAAUUUGGUGAGGCAGAGGAAGAAGUUGAGGUAGAAAGUGAUGAAGCUGAGCAAGGUGGGGAGGAUGAGGAAGAAGAUUGUGAUUUCAUAGAUAGUAAGUUUGAGCAAAGUGAUGAAGAGGACAACAUGAAUUUUCAUAGGUAUGUUGUAACUGAAGAGCAAGAUGAUGGACAUAAAGAACCAAGUGAGGGUGACAUUGAUGGUUAUAAUACAUCAGACUUAGAGAGUUUGCAUGAAGAUAGUGAAGAUAAAGAUGGGAAGAAGAGAGGUUUGAGGCAGCCAAAGUUCAAGCAGUACAAUAAACAUCAUGACCUUUUAGAUCCAAAUUCCACUUGAGUUUGGAGUUUCCUAAUAUGUAGGAAUGUAGAGAGGCCAUAAAGUACUAUGCAUGCAGGUGUGCUAGAAGACUAAGGUUUGUCAAGAAUGAGCCUAAUAUGGUGAGGCUGGUAUGUGAUGGUAAUAAGGAGGGUGAUAAGGCAAAGAGGCCUACUAAGGGUGAAAAAGCAAAGAGGCGUGCUAAGAGUGAUAAGGCAAAGAGUCAUAGUAAGAGUGAUAAGAGUAAGAGGCAUGGUAAGGGUGAAGAAGGUCAAGAGGAAGAAGAUCUGAAGAUAAACUUGAAGACUGUCCUUGGUUAUUGCAUGAUGCACAUUUUGAGAAAUGGUCUACUGUUAAAGUGAAGACAUACCAUCCAAUUCCUACAUGUGGCAGAUCUCAAAGAACUAGGUUUGCCACUUCACAAUUGUUGGCUAAAAGGUUUGAUGAGGAUCUCAGAACCAAUCCUAACAUGUCAGUUGCUGAGUUCAUGACAUUGGUGAGAAAACAUUAUAGUAUAAAUGUUACUAGGGACCAAUGCUACAAGGCAAAGAAUUUGGCAAAGGAGAGCAUUCAAGGAAGCAUUGAAGAACAAUAUUCAAAGCUGUGGGAUUAUUGUGAGAAGCUUAAGAGGCAAAACCCAGGAAGCACAGUUUUAGUAAAGACAUCAUUGAGGGGAGAUGAUCUAGUUUUUGAGAGGCUUUAUAUAUGUUUUGCUCAACUGAGGAAGGGGUUUAUUGAAGGAUGCAGAACCAUGGUUGGUUUUGAUGGGGCUUUCAUCAAAGGACAACAUCCAGGACAACUUUUAAGUGCUAUUAGGAUUGAUGCCAACAAUGGUAUGUUCCCAAUAGCUUUUGCUGUUAUGGAGACAGAAAGCAGAGACACUUGAUAUGGUUUUUAGAGAUUUUCUUCAAUGAUGUUGGGGUAAGAGGCACUGGAAAUGGGUGGGUUUUUAUCAUCGAAAAACAAAAAGGACUGGGGCAAGCAAUUGAGGCUUUAAAGUCAGAUGCUGAACAUAGGCAUUGUGUAAGGCAUCUGCACAAUAAUUUCAAACUUGCUGGGCAUGGUAGUUUGGCACUUAAAUAGAGGCUAUGGUCUGUUGCUAGAAGUACAACACUUCCUCAGUGGGAAGCUGAGAUGGAAAAUAUUAUGGAAAUGUCUACCCCAGCUCAUGCAUGGCUUCAGGAUAGGCCAGCAAUUCAUUGGAGCAUGCCACAUUUUACUACUGGGCCCAAGUGUGAUAUAUUGUUGAACAAUUUAUGUGAAUGCUUCAAUUCAGCAAUUUUGGAGGCAAGAGAUAAACCAAUAAUCACGAUGGUGGAAAGGAUAAGAACCUAUUUGAUGUUGAGAGUUACAAGAUAAAAAGAGGUGAAAUGGACUCAAAGAGUUAGGCCAAGGAUAUUUUAGAUUAUUGAGAAGAAUUUGAAAGAGAGUGGCUCAUGCAUUGCACAGAAUGCCGGUGGAAACAGGUUUCAAGUCACCCAUAUGCUUGGUAGGCAAUAUGCAGUUGAUCUAAAUACUCAUUCAUGCUCUUGUAGAAAAUUGGAUCUCUGUGGCAUCCUGUGUUGCCAUGUCAUGGCUGCUAUAUCAAGGCAACAGAGGAGCCCAAUGACUUAUGUGAAUGAGGUGUAUAAGAAAGAAGCUUAUGAUAGGGGUUAUAGCAAUUACAUUUCACCAAUGCCAAGCCAAUAAUUAUGGAGGAAAUCAAGGCAUAGGCCAAUUAAACCCCCACUGUCUCACAAACAAAGUGGUAGGCCAAAGAAGGCAAGGACUAGACCUGUUGAUGAGAUCCCAAAGGGUGCCACUAAGCUUAGGAGAUAUGGAAUUGUAAUCCAUUGCUCAGUCUGUGGAGGAGAAGGCCAUAAUGCUACUAAUUGUGGAAGGGCAGAUGGUAAUAUGGGAAGAGGCAGAGGGAGAGGGAGAGGGAGAGGGAGAGGAAGAGGAAGAGGAAAAGGAAGAGGAACUGGCUCAGUCCAUCAAUCUGAAGAGGAAUAGGUAAAUGAUGUGAAAUUAUGAUUCAUUUCAAUUGUUUUAAUUGUGAUUGAUUUCAUUCGUAGGCAAUUAGAGGUGGGUUGACAGGGACUGUAGCCACUGCAAGCCAAAUAGCUCCAACCAAUAUUGCUACCCAAUCAAGUGGAACCAAUAUUGCUUCACAACCAGCUCCUUGCAAUUUAGCUUCACAAGCAGGUCCAAGCAGUGUCACUCAAAACACUUCCAGGCCACAAGGGAAAAGAUUCAAAUCCCCUACAAAAAGGGCAAGGCCAUGGAGGUAAAAUACAUGAUGGAUUAGGAUGGAUUUUGGAAUGUAUAUUUUUAAUACAUGGGCUGGUAGAUGUGUGUAUUUUGAACAGAUGGCUUUUUUGGAUGGAUUUUGGAUGAUUAAGCAAGGUUGGAAUGUAUAUUUUGUAGUAGAAGUUCCCCCACUGUAUUUUGAGCAAGAUGGUAUAUGAGUAAGAAGACGGUUGGAGCGUUCACCUGCCGGAUGCUUUGUGGGCUUACUGCACCUCACCAAGAAGUCCUACAGGUUUUUUGCCUUAUUCACUUGUGUAUGGGUCUGAUGCUAUUUCACGUGUGGAAAUCACCAUUCCCACGCCCAGAGUAUCGGCUAUCAAUGAUCUUGAAUGGGAUGCAAAGUCAUGCUCGGAUUGGCAUUUGUUAGACCUCAAAGGUGUGGAUGAAAAAAGAAUGGAAGCCGAAAGAAAAAUGGCACUCUACCACAAAACUGUUUCCCAAGCAUAUAACAAGACCGUUAAGCCCCAAGCCUUCAAGCAAGGAGAUCUUCUGCUAAAAGUUGUCGAGCAUGUGAGAAGACAAGUGUCAGGACCUUCCAAGUUUGCUCCAUAAUGGGAAGGUCCAUAUGCAGUCAAAGAGGUGCAGCAGUGGCUAUUAUCGCUUGAUCUCCCUCACAGAAGGCAUGCUAACGGAUCCCAUUAAUGGAAAGUGGCUCAAGCCUUACUACUGCUAAGUAGGCAUUGUAUUUUAUCUUUAUGUUAUUGCAUUUCUUUUCUUUUUAAAUAUGGUCUCUUUUUAUAUUCUCGCUUUCUUGCUCUACGAAGCUUUUGUAAAAUGUACCAUCAUGGUAGCAUGGGAUUUGAAAUGAAAAUGAAGGAGUAUUUUGAAAGAAAAAAAAAAAGAUUGUCACUGGAAAUUGCCUUUUUGCGUCCCAAACCUUUGUAUAUAUAUAUACAUACAGUCCUGAUCUCUUGGACUACAGGGGUCCAAGAGAUUUGUGGUCACUCACCGUUGGAUGUAAAUUCAACGGUUCACUCACUCUUGCACUCCUUUUAAGAAAUUUUUUUGAACCAUUGGAUUAAUAUCCAACGGUAGGUGACCACAAUCUCUUGGACUCCUGUGGUCCAAGAGAUCGGAACUGUAUAUAUAUAUGUAUAUAUAUAGGGCAUAUAUUUUAAAAUAAAAUAAAAACGUUACUUAGCAGAAGACAUGCCAAGCAAAGCCACAUAUAUGGGAUCCUAAAUCAUUAAUAGAUUUCACGCUUUAGCAAGAUAAAAAGAAACACGCCAAGCUCAGCAUUUGCAAAAGAAACUACCGUGCUCACAACAUUCAGGAACCCUUCGAUAAAGAAAAUUGGUACUGAGAAGUUUUGAACAAGGAUCCUACCAAAAUUUUGGCAGCACUUACCUUGUUCUAAAAGGGUGCCCAACUUGUAAAAGGACCUCAAGCAAAGAAUUCCACCAACCAGGCAGCAUAUAUAUAUACUAAACAGAAGUUACAAUGUGUCUUUAGCAAAAAGAAAAGGGACAUAAGUUCCAGCAGCUUGAACACAACAACACUACAGUGCCAAGCUGUUGCAGUACAAGUUUGAGAUACCCCGAAAGAAAAUACAGCCCAAGUAAGAUUAAGUUACACAAGCCAAGAAUUAAUGUGUUCUUCAGUCUCAUAAGGGAUCUGAAAAUGUGUCAAGCCAGUUAGUCUCACGCCAAGCAAAUGCAACCUGCGAGAUGGAGUAAGGGAGUGUCAGAGAGACAGGUUGGUAUCAGACAAAGUUAAGAUAGGACGGUAUGAGAGCCACGAAACCUCAAAGCCGUCAAGGAUACCUAGAAAAUAACGAAAGAAGCCUUGUGAGAGGAUCUUGUCACUGCUUUUGCCACACAGUCGGCACGGUUAGAAAAACACCUUGGGCAAGAAGGAGGGCACGCAGUUCCCCAUGCUGAUUUUCCAACUCACGCUGCUUGAGAUUCAAAGCUUCCACUGCUGCUCUUAUUUCAUCAGGACCGGAAAAUGACUCCAUGUUGUGAAUAACGCAUGCCCCAAAUACAGCACGUGCUAAAUCUUUAACCAAGUUCAAAAGAAACUCUACCCGAAAACUUAAGGUCAUGGCUUCACAGAUUGCAUCCCGCCAGCAAAAGAGUCGAUGAUCUGUGAUAUCCAACAAAUGCAUGGUAUCCAUUCCAUGGAGCACCAUGCCAAGGGUCCGGAAAGCAGCGCACCGCGAAAAGGAAGAUGUAAUGCCAAUCAUGUCUAUAAAAUCCCCAUGCUUGUCUUUAAAUUUCUCUAAGGCUGCGACUGUCUCGGGAUAAACAAGAGCCUCCCGAAAUGUUGCAUAGCCAUUAAACCGAUGACAAAGUGGCAAAAGCUCAUCCGCCGAUCGAAGGACCUGAACACCACCAUCAAAGAAAUCCUUGAAUGCAGUAAAGGAAUUCUCCCACUCCAGCCAAGACAUGAUAGAUGAAUGCUCUGCAGAGAUGUUCCCGGCAGUAGUGUUAUUAACUCGGGCCUCCUCAUCAGCAAUUGUGUCACCAAAUGAAAUCGUCGGGAGAGAUACCAGGGAGCUGGGCUCUGGCCUAUGAAGAAGGGAUUGAACGUGGGAUGGAGUGGGCAACGUCCCAUGGAAGGUAAAAGUUUUGCUUCGGAGAGUUGUUGGAAAGGCUGACGGAAGAGUAGGCUCAAGGUCCCUUCGAAGGAAGUGCUGGACGAUAGGCAACAAAGGAUUUGUGGUUUGAGAGGUAGAUGCCUUGUCCUGAGAAUUCACUGGUGUCACAGUAAGAGAUGACUCGACAAGGGCUGCCUCGGCCAGUGUCUUGAGUGUGCCGAAGAAAGAGGGCACAACGGGCACGAUUUCCAUGUUAUGAGUAACGUGCCCAACCUGAAAAUAUAUAUCUACAAGGGUAAGUAUGAGGUAGUUAGCAUGUUAUGUCACAUGUAUUAGCAAAAAGGCAAGAGAGAGACGACUGCCCAAUUAAGCAAAAGUAAAAAAAAAAAAAAAAAAAAAAAAAAAAGAUAAAAAAAAAUAUGAGUGGAGCAAACAGUAGGUACCUCCUGGGCAUUCUGUGCAUGGUCAACAAUGGCAGCAGCAAGGUUCGAGCUUUCAGCAAUUUCGGUAACCUGCAAGAUAAGGACGGACGGUGAAUAGGCCGUUUGCGGUGCAAGGAAUGGAAAGAGAGCAGGACGUGAGAUAUGCCAAGUAUCGGUUCAAUAUUAAUAUGGCGCACACUGCUAUCAGAAAAUCCAGAGAAAGUAUAGAAGCCACCACAUUCUUCUGGAUAGUCACCAGAGUGUACAAAUGCGUCCUUAUUGCGAUCAUAGUAGUUGUUCUCAUCAAAAUCCUCAUGCAUGUCAUCGGUAUCACGUACGUCCUCUUGUUCCGGAACACUAGCCUGAGUCUCAAUAGUAUCGCCAUCAUAACUGUCAUCAUCAAUAGUCACCCUAGCCCUCGGAUGCAGUAGGCUUUGAAGGCUGUGGACGUUCUGGGGGAGUUGCCUCUUUAGUUCGAGGAGGGCCACUCAACGCCACCUUUGGAAUGAACUUUCUAGGUUUACAGGCAGUUUGCUCUUUUCCUGCACUUUGCUUCUCCUCCCGCUUCUGUUUACUCGACACCAGUGUCGUAUCUUUUCCAGAACUGUGAGGACUCUGCUUUCCUAGCUUUGGUCUCAUUUUGGAAAAUUCUCCAACGAUGUCACCACUUUUGGAAAUAAAGGGUAGAUUGCGUUUUUGACUUAGAGGGAUGACUUUCUCUUCCGACACCAAACCUGCAAGGCGAGCCGUCGUAGGUGGCAACCUGUCGCCAGGAAAGGACUGGAAUUUACUAAAACAGGCAAGGCAGUGGUUCUAGUAGGCUUGGUAGCCUCGCAAGAAGCCAAUAAUUCUCCCCCUGCCAGCUAAAACAAGGGGCCCACCGCUGUUUGGUACAUUGUUAAUGCUCUAAAAGACCCUGUGCAGCGCAAAGAGGUGAUCAUGGUUAGGACUACUUGGAACCCCUUGAUCAAGCCCAAACUGUUGCCUGACCUGGUGUGGUGAGUAGGUCACAGAAAUCUCUGAGCGGUUGUCUCCAAGAGUAGGGUAUGGGAUAGGUGCAACAUUCAACAAAGCAUACUUUCUGAAGUGGCCACCAUGCGAUAUCGCUGCUGGAACCGCAACAGUAUCACCAACAUCAGCACAAAAAGGCCCAAAGGUGAAGGCCUCUGCCAAGGUGCCGUAAGGGCAGAAGAUGAAGUUUUCAAUAUUAUCCAAUAACUUUAAAAAGUUUUGGACUUUCUUCUGCAUCUGUUUAAACCACCUGCAAAAUAGGGGAAGAUCGUCCGGCAUGAAAGAACCCUUGCCCAAGUCAGCCGACUACAUAGCACGCGAAUAAGGAAGUGGAUAUAUAUCCAGCCUUUGAGAUGUUCCCACAGGAACACCUGCAAAAAACCAGAAUUCAAGAGAGUCUCCAUGCCCAUGGUUCCUGAUGCGCUUUUCUCCAAAAGCUGAGUCUGAUCAAGUAGUCGAUAUAGGUGUCCCAAGAACAUGGGGGCUAAGGGGAUCGUGUCGCCUCGAGCUAUGGCCAAGGCCAAGGAAAAUACUCCCUCAUGCAGGCAGUCCUGAGAAAAAUCACAAAUCACGAACCGCCCAAGCCACAGUGCUAUAAAUGUCGCCAACCGGCAAGGUCCCUAUCUGUCUGCAUCACCAAAAUAUUGUAUCCAAUUACUGAAUAUAAGCGAGGUGCUGGGAGAAGUCAGAGCACUUUUCCAUAAAACUGCAAGCUUGUCUAUUUCUUCCGAGGUAAGGGCGCUGUCAAAAGGACUCCAGUCGCCACAAACUAGGAGGCAAGAGAUAUUUGCCACGUCUUCAAGAGUGGGGGUAAAUUCGCCCCAUGAACAUAUAAAGGUGUGAGUAGCAGCGCUCCAUCUCCUGACCACAUGGCGAAACAUCUUUGCUUCGAUAUGAAUAUCCCACAACUUGGAAAGGAAGAUGGCAUCAAGCACCUGUGGCCUGCGCAAAAUGUUGUAAGUAGAUGGAUCUAGCAGCUCACGGUCAACCCACUAUGAUGCUACAGGGAUAUUGGAAGAAUAAGGGAACCGCUGGAAACAUGCCUUUCUCAAUGCAACACCUGGAUAUGGAGGCAGGUUCAAUUACGGGAGUAGUUUGAGGCGAUGGCUCAUCACCAACAAUAGGAUUCUCACGGGCUUCUUCAAGCAAAAGGGGCCCUCUUGCUUUAAGAUUGUCGUCCAUGGAAUAGAGAUGGUCCAUCAUGAUCGGUGGGACAUCAGUGGAUGCCAUGAUAAAACCCAUAAGGUUAUAGAUACCUGCAAAAAAAAAAAAAAAACUAUAGAGGAGGAAAGAACAAAAUACAUAAGUUUCGGCACCUUCACGACUACUGAAUGCACACACAUCUCUAUAACUUCAUGCCAAGGCCAUACUGGUAGAAGGACGAAAUCAACACCAUCAUACGAUUUCGUCCUACGAGAGGAAAUGGCUAUUCGACGCAAGUACGAAUGGAAGCCCAAACUACAGGAGUAAAUCAUUUAAGGGGACCAUGGAUUGACUACUCCUGGAUAAAAGCAGGGAUAUUCGACACAAUGCAUGCUUAUGCUUUUUCUACCAUGCUUUGACACUAUCUAAAGGUCUUGUGUUCAACCAGGACAAAUUGUCACUUUUUUUGGGAGGGGGGGAGGGGGGUGUGCUUAAAAUCCCUAAUCAGUGGUUCAUAUCUGAAAUUCAAGUAAGGGUACAAGAAAUUAAAUGAACAUGCAGCAAAAAGGAUUGAGAAAAAUACUCUGUUCGUGAAGGAUUCUCAGAAUAUAUAGGUGUGAAUACUCUCAUAUGUGCAUAUAUGCAUGUGUGCAUGCGUAUGCAUAAAUGUAUAUAGUGAUGAGAUGAAGAAACAAGAAAAGAAAUAAAAGAACGACGCUUACCACUGCCCUUGAUUACAUUUUGCCCAGUAGCUUGCCAAAAUCGAGAGAAGAAGGGAACUGCCAUGCACAUUGCUCUCCAAGAUUGCUUCACGCCUUGCGAGGUGACUUUGCCAGACUGGACCUUUGAUGAAUUGAAGGGGAAGUCCAAGAAAUUUGAGGGUUUUUAAGGGAGAACGGUGGCAACUCCCAGUGGUUACGAACGGUUUCUCUGCACCUAACCAACUAGCAGUUAUGGGUGGUGUCUCUCAGCGAUUCCUUGUUUCAAGGGUUCUCUAAGCAUGGAGGUGAGAAAGAACCAGCAAAAAUCGAAAAGGGGUAACCAGUUUUGGGUUCGCACGCAAAAAGGAAAGAGGUCAGAGACGAAAAGAAGAAAGAAAGAAAAUAAAAUAAAACAGAUUUGAUGGAAGCACUUACCUAGGGAACGUAAAAGACUGCUGGAAGAUAAGCAUGGCAGCACACACGCGGGAAAUUAGAAGGUCAUGUCACCAACGUGGAUUUGAUUUUUCGUUUUGGGCCAGGUUUGAUUAUUUGGGCCAUCUCAAUAUCUGCUCAUGGCCCCAAUAAUCAAGGGGGCUAAUGUUGGAGCCCAAAAAUCCAAGGGUUAGGCCCAGGUUUAUUCUUAAGCCAGCACAAAUAAUUAAUAGCAAAAUAGGCCCGAUCUGGGACAUAAGAGAAAUUGGAGGACACACCUACAUAAGCCAUAGGCCAUGUGUCAUGCCAAGCAAGCAUGUGCAAAAGGGCCAAAAUGCACCGGCUUUAUAAAUUCACACUCACCAACCUAAUUUGAUGCUACUUGGCCCGAUCAUGGCUUAUCGUGGCAUAAUAAAAUUCAAGCACAAGCAGGCUAAAUAAACACGCAGGGUCAUGUGAAAAAUCGUUAUUUUAAUACUGACCCAUGCUACAGGCUUAAGUGGGCCCAAGCCACGUAAUUAUCCGGGGCUUACUGAGAAGGUUGUGGUGUGGAUGGGUACAAACGCUCACAAGGCCCAUUGAGGGGUCAAGGAAUAGGAGUUUUGGGUUGCUUGGGAGCACCAAAACUCAAGCCCGUUUCUUGGGCCCAAGCACAUGGGCUAGCAUGAGAGAGAGAACAUGACCCAAUGCCUUAGAAAGAAUACAAUGGUCUGCUUAGAAAACCCUAUGUUAGUUAGAGCACCCAAAUACUUUGUUAAAAAUGCAGCAGGCAAACUACUUCCAGCAGCCUGAUGAAAACAAGCUCACUGGUCACUGUAGAAUAGAGUACCACUGACCCAAAACUUUGGGAAAAGCCCACCCCAGUGCCCUUCGAAAUAUCUAGCAGUGUGUUCAGCCUUUGCCCAAAGUUCUAUGAUAGAGUUAACGGAAGCCACUGUAAAAAACCAAAAGAAAUUCGUACGAGUAAGAGGGAUACUCGUUGGGCAAACGAUCUGUCCAUUCUCCCUUUCCUCUGUUAGCUCCCACAGGAAAACCAGGGAAGAAAGUGGGUGGCGCCUCACCCCUAUGGAGAAGUCCAGCUGCGUCAAACCCUUGGAACCCGAAAGGGCUCAUUACCCAUGCGCCUUAGAUAGGAAAAUUGCACCAAAUAGGAUCGAAUGGGAAGAAGCGAAGAGAAAGGAGGGAAGAGGCUAGAUAAAAUUAGGGGUUCCUUGUGCCUAUAAAAGGGAGCUUCCUCUACUCAGAAAAACAAUCAUCGAGAGCCUGACCAAGCUUUGUCAAGCAAUUGAGAAUUUACUCAAGCCACCCAAUCUUCUCUUUCCCUUUUUUUCUUCUUUCCCUAAGAUAGAAAUCUCCCUAAUUUUCUUCUACCCCAUUUUAAACCUUUGCUCUCUGUAAGAAACUCAUGCUUUUCUCUCUCUCAAAUUGCUAAACUUGUGAAAGCUUAGCUCCCAUGCCACAAACUCCUCAAGCCAAGUCACUCAACAAUUUGUUAUGCUUAUUUGGUUAUUGGUGAAAAGAGCCUAAGAGUGUUUUUCUAAGGUUUUCAUCAAACUCUUCAAAAACUCUUUUGGGAGCCUGAUUCUUGAACUCGGCCACUUGGGGAAUUUUUUUUUGCUCUCUUCUUACGGCAGCCCAUGCCCAUUCGUCAGGCUGCUAGAACAAAAAGACCCCUACAACGAUCAAAGCCAAACACCUCCUUCUCAAUUGUAAAUAUCAUAGCCUUCUCAUGACCCUUUAAUGUCGUCUCCAUAUAACGACAAAGGGCUUGCAAAGAAGAACGCAAGACUAGGUUUGAGUAAUUUGGUACUUGUUGUUCCUUCUCAAAAACGUCUAAGCACUUGGCUUUCUGCUUGAAGAAAUAAGGAAAGAUAUAUAAUACAUAAGGAAAGAUAUAUAAUACAUAAUUGAAAAAACUAGAGGAAACUACACAAACUUAAACGUCGUGGUAAUUGGGAUAAACAAACGAGGAAGAGACAAAAAUGACGUGUAAAUUGAAUAACCACGACGGUAAGUAAAAACUGUCAUCAUAUGUAUUAAUUACGUCGGUAUAAAACAGAACCCUAGAAAAUUAACAAUUGCCAAUAUCAACUUAAAAGCAUGGUUUAGCAGAAAUACAAAUAAGAUGAAUUGCAGAUAAAGAGAGGGAGAGAAAGAGAGAGUGGAACAGAAUGAGUGAAGAAAGAUUGAAAAAAAAAAAAUUGAAAAUACAACACUAUCUGAAUCCCCAAUACUGUCGUGGUAGUUAAAUUCCGACGACGGGUUCUUAAAAAAACAAACGUGGUUAUUAAAUUCCAACGACGGGUAAGUAAAAACCGUCUCUUAUGUAUUUAUUACGUCGGUAUAAAACAGAGCCCUCCAAAAUUAAGAAUUGCAAUUAUCAACUUAAAGAUUGAAAAAGAAGAAGAAAAUACGACACUAUCUAAAUCCCCCAUACCGCCGUGGUAUUUAAAUGACGACAUCUUAUUAAAAAAACAGACGUGGUAGGAUAUUUAAUACGUCGUUAACCAAAAAACGACGUCUUAUGGCAUAUCUAACUACUAUAGUGAACCACAGCGACGCAGAUGUAUUUCCAAAUAAGAAAGAAUUUCAAAUUUAAAAGAAGUUACAAUUUCAUCUUGUUUUUCUGCAUCCUUAGAUUUCUGUUUUAAGAAAUAAAGAAAGAUAGAUAAGACAGCUUGUACAAGAAUGAAAAAAUGCACAAACGUACCGACGUGGUAAGGGAAUACACACGACGGUUAAUAAUAGAAAACGACGUCUAAUUUAAAUUGAGACGACGGUAAAUAAAAGACGUCAUUGUUGGUUGUUUCUAACGUAUGUAAUUAUGGUAACAAUGUCUAAUUGGUUUUCAAAAGCAGUAUGCAAAGUUCAUAGAAGUUACCAUUUCUUGUUGCUUUUCUCCAUCUUUGGCAUUAUCAUUCUCAAAAUUGAGGGCUUUGACAUCAAGCGCCCUAGAGCAGCUUACUUUAUCUGACAUUAGAUUUUUGGGACUUUGCUAUGGACCUUGGAUAGUUGUCAGUUUUAGCACACUUGGAUCAAAAUUUGGAAUUAGUUGGCGCAACCGAUUCAGCAAAUUCUCCCUCUCAGCUUCUACCAAUUGAUUGGUUCUGGCCUCCAUCUUCAAAGUCUCUUAUCUUGAUCUAGCCUCCAUCUUCAAGGUCUCUUCUCUAAGGACAUCUCUUACACUUUCCUUUAAUUGAUCAACAAAUUUUACCCUCUGUUGUUUAGGUAAAUUGAAGUAUUGCCUAGUGGAAAUCCUAGCCCCAACACCUCUAACUCUCCCUGGAUGCUCGGGACCCAAAGCCAUAGUCAACACAUCAUUAUUUUCAGAGACAGUAAGAGUGCCUUCACUUACUUGUUUUUGCAAUUCAUCCUAAUUAACACAAAGACACAUUAAAGUCAAUAAAAACAUAAAGUUAGUUCCAUAUGCAAGCCUAAUUAAAAUUCCAAUGCAGUUUAAUACAAAUUUAAAAUAGAGUGAAGUGAAUUUAGGCUUACAAUUAAUUUUGCUUUCUCCGCAACCUUUGGAUCGGGGAUGAUACCGUGUUUGUCUUCUCUAGCUUUCUUCCACAAGGUAGAUCGAUCAAUUUCUACCCCUGGCAUGGUUUCUUCCAAAUCAUCCUCCAAACCAACAUAUCCUUUUCGAGACAAUUGAUUAUUGUACUCGCAUUUCUCUCUCCUCUGUGCUUGUUCAGCAUGGACAGACUCAAAUUGUUCAGAUAACCUUGAAGCUACAAAGGCAUCCCAAUCUGCUUUCUCUAUGAAUUUAUAUAAUUCAGGGGCUUGUCUUAACUUCUCUUUCUCAUUGAUGAAUGGAAGGAUAUGAUGCAUCGUUAGUGUAGACUUGAAAUCCUUCCAUUUCUUGCCAACAGAUGAUAACACCAUUUUUUUACCCCCUUGCCCUACCAAUAAGCCAUGUCAACGGCUUCCCAAAUCUACUCUUUUAUAUCCUUGGGGAUUUUAGUCAAUUUCUUGUCCACAAUUAGGACUCUGGACCAUGCCAACACACCAAUGUAGGACUGCAUCUUAGUAUGUGCAGGGCCAUAUGGUUUCCCCUUUUUGUUGUACUCAAUAACUAGCUUGAUUUUCUGCAAUUUUCUUUUCACAACACGGGGCAUUGUGUUUAUACCACGACUAGACUUUGGCUCCUCAGAAAAUGUUGUCGUGCUGCCUGGUUCUGUCUCAGCAGAUGAAACAAAUUUCAUGAUGGUAGUAAGAAAACGCCAUGGUUUUACAUUACAAUGACGUAAAAUAUUAAAUAUUGUCGUCUUAUUAAAAUGCAAUACAAAAUACAGAGCAGUGUUUCCAGACCUUUUGGUUCUUGUCUUUAUAUUUGAAAAAACAUAAAUUGAUUUUCACCAGGAAAAAAGUAAAACUAUUUUUCAACAAACGUUGUGGUUUUCAAUUACAACGACGUUAGUAAUAAAAUACCAUCGUCUUAUUAAUAUGAAAUUCAAAAACUGUUCCAAGACCGUUUGGUUUACUACUUCAAACACAAAAAAACAGGGUAGAUUUUGUCAUCGUGGUCAAUGACACUUUGUUCUUUGUCAGUAGAUUAUCCAAAAAGUAAAAUGAUUUUCGCAUGAACAGGAACAAAGAUGAGAUUAUAUGCAUAUGCAAAACAAGAACAAAGAUGAGAAAUGCUUACCUUUUGCUUGCAAUGAAAGCUUUCACUUGGAGUUGGGAGUAUCAGUUCAGAGACGAAGACGAAGAGGAGAGGAAGCCGAUGAGAUUCAGACACCGCGCUUUGGGAAGGAAAAAUGAGAAGAGCGUGAAAUUUUUUCUCGGGUUUGGAAACAGUAUAAGUGUAGGUCAGGAAAGGCGAAAAGUUUAAAAUAUUAACGAACCGUUUCAUAACACGACGCUAUUAAUAACAACUGCCCUAGUAAAUGGUUUUAUAUGGCGAUAAAUAUGUAGUUAACGCCAUGGUAAAGAAUAUUAAACGACACACACCUUUUCGACAUGGUUAGUUUAUCUUAUGCGUCAGUAACGUUAUAGAUGUCAUUGUAAUAUAUUUUAAAUAAUAAAUCGGUAAGUUUAUCUCUAACGACGUCUUUACUUUUUACGUCAGUUACUUAAUAGAUUCUGUCUUUGGUUUAUGGCUCUGAGUGUAAUGAUGAAAGCCUUUUCAACAAGACGACGCAUUUUAGUUAUUUGCGUCGUGGUUUCUCUGAAAAAACCGCCCUAGUAUGUCUUUACUACAUCGUUAAACUAAUAGAAACUGACGUGGUUAGUGAUUUUAUACAACUAGAGGGUUGGUACUUACCGACGUAGAUUACUUUUGUUAGACGUCGGUAAGUGUAAUAUAACCGACGUGGAUGUGAAGAUUUUUUUAAUAAAUUGGGUUUUUUUAACGCAUUCUUUCAGUUUCAGUUUUCAAUUAGGGUUCUAACUUCUUCUUGCCCUUGGCUUUGUCUCACCUCUUUGGAGGCAAUAGUUUGGAAGUUGAUGUGUGUGUGCGUUUAUGUAUCUGAAAGACACAAAUACACACACAUCAUCAACUUCUAAAAAAUUCUCUUUCUGAAUGCAAAUCUGUGGCUGUCGUUGUCAAUUUUUAGAAGCAAAUUUUUUGGAUGUUGAUGUGUGUGUGCCUUUGUGUAUCUUAAAGACACAAAGACACACACAUCAUCAAUGUCUAAAAUAUUAUCUUUCUCUCACAUUUUAGAGGCAAAUUGGUUGGAUUUUGAUGUGCUGCUGUCAUCAAAUUUUAGAGGCAAAUUUUUGGAUGUUGAUGUGUUUGUGCCUUUGUAUAUCUCAAAGACACAAAGACACACACAUCAUCGUCGUCUAAAAUAUUGUCUUUCUCUCACAUUGGUGGUCCAAUUAUGAUGAGGAACAGAGUUCCUUCUGGUAAGAUUUCAUAUCUCUUGGGAUCUCAGAAUAAUCUGAUUCUGUCGGCGGUUUUCUAUAUAAACCGUCGUGGUUAUUCUCAAUUCUUGUCAUUAUGUUAAUCUACCGUCGUAGGAUACCAAAAUCCAAGAAAUAAAUCAAAAAAUAAAAUUAAGAUUAAGACGACGGUUUAGAUAUAAGGUUAGCCGUAUAAAGUGAAUAAAUACGACGGUAAUUUUAACUUUAGAAAAUUUGGUAUAAGUCCAAUUCUUAUGAUAAAAUUUGGGUGCAAUGCACACAUUUGUUGUUAGUAAUUCAAGUCCUCUGAGUUUUGUGCCAUGUAGGAUUACUUACCUUCUUUUAAUUUCUAAGGUUUAUAUUUUCUUUUCUUAAUUUUUUAAUUUAUGUUGUGCUUCCAACUUUACCCCUAAGAUAGAAAUCAGAUAACCUAAAAGCUAGCAAAAUAUCAAAAAUCGCGUUAAACAAUCUUCAGACGCCAAGAAUAGAAAGAAUCGCAGAAAUCAUAUCUUCUGCAAUCAAUUAUGGCCCUGUCAAGCUGAUUUCUGCAGAUUUCAUGCUUCUUAAUUGUCAAGGGUUUUGGGUUGUAUUUUAGAGUUGAAUUUGUCUUUUGUCUUCUUCAAUUGCAGCAGGUGGAAUUUGCCUUCGUUUGGGGAUUCUCACCUUGCUUCUCCAUCAAUUGAAGGGUGCAUUUUUGCUCACCACUUUAACCCUAGGUGUACCCUCACCACCCCUCCCAAAAGUUGACACAUGUCCAUGGGUUUAACUAUAGUUAAUUCUUUAUUUGUUAUUUAUUUGAUGACAUUAUUAUGAGAGAGAAACAAUACUUCAAUAAGAUUUUUCCUGAUUUACUCUUAUUCUAACCUAGCAAACUUUCCACUUUUCUAAAUUAAUUAACAACAACCCAAAUAAAUAAUUGGCAAUUGACAGGCUUCAAUACUUUGAAGAACACGCCCAAAUACUUUGAAUCUCAAUUGGCUUUAUGUUAACUCCAUUUUUGCUCACCACUUUGUUUUGUCUCAUUUUGUUUACAAGAGACGGUUUUGACUGGCCUUUGUUUGAAACCUUUGUUUUGGUUGGAAGAGAAAUCUGGAAAAGAUGGUAACUUUUAGCUGCUUCUUUUGAGUGCUCGCUGAUUUACUUUUACAUAUGAUAUUGGUUUUAGUUGCAUUUGAACCCUUAUUUUUUGUUUCCUUAACGUUUCUACCAACAUUGGACUCGAAAAGUGGAAAGUGUCAAUUAUUUAUUUGGGUUGUUGUUAAUUAAUUUAGAAAAGUGGAAAGUUUGCUAGGUUAAAACAAGGGUAAAUCAGGAAAUUUUUUAUUGAAGUAUUGUUUCUCUCUCAUAAUAAUGUCAUCAAAUAAAUAAAAAAAUAAAGAAUUAACUAUAGUUAAACCCAUGGACAUGUGUCAACUUUUUGGAGAGAUGGUGAGGGUACACCUAGGGUUAAAGUGGUGAGCAAAAAUAGUGUCUAUGUUCCAGGUAUGUUGUAUAUUUACCUCUUUUGUAGGUGGAAGCCUUUGACGUUAACAAAAUUUGCUUCUUGAACGAAUUUGUAUAUGUAACUACUGCUUCCUGAACCAAUUUCUUUUUGUUUUCGUUUUCUAAUUGAGGACCCCAACCCAACUAUGUCUUUGACGAUAACUAAACCUGCUUCCUAAACGAAUUUCUAUAUGUAGUUCCACUCAAAUUAUAGCACCUACUUACUAACGAGUUUUCGUUCUGAUACAGAUUUUCUUAGUGACCAGUUUUCUUAGUUUUCUUAGUUUUCAUAGAACGAUUCUAACAAAAAUUGAUUCCUGUUUCAUGGUGGUUUUGGGGACAGAGUUCAACGUCACUAAUAUAGAAUGAUGGAAAUAGAGUUUGGUCCUCUACCUACACCAUAGGAAGAAGAUGAAGAAACCAAUUCAUCUUUGUACUCUGUUCCUUGUAUUCCACACAACGAAUUCGUUUUCUUUUCCUUUUAUAGCCCCCUCUUUUUCAAAGGUACUCUGUUCCUUGUAUGACAAUUUCAAUCACGCCAAAUACUACGAUGGGCCCGCUGUUGUUGAAGAAAUAGUGGUAGUUAUCAAGUAUAAGAUUAGCAAUAUUGAUAAAGUUAGAAGCACAAGCUUAUAACGAGCUUCUAAGCCCAUGGGGUAUUAUUUCUGUCCUUUUCCUGUUGUUGUUUGUCCUGUUUGAUCUGUAUUACAGUUCAGUAAGUCAGUCUACUUUGAUUUAUUAUUUUGCUGCUUUAGCAAUUUGGUUUAUGUAUCUGAUCUACGCUUGGCUCUUUUGUUACAUAAUUUAUUCUGUUCCUUUUAUUCCACACAACGAAUUCGUUUUCUUUUCCUUUUAUAGCCCCCUUCGUUUUCUUUUCCUUCUUUUUCAUUUUCUUGUCCUUUUUGUAUUGAGAUUGAGAGUUUACUUCAUAGUUAAUAUAUGACAUAAUUUCAUUAACAGAAUUAUUCUAACAAAAUUUCGUCCCUGUUUUGAUGCUGUAAAUAGGAAUUUUUUUUGCUAUUUUUUGUUCUGAAAUUUGUUUUGCUGGCUUAAUUGGAUGUUCUUUGCCUUCUUAAUUGUAUAUCAUCAUUUGCAGGUUCUUUAUGGCUAGGAAGGAGUAUCGCUCCCUCGAAUACAGGUUGGACCAUGGAACAUGAAUCAAGCGCGCCGCGUAACAUGAGCACGAGAGNNNNNNNNNNNNNNNNNNNNNNNNNNNNNNNNNNNNNNNNNNNNNNNNNNNNNNNNNNNNNNNNNNNNNNNNNNNNNNNNNNNNNNNNNNNNNNNNNNNNNNNNNNNNNNNNNNNNNNNNNNNNNNNNNNNNNNNNNNNNNNNNNNNNNNNNNNNNNNNNNNNNNNNNNNNNNNNNNNNNNNNNNNNNNNNNNNNNNNNNNNNNNNNNNNNNNNNNNNNNNNNNNNNNNNNNNNNNNNNNNNNNNNNNNNNNNNNNNNNNNNNNNNNNNNNNNNNNNNNNNNNNNNNNNNNNNNNNNNNNNNNNNNNNNNNNNNNNNNNNNNNNNNNNNNNNNNNNNNNNNNNNNNNNNNNNNNNNNNNNNNNNNNNNNNNNNNNNNNNNNNNNNNNNNNNNNNNNNNNNNNNNNNNNNNNNNNNNNNNNNNNNNNNNNNNNNNNNNNNNNNNNNNNNNNNNNNNNNNNNNNNNNNNNNNNNNNNNNNNNNNNNNNNNNNNNNNNNNNNNNNNNNNNNNNNNNNNNNNNNNNNNNNNNNNNNNNNNNNNNNNNNNNNNNNNNNNNNNNNNNNNNNNNNNNNNNNNNNNNNNNNNNNNNNNNNNNNNNNNNNNNNNNNNNNNNNNNNNNNNNNNNNNNNNNNNNNNNNNNNNNNNNNNNNNNNNNNNNNNNNNNNNNNNNNNNNNNNNNNNNNNNNNNNNNNNNNNNNNNNNNNNNNNNNNNNNNNNNNNNNNNNNNNNNNNNNNNNNNNNNNNNNNNNNNNNNNNNNNNNNNNNNNNNNNNNNNNNNNNNNNNNNNNNNNNNNNNNNNNNNNNNNNNNNNNNNNNNNNNNNNNNNNNNNNNNNNNNNNNNNNNNNNNNNNNNNNNNNNNNNNNNNNNNNNNNNNNNNNNNNNNNNNNNNNNNNNNNNNNNNNNNNNNNNNNNNNNNNNNNNNNNNNNNNNNNNNNNNNNNNNNNNNNNNNNNNNNNNNNNNNNNNNNNNNNNNNNNNNNNNNNNNNNNNNNNNAUCGUCUGAUCAUUAGGGAUUUGAUUUAUUAGGGUAAAUCAAAUUUCUAACUGUGGUAGGUAUCAAAUCAAAUCCUAAUUUAAUUAGGUAACUCCUCAUUUAAUUGGGAAUUGUGGUAGGAAUAAAAUCAAUUCUCAACCUAAUUAGGUAACGUUCAAUUUAAUUGGGUAAUCCCCAAUUAAAUUGAGUAACUCCCAAUUAGGUUGAUUAAUUCCCAAUUAGGUCAAAUAAUCCCCAAAUGGAAGGAACUAUUUGACCUAGGGUCUGAUUUAAUUCGGUUCCCACAGUUUCCUUUUUAAAAAUUUAAAAAUUGAUUUUGCAUGGCACUAGCUGUUGAUUUCUAUUUGUUUUUAAAUUAAGAAAAAAAAAACCCAAUAGUAUAAUAAUGGAGUUGUCUUUUAGGUCAGCUUUUUGCAGCAGCUAGGGCUCAUUUGGGCUCUAUGGCUCUAGGCUUUAGAGACCCAAAUGCAUCGCACUUGUGUCGACUUUUUGGGUCGUUAUCUAGUUAGAACACUUAUGCGCGAACGUUAUAUGAGAACCAAAUCCAACCAUCCAAAUUAUCUGAACGGCUAAAGAGAAAAAGCAAGCUUACGGUAAAAAAGAGUAGGCUGCAGUUCCCGUUAGCCCAAGUGUCAAGUCGGGCCUGUUUCGAAAAAACGCGCCUUUCUUCUUCCUGACAGUGGCCAGUCGCACCUUAAUUGUCAAUAAAUUUAUGAAUUUAUGAAUCAACCCUAAACACCCAAAAUACCUACCAGACAUAAAUUUGUGUAUUUCUCUUAUCGCAGAAACUCCCUGGUGUACUCUGUCUCUUUCGCUUCCUCCAUCAUCUAAUAUUUCUUAUUUGAACGUCUGAGAAGGUACGUUUCUCUCGAAUUCCCUCUCUUUCAUUCAUAUUAAAGUUUGCUUGUUAUAUUGCAUUCAGUUAAUGUUUAAAUCACUUAAUGUUUAAAUAAUGUUUAGGAUUUUAGGGCAUUAAUUUUCUGGGUAAGAGUAGUCUGUCUCUGGUGUAGGAUUUUAGGCUUUGAUUUUCUCGGUAAGAGUAGUCUGUCUUUGUAGUAGUUGUGUUUGCAAAAAUAUAAAUUGGCUUCAGUUGUUUUUUUGCGUCUUUUUCUAGUUUCAAGUAAUUUGUUGAAGCAUAGUAACUAAUUUUUAAAGUUUUUCUGCGGUUUAAAUAUUAUUUACUUUUUCCAAAAGUUGGGUUGUCUUUUUAUCGCAAUUUUUUGUGGUAAUUUGUUGAAGUGUAGAUUCACAGCUGUUGGUUGUUCCUUUAUUUUUUUUGCAUUGUGCUUGCUUGUUGUCUUUUCUUAAAAUUCCAGGAACCUUCAUGUGUUGGUCAUUGUAAUCCUGCUUUGCCCAUCUAGUGGUGUGAGUGUAUGGCAUCAUUUUAGGGAUUUAAUGGGGUUUGAAAAAUAAGGAAUAAGUACCAUUAGAAGUAGAACGCAGAAGAGAAAAUUGAAUCUUAACAGUGAAUAUGAGAUGAUUUGGGAUGCAGAAGGAUCAAUGCAUCUUGUAGUAGGUAUCAAUUCUGUAUGUUAAUGUGUUGAAAAUAGUGUUGGUAGGUAUCAGUUCUGUAUGUGAAUAUGUUGAAAAUAGUGUUUGCCGGUGAAAAUUAUACAUCUUAAUGAGUUGAAAAUAGUGCAUCAGUUUUGCAUCUUAAUAUGUUGAAAAUAGUGUUAGUAGGCAUCCAUUAUGUAUCUGAAUAUUUGAAAAUAGUAUUUGUAGGUAUUAAUUAUGUAUGUUAAUGAGUUGAAAAAAAUGUAUUUGUUUGCAUCUUAAUAUGUUGAAAAUAGUGUUAGUAGGUAUCCAUUAUGUAUGUGAAUGUGUUGAAAAUAGUGUUUUGUUGUUAAAAUGUUAACUCGCAAUUGUACGGGCCAAUUAGUAGUAUAGCAAGACAAGUACGAGGUCGUACCCACGAGGACUGAGAAGUUAAAAUUAGUUAUGUACUUAGAUUACCAAAUUCAAGAAAGUAGGAGGUUAAGUCUAAAAUAGAAUUUAAAGCAAGAGUGAUUGUAAUUGUUGAACAAAUGAGGCAAAACGAAAUUUCAAACAAAAGCAAAGUGAACAAAUGUAACAAAGAGUACUUUUGUAGGCUGGAAAACAGAUUGGGAGACUAGGGCAUUCGAUUCACCAUAAAAAUUCAAUUCUGGGUUAUAAGGAGUCAAGUGACAAGUCUCAUUCGAAUUCAAAGAUUGAUUCUAGCUAAAGUAUGAUUAGGCCAUGGUGUUUGGUCCUAACCCUGUGCUCCUAAUUCCCUAACUUGAUCAUUUGUUGUCUAAUCUAAAUUAAGCAUUAGGAACCCAUUAAGCAUAGAAGAACAAUUUAAACAACCAAGCAUGUAUCUAAUCCCUGUUGUCGAAUGUCCAUACAUACUUUUCUUAUUCAUAGUUCAAUUCAAAUCAAAGCAUGGUGUCUACUCUUGAUUCAAACCAAGGUAGCUAAUAUACAAGUUCUAAUGGUGAUCAAUCAUCCAAACAAGCAUAUUAACUGAUAAGCAUAAAGAAUAGGAAUAUGAAUCAUGAAUCAAACUUGAAACUCAAAACUUCAACUUAUAAACCCAGAAUAUUCAUGUUAGGUUACAUCAUAGCCCUAGUUAUGAAUUUAGCUACUCAUAAUGGAAAUGGAACUUAAGCAAAAAUGAGAAAACAUAUUGAAUGCAAUAAGAGUAGAGAAACCCAAUUCUGAAGUUGCUUGUGGUUUCCAAGGCUUCUCCAGGUGCUUCUCCACAUCUAAUGCUACUCCAAGAACUUUCUCAUGUCUAGAGUAUGGCAACUAAAGAGGUGAUUUGGGAUGAGUUUGGGUGGUUGGUGAUGGCAGAGAAAGAACAAAUUCGUAGGAAAUGGAAGGAAGGCUUGUUGGAGUUGUUCCUAGGACAGCUCCAAGGUCCCUUGACAGCUCCAAGCUCCCUUCUCUCUUUGUGGUGAAUCUGAAUGUGUGUAUGAGAGUAAUGGAUGAAGUGAAUGUGUGUGUCUACCCUCCUUUCUUGAAUGAGUGUGCAACUCUCUAUUUAUAGAGUGCAAUUUCGUGCUCCCCUUUGGCUGGUGAAACACACCUCUCUUAGCUGCUCCCAAUUGCCUAAGCUGCCCAAUAAAUGCCAACUCUUCCAGCUGCCCAAUAAAUGCUUUGGUGGAAUUUUCUUGGUUUCUUUAUGGAAAGCUUGACUUUUAUUCAUCUUUUUGACUUCCCAUACUGAUUUGUCUCCCAUGUGUAGCCUACCAGAAUUCCUGGCAAAUGGUCCUUGAUUUGUGCAGACAAGAUCCCCAUAAUUAAGCAUGCCAUGUUUUGCUCCUUUAUGACUUCCAUAGCUGAAAUGCCUCCCUAAUUUGUUCAACAUGUCAGGUCCAAAGUCAAAUAAUGCUCAAGUGAGGCACAUGGCUCAAGGGAGGUGUGGAGCACAAGGCUCACCAGUUGGCAGCUACAUAUUAAAAUCCUCCUAGAGCAUGGUUCAGUGUUUGACAGGCUAAGGACUCUAGCUAUCAUUAAUUGGGCUGAUAUGUGGAUAUGUUAUACUAGACACCUAUUGGAACAACUUCUGUGAAGCAUGUCUCCUCAUCCAAGCAGUGUAGGUUGCUGAAAUGAGGCCUGCAAGAUGACCCACGAAUUUGGACUGACAAGGAGUGUGGCCCAAAUUGGUUCUGUCAUUAAGCUCAUAUUCCUCUUGUGCCAAUCAACCCUUAACAUGCAUGAAUUGUAUCAAAUGUGAUCCCCUUGCUGUCCUAACCUACAAAACACACAAACAUAGGUAAGAGACUCAAAAUAAAAAGAAACUAAACAAAAUUACUAAGCAAAGAAGGCAUGCAAAUGUGUGAAAUUAUGACCUUAUCAUACCCCCAGACCUAGAUUUUGCUAGUCCUCGAGCAAAACAAAAGAGAAUAAAGUUGAAAACAAAACAAGAAGUUAACUAAACCACUUCUGUAGGUAACUUGAUUGCAAUGUGCAUAUGCAACAAGUCUUUAAACCUCUCGGCAUCCCUAAUCGGAAGAGUUGUGUCUCCUGAGGGUUUAACAGAAACGAUACCCACAAACGCUUUACUGACUCUCUAACACCAAAAGGUUAGAAAACUAACUUUGAAAACAACUAAUGAAAGAAAACUUUAAUCAUGCAUCCAACACCAUAGAGUUACCAAGAUAGAUGAUCAAUAAGUGUGUAAAUUGGAAGCUAUAGCUCAAAGGCACACGGCUUCAAAGUAAACAGACUCAAAUCUUGAAGGAAGAACAUGCUUCAACUCUAAUUCUCACAUCUAGCACUCAAUCACUCAGAACCUAUGGUUUUAUUCUCUCAAACAAGCAUAAGUGAGUAUAUGAAAUACAAGCACAAUAUUUGGUUAGAUCUCAUGAAGGGAAUCAAAUACUAAGAGUAGAGAUACACACAUACAUACCAGCACCCAUGAAUACAUCCUCAAAGAUCAGCUAGGUCUUUCACAAGGUUGUAAUGAAAGGCUAAGGUUAAGGGAAGUGGAAGAAUUGGAAGGAACACAACUAACUUAAGAACAUACCAAGGUUGCAUUCUUCAUUGAUCUGCAAGGUAUCAUUGAUUUAGAAUGGUAUGGCUGCAACUUCAUAGCAUCAUCUGGCAUAGACUUUAUAUUUCACAUUUAGAUCAAAUCGAAACACUUUCUCUUUAUCUUUCUUUUUUUCUUUUUUUUUUGACUUGAUCUACUUCUUCUUUAACUUUAUUGCAUAGAUUCACACCAAUUUACAUUUGGGCAUGUGGCAGCAACCUCCUUGCUUCAAACUUUAUCUUCGCACACCUUGGUAUAUUUCUAAGCUAUAGGGUAUGGCUAUAAUAGGUUAAAUAUCUCUGAUUGAGAUACAAAGUUAGGGGAAUUAUGAGGGUGAUAGAAGAAAAAGGCUUGUAGUGUUUGGCUGCAAGAGAGCUGAUGGAACACACGAAUGGGUAGGGUGAAAAGAAAGCACAGAAAAUGGUUAUACACGCAGAGCCUAGCAUCACUUCAAUGAGUUCAUUCAUGGGUGAGAGCACGCACCUGAUAUCUGCAAAGAGAAUCAUCCUUAGUAUUCAAUCAAAAUGGAACAAUGAGAUCAUUUAGAGUGAAUUGAAGAAAAUAAGUAGAGAUGAGGAAUAGAAACACUUUAAACCCUCUCAAGAAAGCAAUUAGGCUCGAAAUAGCUCACUAGGGUAGUCUCCACUAUUCUCCUUCAAGAAUCUGAGCAUGAUACUUUAGUCACCAGAAUUCUAAGAGCAAAAGCUUUGUGAAGUGUAAAAUUUCUGAUAUGAAAAUCUCAAUGGCAGCUCCAUAGCAUUGGUUGUAUGAAAUUUUUUUUAUAAAAAAAAAAAUAGUGACAAGCGAACGAAAAUUGUAAACACAAAUGAACAAAAAUUGAAAACCUCCCCCCCAGACCUGAAUUGAACAUUGUCCUCAAUGUUAAAGCAUAACAAAGAUGAGUGAGAACAUGUGAAUAAUAAGGGGAAAGUUUAAGACAAAGUAUUAGAGAAACUCCCUCUUGAUGCGAUUAGGUCGACCGCUACCGAGCACCUUAUUCUUCAACACAUGGGUUGCCUCCCAAGAAGCGCCUUAGUUAAUGUCUUGGCAAGACAUUAUGCCAUUAGCUAACUUGAUUGUACGAAGGGAAGAUGAUCCACCACAUGACCAGUUUGAAUUCCAACUGACACUCCCUCAUAGAAUGGCUUUAAACGUUGUCCAUUUACUUUGAAAGUCGAGCCAUCUUUAGGAUUUUGAAUCUCCACAGCUCCAUAGGGAGAUACAUUGACCACGGUGAAUGGGCCAAGCCACCUAGACUUCAAUUUUCCUGGAAAGAGACGCAAACGUGAGUUAAACAAAAGAACUGACAUACCUUUGGUGAAUUCUUUCCGUUGAAUGUUCCUGUCAUGGUAACUCUUGGUACGUUCUUUGUAUAGCUUUGCAUUCUCAUAGGACUCAUAUCGAAUUUCUUCCAAUUCAUUGAGCUGAAACUUUCUAACAUGGCCGGCCUUGUCCAGAUCAAAAUUCAACUUCUUGAUGGCCCAAAAAGCAUUGUGUUCAAGCUCCAUUGGCAAGUGACAGGCUUUUCCAAACACAAGACGAUAAGGGCUCAUUCCGAUGGGAGUCUUAUAUGCAGUCCUAUAAGCCCAUAAUGCAUCAUUGAGCUUGGCAGCCCAAUCUUUCCUUGUACUAUUCACCACUUUCUCUAGGAUCUGCUUAAUUUCUCUGUUGCUUAUUUCUACUUGACUAGAAGUUUGAGGAUGAUAUGGUGUAGAGACUCGGUGGGUGAUAUUGUACUUCUUCAUGAGUGCUUCAAAUAGCUUGUUGCAGAAGUGGCUGCCUCCAUCACUAAUGACAGCCCUUGGAGUACCAAACCUUGUGAAAAUAUUGUCCCUCAAGAACUUCAGGACCACCUUAUGAUCAUUGGUUUUGGUGGCUAUGGCUUUCACCCAUUUAGACACAUAAUCAACAGCAACAAGUAUGUAGGUAUAACCAAAGGAAGAUGGGAAUGGUCCCAUGAAAUCAAUACCCCAUACAUCGAAGAGUUCCACAAAGAGUAUGUUCUUCAAUGGCAGUUCGUUCCUGCGGCUUAUGUUUCCCAUCCUUUGACACCUAUCACACUUAACACAAAAAUUAAAUGCAUCUUUGAAUAGAGUAGGCCAAAAGAAACCUGAUUGCAAAAUUUUAAGUGCUGUUUUCUUGGCUCCAAAGUGGCCUCCACAAGCCAAUUCGUGGCUAUGCCUAAGGAUGCUUUCUUGUUCUUCUUCUGGAACACAUCUUCUAAUGAGUUGAUCUGGGCAAUGCUUGAAUAAGAAAGGUUCAUCCCAGACAUAAUGUUUCACCAUGGAAAAGAACUUCUUUUUGUCCUGAUAAGUUAGAUCAUUUCUAAGAACACCACAAGCAAGAUAAUUAACAAAAUCAGCAUACCAUGGCUCUUUGACUUGGGCAACAUAUAGUUGUUCAUCUGGGAAAGUCUCAUUCAAUGGUAGUACAGCUUCUCCUUGCUCUUCAACCACAAUUCUGCUCAAAUGGUCAGCCACCACAUUUUCACAUCCCUUCUUGUCUCGAAUCUCCAAAUCGAACUCUUGCAGCAAGAGAAUCCAUCUGAUCAAGCGAGGUUUGGCGUCCUUCUUAGCGAGCAAGUAUCUAAGAGCAGCAUGGUAAGAAUAAACAAUUACUUUAGAACCAACAAGGUAAGGGCGAAAUUUUUCUAAAGCAAAAACCACAGCAAGCAACUCCUUUUCGGUUGUGGAGUAAUUGAGUUGGGCAUUAUUCAAGGUCCGGCUCGCAUAAUGAAUCACAUGGGGAAGCUUGUUCUUCUUUUGACCUAAAACUGCACCAAUAGCAAAGUCAGAGGCAUCACACAUUAUUUCAAAUGGUAAAGACCAAUCUGGAGCUAUGAUAAUAGGGGCUGAAGUUAGCUCUUUCUUCAAAGUCGUAAAGGCUUCCAUGCAAAUCUCGUCAAACUCAAAAACAGCAUCCUUAGCAAGGAGAUUACACAAUGGUCUUGAAAUGCUUGAAAAAAAUUUUAUGAACCUUCUAUAGAAUCCGGCAUGGCCCAGAAAGCUUCUAACUCCUUUAACAGAGGAAGGGGGUGGUAGAUUUGUGAUGAUAUUUAUCUUGGCUUGUCCACUUGAAUUCCCUUGUUUGAAACAACAUGGCCUAGCACAAUUCCUUGUCUUACCAUGAAGUGACACUUCUCCCAAUUCAAAAUCAGAUUUGUUUCCUGACAUCUUGUAAGCACUAGAGACAAGUGGUGAAGACAAUCAUCAAAAGAUGAACCAAAAACUGAAAAAUCAUCCAUAAAUACCUCCAUGAAUCGUUCCACCAUAUCAGAAAAGAUUGCCAUCAUGCAUCUUUGGAAAGUUGCUGGAGCAUUGCACAAACCAAAUGGCAUCCUUCUAUAAGCAAAUGUACCAAAUGGGCAUGUGAACGUGGUUUUCUCCUGGUCUUCCGGAGCAAUGGGAAUUUGAUUAUAACCUGAAAAUCCAUCAAGAAAACAGUAGUAAGCAUGGCCAGAUAAACGGUCAAGCAUUUGAUCAAUAAAAGGCAAGGGAAAAUGAUCUUUUCUCGUGGAUGUGUUCAACUUCCUGUAAUCAAUGCAAACUCUCCAACCAGUGAUAGUGUGUGUUGGAACUAGCUCAUUCUUCUCAUUCUUUACAACGGUGAUUCCGGACUUCUUUGGAACCACUUGCACAGGACUCACCCACUUAGAAUCUGAAAUUGGGUAGAUGAUUCCCACAUCAAGUAGCUUUAAAACUUCAGCCCUAACCACCUCUUUCAUAUUGGGAUUUAGCCUCCUUUGUGCAUCACGAGAUGGUUUGCUGUCUUCUUCCAUUAAAAUUCGGUGCAUGCACAUGCUUGGACUAAUUCCUUUGAUGUCUGCUAUGGUCCAUCCAAGGGCUGUUUCAUGUUCUUUCAGAACUUCAAUUAACCUGUCCUCUUCAUGUGAAGUGAGACUUGCAGCAAUUAUAACAGGGAGAGUUUCAUUAGCACCCAAAUAAGUAUAUUUAAGAUGAUUGGGUAGAGGUUUAAGUUCUAGCUUUGGUGGGGUGAUAAUGGAUGGCUCCAAUUUUGUGGAGGAUGACACAAGAGGCUCAAGUGGUGGCCUAAAGGAUGGUGGGUAUGGCUGAAACACUUCUAAGGCAGCCAUCACUUCUUGGAACUCUGAUUCAAAGAGAUCUUCCUCUUCUUGUGUUAGGACCGCUUCCAAAGCAUCAUUAGACUUUUUCUGCACAAUUUUAGAAGAAACCUCAUGAUCCACAACAUCAAUUGAAAAACAAGUAUCAAGAGUGAUAGAAGGUUGAGACAGAGCAUCAAACACUUUAAAUUCAACAGUUUCACCCAAAACAGUCAUGGAGAGGGUGCCAUCUUUCACUUUGAUGAUUGUGUCUGCAGUGGCCAUGAAUGGUCGCCCGAGGAGAAUGGGAUCAACACGGUCUUCAUAUGGGNNNNNNNNNNNNNNNNNNNNNNNNNNNNNNNNNNNNNNNNNNNNNNNNNNNNNNNNNNNNNNNNNNNNNNNNNNNNNNNNNNNNNNNNNNNNNNNNNNNNGAAUGAGUGUAUUAACUUGAACUAAAAUAUCUUCUACAAUACCUUUUGGAUAUUUGAUAGAAUGAUCAGCUAGUUCAAGACGAAUUGAGGUUUUCUUUAUCCCUUCUAAGCCAAGCGCCUGAUAAACUGAAUAUGGCAUUACAUUGAUGCUUGCUCCCAAGUCCAACAUGGCUCUUCCAACCGUCUUAUCUCCGAUGUUAAUGGGAAUGUUAAAGCUGCCAGGAUCUUCUAGUUUUGGUGGAAGCUUCCUUUGCAACACAGCACUCACAUUCUUGUUGAGCUUUACUUCUUCACUUGGAGUAAAAUUGAGCUUGUGAGUCAUCAAGUGCUUGAUGAACUUUCCAUAUGCAGGAAUCUGUUUAAAAACAUCAAGCAAGGGCAAAUUGAUAUUAACUUUACUCAAAAUAUCAUAAAUCUCUUUAAAAGCCUUAUCUUGAUUUGCUUUCUUCAAUCGGCCUGGAAAUGGAAUCGGUGGAAUAUAUGGAGGAGGUGGGAUGUAUCUAUCUUGAUGAAGAUGUGAUGGCACAAAUUUGUCAUCUCUUUUAUGCAAUUGAAAUGGAUUGGGUUCCUGAGAAUCAGAUUUGGCCUUAGGAGUAGAUUGGGACGUUUUGGGUUGUUCUCCUUCCAUAGCUGUGGUUUCUUCUUCAUCUUCAUCCUCUACAACCACAACAUCAUUUGAUAGAUCAGAACCAACUUUGUUAUCAACAAUCUUACCUGAUCUGAGCACAUGAACGGCCUUGGCUUCUUGGUUUUUUUGGAUUGAUCACGGUUUGACUUGGCCAUUUCCCAGGUUCUCUUUGAGCUAUUUCAGUAGCUAUCUGGCCCAAUUGGACUUCCAACUUGGAGAUGGCAGCUUGUGUUGUUUGCUGGAAAUUGUUUUGGUUGAUUGCCAUUUGCUUCACUAAAUCCUCCAACGAUGAUGAUUGUUGUGGCCUUUGGAGUGAAGGGGGAUUCGCUUGAUUCUGUGUAUUCCUCCAUGAAAAGUUUGGAUGAUUCCUCCAACCUGGAUUAUAUCUUUGAGAAUAUGGGUCAUUUAUUGGACCUCGGUUGUAGGAAUUCACCAACUUAGCUUGCUCUUGCACAAAUUCUGGAUAUGCAGCCCCAAAGGGACAAGAAAUGGUAGGAUGAUCAUGAGUUUCACAGAUGCUACACACUUCCUUCAAAGGGUCUUGAGUUCAAUGCAAGGAGGGCAUCUAGCUUUUGUUCCAAUUUGGAAAUCUGUACACUAGAAGAAUCAUUAGAACCACCAGCAAUACGUUUACCUCUUGUAUCGGUGUGUUGGGUCUCCAUUGCUAUCUCCUCAAAGAGUUCAUAUGUUUCUUCUGGAGUUUUAGUCUUAUAAGAACCACCUGCAAAAUUAGUGACAAUAUUAUGGCUAGAGGGGGUUAGUCCUUUAUAAAACAUACGCAUCUGAAGCUUCAAUGGAAUCCCAUGAUGAGGGCAUUGAUUGAGCAGCCCGUUGAAUCUCUCCCAUGCUUCACAAAACGACUCAUCAUCUUGUUGUGCAAAUAGAAAGAUCUUGUCCCUAAGCAUGUCGGUUUUUUGCGUGGAGAAAUAUUUCUCCAAGAACUUCUUUUGAAUGGCUCCCCAAGUCAUGAGUGAACCAGGCUUCAAAGAAUUCAACCAAUAUUUCGCCUUAUCUUUCAAAGUGUAAGGAAACACUCUCAUUCGAAGUUGCUCUUCCGUCACACCUGUCAAGGGAAAAGAGCUCACAACAUUAAAAAUAUCCUUUAUAUGAGUUAAUGGAUCUUCAUUAGGUAAACCAUAAAAAGAAAGGAGCAUAUUAAGAUGAGAAGAUUUAAGCUCACAGUUUCGAGCUGCGGUGGGCAGCAAGAUGCUUGAAGGGGAUGCUGGAAUUGUUGGGAUAUCAAGGUCUCCCAUGAACUCAUUGGCAGCCAUCUCUUCUUCUUCUUGGUCUGAACUUGAUUCCGAAUUUGAAGGUGAAGACCCUGGGAGGUCAGUGUGGAUAGCAAGACCUUCACUUGUUCAAGGAAAGGAUUACUAGACAUAAACUACCUGAAACAGAAAAUAAUUUGAGUUAAUUAAUACUUCUAAAAGAAUGGGGUAACCUUGGGCACAUAACCAGGGAAGAACUUUCAUUCAGUCCCCGGCAACGGCGCCAAAAUUAGUUGUUAAAAUGUUAACUCGCAAUUGUACGGGCCAAUUAGUAGUAUAGCAAGACAAGUACGAGGUCGUACCAACGAGGACUGAGAAGUUAAAAUUAGUUAUGUACUUAGAUUACCAAAUUCAAGAAAGUAGGAGGUUAAGUCUAAAAUAGAAUUUAAAGCAAGAGUGAUUGUAAUUGUUGAACAAAUGAGGCAAAACGAAAUUUCAAACAAAAGCAAAGUGAACAAAUGUAAGAAAGAGUACUUUUGUAGGCUGAAAAACAGAUUGGGAGACUAGGGCAUUCGAUUCACCAUAACAAUUCAAUUCUGGGUUAUAAGGAGUCAAGUGACAAGUCUCAUUCGGAUUCAAAGAUUGAUUCUAGCUAAAGUAUGAUUAGGCCAUGGUGUCUGGUCCUAACCUUGUGCUCCUAAUUCCCUAACUUGAUCAUUUGUUGUCUAAUUUAAAUUAAGCAUUAGGAACCCAUUAAGCAUAGAAGAACAAUUUAAACAACCAAGCAUGUAUCUAAUCCCUGUUGUCGAAUGUCCAUACACACUUUUCUUAUUCAUAGUUCAAUUCAAAUCAAAGCAUGGUGUCUACUCUUGAUUCAAACCAAGGUAGCUAAUAUACAAGUUCUAAUGGUGAUCAAUCAUCCAAACAAGCAUAUUAACUGAUAAGCAUAAAGAAUAGGAAUAUGAAUCAUGAAUCAAACUUCAAACUCAAAACUUCAACUUAUAAACCCAGAAUAUUCAUGUUAGGUUACAUCAUAGCCCUAGUUAUGAAUUUAGCUACUCAUAAUGGAAAUGGAACUUAAGCAAAAAUGAGAACACAUAUUGAAUGCAAUAAGAGUAGAGAAACCCAAUUCUGAAGUUGCUUGUGGUUUCCAAGGCUUCUCCAGGUGCUUCUCCACGUCUAAUGCUACUCCAAGCACUUUCUCAUGUCUAGAGUAUGGCAACUAAAGAGGUGAUUUGGGAUGAGUUUGGGUGGUUGGUGAUGGCAGAGAAAGAACAAAUUCGUAGGAAAUGGAAGGAAGCACUUUCUCAUGUCUAGAGUAUGGCAACUAAAGAGGUGAUUUGGGAUGAGUUUGGGUGGUUGGUGAUGGCAGAGAAAGAAUGACUCCUUUGCACUUGAGUAGCUGACACACCUCCCUAAAUUGCUCAACAUGUCUGGUCUAAAGUCAAGGAAAGCUGUGGUGAGUCACAUGGCUCAAAGAAAGUAUCCAAUUGCACUUGAGUAGCUGACACACCUCCCUAAAUUGCUCAACAUGUCAGGUCUAAAGUCAAGGAAAGCUGUGGUGAGUCACAUGGCUCAAAGAAAGUAUCCAAGGCUCAACAACUGAAAACUACAAUCCUAAGCCUGGUGUGUAUAUGGGCUCACGAAUUAGGCUCAACUUCAUUAUCUGAUGCAUUUGAGUAGUCCAUCUUGAAGUUCAGACUCUCAUCUUUCCAACUACAUAUUAUUUGGGCCAAUCCAAGUUCGGAGAAAGAUGUUAAGGCCGAAAUGAGUUGCCAACCCCGUCUGCUCGUUUUUGCACCAUUUUGCAUCUUUUCUUAUCCAAAGACACCAUUGCUACCUAAGGCCCAAUGAACUGAAUGAUAAACAGAAAAGGGAUUAAAAGCACACGUUUGACUCAAUAACAUAACCAAAUCAUAAGCUAGAAGGGUACAAAAUGAUAUACAAUUGUGAACUGAUCAAAGCUGACAUAUUUAAGAAAUAUUUAGAUGCCAACAACCCUAUGUAAGUUUUGUAUGAAGUUAUCAAUUUUAUUUUUAAAGUCAUCCUCUUGUAUGUUUGUUUCUUUGUUUCUGAUCCUAUGAUUUGUCAUCUGUGUUGCUUUUCUGUCAUCAUAGGGAUGCCUUCUGGCAUGGCGUGCGUUCUGCGGUGUAUCGCAAAGAUGCACUACGACUCUUGAAUGAGGAAGCAGUGAGUAUACAGGUAAUUAUAUCUGCACAUGUAAAAUAUGUAUUUUUUUGCUUUAUAUGUACAGUGAAUAAUUUGAGGAUAUGUACUGAUUUUAAAGCAGGUAUAAAUAUUCAUUUGUGCUAUGGCCCUUGUAGGUAAUGGAUUCAUUCUUAGAGAUUCUUACUAUUGAUCAAAUGGCUGUACCGAGGGGCCAAUUGAAGUCAUGUUUUCUGCCAACAUUUGGUUCGGUAUGUUCAAUUACUAACUCAUUCUCUUCGUUUCCUACAUAAUAUUUGAAAGUGGUACCAGUAGCACAUGUUUUUUUACCUGUGAGCAGAUAUAUAUCUAUGUCCAUUACCUAUUAAUCUCGUUUAUUUCUGUUACCUUCCUGGUUCCUUGCAUUGUUUUAAAAAAAAUUUAUUUCUUUGUUACCUUGCUUGUACCAUAUGUUGUAUGAGUGGUAUUUUCAAUGAUUUUUGUACCAUAGGGUAUGUUUUUUGUAAGGUCUAUGAAAUAUAGGCGUUUUGGGUCUUCUUUGCAGGCUAUGGAUUGAUUAUUAUCUAAUCUUCUUCAUUUCCUAGGAACUUAUGAAAUGUAGGGACGAAGUUGGAAAAGUUGCCAUGUAUGUUGAAGUGGUUUUGAAGAAUUUGCAAGAGAACGAUUUACUGUUUAUUCCAAUUAUUCAUGUCAAAGAGGAACAUUUUACAUUGUUAGUCUUGAACAAACAAAGUGGCUGUGGGACUACUACAAUAAUUUACAACCAAAUGAUAGCACAACUACUGACCCUUACUUGGAUGAUGCAUUAAAAUUAGUAAGUACCUCUUACCAGAUGCUCCUUCACUUAUAUACAGUUACUACUUUGAAAUAUAGUAACAACAACAUUUGUCACAUUGUAGCAAGCUAAAAUUACCAACCACUUUCAGUUCACCAAAAGUAGUGUUCAUACAAUUUCGCAAAAAAAUGAAAUAUGGAAACAUGUUAUGAGGAGGGGUGAAGUCGUAACAUAAUAGUGCAACCUUAAACAAGAUGAUCGGGAAAUGCUUACAUGGUUGACAGAGAAUUGUGUUGAUUAUCCUAUGAAGUCAAAUACAGAAUGCCCACAACAAAAUCCUCUCGGGUUUGUGAAUAGUUUUUGGGAUUUUGGAGUUGUUACAUUAUAAAGAUUGUUCUUUCAAACUGCUUGCUUUAACAUGUUGUAGUGCUGAUGCUGGGGUUGCUGUGAUGUACAUGAUCAAAACGCUAUCUGAAGGAAAGGCAUUGGAGAACGUAUUCCCUAUUGGAGCAAUGAAGAAUAUGAGAGUACAUGUGCUUGGGAAGUUCAUAAACGAUGAAGAUGGAUGUUGGGAUGCAUACAGAAUAAACUAGAUUGCUUUCUGUUUUAAUGGUGUUUUUCAUUUAUUAGUGUUUUCCAUUUAAUGGAUGUUGGGAUGCGUACUAUAUUUUCUCAUGUUUGAUCAUUUUUAAUGAUUUUCAUUUUCAUUUGUUGGAGAAUGGAGAAUGUUUUUGUUGGAUUUUGCCAUUAUAUAUUGGAGAAUGUUUGUUCAUAUAUUGACAGACUUAAUCUGUUCAUUUGCACGAUGUCCAACAAUUAUAAUCUCACUCUUGUUCUGGGUACAACCUAUCGUAUAGGUAAGCUCCUGUCGUAUAGGUAAUUGCAGGUACCUAUGUCACAGGUAUAAGCCAAACUUCAAACCUAUCAUAUAGGUAAGCUCUUGUCGCAGGUACGUAUAGGUAAUCGCAGGUAAAGAGAAUAUCACUCCGGUUCAUCCCCGGAAAUCAGUUGAUUUCCCCAAAUCAGACUUGACAGAUUCUUCCUCCCAAGAUCAACGACAUAUUAGCUAGAAUUGAUUCAUAACAUAUAUGAGAUUAUUGUACUUACCAUGUAUUGCUUCUUUCUGUAUAUAGACUUGAGAAAGUCUACUCUCUGUACAUUAUAUACGGCUGCAAUACAGAGACCAAAUAUACUGGUUGAUUCAAUUACUCUCCUCCUCUAUCUCUCAUCUCCCUUCUCCCCCCUGAACUCUGUUUCCUAUAUGGUAUCAGAGCUCUUCGGAGCCAAAGCUCACGUUUUUCGAUCCUACCCAAUCAAAUGGCAAACACACCCAAGUCUGGAGAAUCAAGUCAUAUUGAUAUGACAAAACUGAUUUCUGAAAUGUCAAAGCUUGCCUCACCCUCAUUCUCAUUCCCAUCCUUGCCCACCUCUUUCAACAUCUCAUCUCUGUUCCCAAUUCCCAUGGACAGAACCAACUAUUUGAGUUGGAAAUCACAAUUUGAAGACGUAUUGGAGAUGCAUGGCCCUGCAGAGGUCAUCAAGAAAACCACAGACCCACCCAAAGUGCAAGAAGAUGGCUCUGUGCAUCCUGAGUUCGCCAGAGACAAACUGGUCCUGAGUUGGAUCAAGGCGACUUCCUCCUCUUCCAUAAAGAUUCUACUCAUCCCGUGUACCACGGCCUAUCAGGCUUGGAAUCUUCUGGGCAAGCGCCUCUCACCCCUUGCAGGUACCCGUGUGCGGAUCCUUCGAGACCAAAUUCGCACCCUCAGGAAGGAUAACACCACAACUGUGACUGACUACCUCAACCAUGCCAAAUCACUUCUUGAUUCCCUCACACAAGCUCGUGCAACAAUGGAUGAUGAUGAAUUCGUUAGCUAUGUUCUAGACGGACUUGGGCUUGAAUACAAGGAGUUAGCCACCACACUCCACUUGCACCCAGAUAUUGGUUUUGACCAGUUUUAUGAUCUCGCUCUCAGAGAGGAACAAUUACAGAAACGCAUGUCGCUCAACGUGGCCUCAGGUGUUGCUAUGGCUGCUGAUCGAAUGCCCAAUGAGCGAAAACCUCAUUCAAACUCCGCUGGUCGCCAUUACAACCCCUAUCACGGAUCUGGACGAGGACGUGGACGUGGCAGAAAUUGGAUUCAAAGGCACAAUGGGCAAACAGAUCCGUGGAAAUCAACCCAAGGAAAUUGGCCACAAGGACACAACACUCAGCCUCGCGACCAGCAGAUUGCACCAUCUGCCCCUUCUCACGCAACUCUUACAGAUGGCCGCCCACCACUCCUUCCAACACCACCUGGCAAUUCUCCAAAUACCCAGCGCUCAGAAGUCAUUUGUUAUCAGUGUGAUAGGCCUGGUCACAUAGCCUGCUUCUGUCCAGAUCGUAAGCCUCAUGCCUACAUGGCUGAAAAUGCUGUCAACCCGUCUCCUUCUACUGAUGAUAUAGCAAACCUCAAUUGGUGUCUUGACUCCGGUGCUACCCAUCACAUGACCGCCCACACCGCUUCUCUACCGCAUGCCCAGCCUUACACAGGUACUGAUACAAUUGUUGUUGGCAAUGGGAAUCAGUUAGCAAUAACACAUAUUGGCAAUACUAAAGUGACCGGGUUACAUAAGUCCUUAAACCUUAAUGAAGUGCUAUGCGUACCUGCAAUACGAAAGAAUUUGAUAUCUAUUCGUCGUUUUUGUCGUGAUAAUGAUUGUUUCUUUGAGUUGGAUGCUAAUGGUUUUCAUGUCAAGGACAUCAAGGCGGGGACGGUACUUCUUACUGGCAGUAGUUCUGAUGGGCUUUAUCACAUUCAGGCAACCCCACAUCUUGCUCAUCAACUUGCAUUCUAUGGAGAGCGCACGACACAGGAAGUGUGGCAUGCACGCCUUAGACAUCCAUCUCAUUCAGUUUUUACAACCUUGUUGAAUAAGUACCAUUUACCUGUUAAUGGUACCAUUAUCUCCAAUAAAAAUUGUCAUAUUUGCCCAUUGGGAAAAUCUUGUAGACUGCCUUUUGAAUACAAACAGCUUCAUGCUCAAUCCUCAUUAGCACUUUUACAUCUUGACGUAUGGGGGCCCGCGCCAGUCCCCUCAAAUUUUGGAUACCAUUAUUAUUUGUCCAUUGUUGAUGACCACACUCGGUUCACUUGGUUAUAUCCUUUGGCUAAGAAGUCAGAUGUCUUUCCUACAUUUAUUACCUUCAAAAAGAUGGUGGAAAAUCGGUUUAGUUCUAAAAUCAAGCAGUUGCAGGUUGAUGGUGGGGAUGAAUUUAUCAACAAAUUAUUCCUCGCAUUUUUACGUGACAAUGGCAUAUCGCAUCAAAUUUCUUGUCCCUACACUUCCCAACAAAAUGGAGUAGUGGAAAGGAAACAUCGCCAUAUUGUUGCAAUGGGUCUCUGUCUGCUAGCCCAAUCACGAUUGCCUUUUAGUUUGGGUUGAAGCCUUCUCCACUGCAGUUUUUCUGAUCAAUCGCUUACCAACACCGCAGCUUGAUAACCUGUCUCCCUAUGAGAAGCUCCUUCACCGUUCACCAGAUUACAAAUUUCUCAAAAGCUUUGGAUGUGCUUGCUUUCCCCACCUGGUGCCAUACAACAAGCAUAAGUUAUCUUUUAAAUCUCUUCCAUUUGUAUUUCUUGGUUAUGAUGAUCACUAUAAGGGUUAUCGCUGUCUUGAUCCUUUUUCAGGUCGCAUCUAUACAUCUCGGAAUGUGACCUUUGAUGAAACAACCUUCCCUUACAAGCAGCCCCAGCUUCCAUCUCCUCUGCACUCAAAUGGGCUUCAACCUCUCUCUCUUGCCGACCAGCCCAUAUCUCUUGGGCCCUCUAAUCCUCUGGUCAGCCCUUCUCCCUCAUAUCCCUCAUCUCUUAAUCCCACAGGCCCAUCACUUCCCCCUAUUUCUUCUGACCCUAUUAGCUCCCCCCAUUCCUUCGACACCCCCUUGUUCUCCCCUCUGUCCUCUUCUGUAUCCCCAACAACACUGACCACGAACCCAGCCGAUCCUUCUCUGGUAUCCAGCAUCCCCCAUUCGCCGCCUCUUUCGACUGAAACCUCGUCGCCCCUUUCCACAGAACCCUCGCUGCCCAUUUCCACAGAAACCUCGCCGCCCCUUUCCACAGACCCAUCGCCCUUAAUUUCCCCAGACCUAUCCUUCGACUCUGACGGAACAACCCCACCCCUUACCCCACCUCCCACUUCUUCACCUCUUGAUCCAUCGAUUUUCCCUAACUCUUCAGAUACACCCAAUCCUCCACAAAAAUUCUAGAGUCUCCAAACCAUUGUCCCAUUUGGUCCAGAACCCAAACCCCUCUACUCUAAAACCAGCCCCCAUCCCUUACCCCUUGCCCUUUCUGCUGAACCUUCUGAUCCCCUGUCCCUUGAACCUACCAGCUUUACCCAUGCUUCCAAACAUAGCCACUGGCUCGAUGCUAUGCACGAUGAAUAUGCUGCACUCAUGAAGAACCAGACCUGGUCCUUAGUUCCUGCCACCUCCCGCAUGAAUAUUGUGGGGUGCAAGUGGGUCUUCAAAGUUAAACGGAGGGCAGAUGGCUCAAUUGACAGAUACAAGGCUCGUCUUGUUGCCAAGGGAUUCAAUCAGAAGGAAGGCUUUGAUUAUGCGGAAACUUUUAGCCCGGUGGUCAAACCGGCUACCAUUCGCACUAUAUUGUCUCUGGCACUUUCCUACCAUUGGCCUCUUCAGCAAUUGGAUGUUCGUAAUGCCUUCUUGAAUGGGUACUUGCAAGAGGAGGUCUACAUGAAACAACCCCCUGGUUUUCAUGAUCCCUCUCACCCUCAGUAUGUUUGUCGGCUCCACAAGGCUCUGUACGGCCUUAAGCAGGCACCUCGAGCUUGGUUCCAACGCCUUAGUGCCUUUCUCCUUGCCCAGCACUUUGUUCAUAGUCACUCUGAUGCAUCGCUCUUUAUUCGUCGCUCCUCUUCCUGCACAGUGUAUGUUCUAGUGUAUGUGGAUGACAUCAUUGUUACUGGCUCUCCCUCACCAAGUGUAAACCACUUCAUUGAUCAACUAUGUUCAACUUUUGACAGCCGCUGUAUGGGUGAGCUCAACUUUUUCCUUGGCAUGGAAAUUAAUCGGUUUUCUGACCAUUUAUUUCUCUCUCAGACUCGCUAUGCAGUGGAUUUAUUGACCCGGUUUCAUUUGACUGAAUGCAAACCAUCUCCUACCCCUUUGCCCUCUGACACUCGGCUCUCUUGUCUGGAUGGUGAUCCCUUGCCUGAUCCAUCCACCCAUCGGAGUAUGGUGGGUGGCCUCCAGUAUCUUACCUUGUCCAGACCUGAUAUUUCCUUCGCUGUCAACCAGGUGUGCCAGUUUAUGCACAACCCUCGAACCUCUCAUCUUCAAGUUGUCAAGCGCAUUUUUCGGUACAUUAAAGGUACACUUGAGCAAGGUCUUAUCUUCCAUAAGUCCACUGAUUUUUCCUUACGGAGUUUCUCUGAUGCUGAUUGGGCUGGUUCUGUUGAUGAUCGCCGGUCUACUACUGGUGCUUGUGUUUUCCUUGGCCCCAAUCUUCUCACAUGGACUGCCAAGAAACAGUCUACUGUUUCUCGCUCUAGUACUGAAGCUGAAUAUAGAGCUCUUGCACAUACUGCAGCCGAACUUCGCUGGUUUUGUUACUUGUUUCGUGAACUGGGCAUUCCCCUUCGCUCUGCCCCCUGCAUCUAUGUUGACAAUCUCUCUGCUCUCUAUAUGGCUGCCAACCCUAUUUUUCAUGCUCGCACCCGGCAUAUCGAGAUCGACUACCACUUUGUUCGUGAAUUAGUUGCUCGAAAGGCUCUUCGUACCUCCUAUGUUCCUUCCUCUCGUCAGCUUGCUGACAUAUUUACUAAAGGUCUCGGUCGUGAUCGGUUUUCACUUCUCAAAUCCAAGCUUAAUCUCCGCGUUGCUCCGCUACGCUUGAGGGAGGGUAAAGAGAAUAUCACUCCGGUUCAUCCCAGGAAAUCAGUUUAUUUCCCCAAAUCAGACUUGACAGAUUCUUCCUCCCAAGAUCAACGACAUAUUAGCUAGAAUUGAUUCAUAACAUAUAUGAAAUUAUUGUACUUACCAUGUAUUGCUUCUUUCUGUAAAUAGACUUGAGAAAGUCUACUCUCUGUACAUUAUAUACGGCUGCAAUACAGAGACCAAAUAUACUGGUUGAUUCAAUUACUCUCCUCCUCUAUCUCUCAUCUCCCUUCUCCCCCCUGAACUCUAUUUCCUAUAGCAGGUACCUGUGUCAUAGGUACACUUUCGGAAGUUACCUGUAGGAUAGGCUCUCCGUGAAGCUCCAUAUCAAGCCACUGCAUAGAGUACCUUCGCCAUAGGUACACUAUUUAUAGGUUACCUGUGCCAUAGAUACUAUUCGAGGUUACCUCUAGUGCCCAAAACUAUAAGUAAAGCUGGCUUAUAAUUCAAUGGUAGGCUAUCCAAUUUUAGCUGGCAUGUAACUCACUGGUAGGCUAUCCAAUUUUAGCUGACCCUGACAGUCUAAUUUCAGUUGUUCUUUUGAAAGUCACAAAAGACUCCAAGAUACAAUUCUCUAAGCUCUAGUUGAAUAAGAGCGACAGAAGAGAUGAAGUUGCAAGUGGAAUCUUUUAACAGACUUCAUUCUCUCUCUGUCUCUUGAUAGCAUUAAAGAACAAUUAACACUCUAAAAAAACAAUAGAAGAGAAAGAUAUUUAAAAUGAAGAAUGGAAAAGUCAACUAGGAGUGGAGUAUGUGUACUUUGAAUUGGGCAGGAGCUGGUUUUCCCCCUUUGUAAAUACUUUGCUUUUGUUUAAGAUCACAUGGGUUGUCAUCUACUAUUGGAAUUUACUCUAUCAUUAGUAGUAAUUAGCUCACACUUUUAUUCAUUUUGUAUCCCGCUUAUAAGCAUUUUCUUGACCAGUGCAAGGAGAGGAAGAAUUUAUUUACCACAAGAUGAACUUGCAGAAGCAGGGCUUACUGAUUCUGACAUAUGUGCUGGAAAGGUCACAGACAAGUAGAGGAGUUUCAUGAAGAAUCAAAUUAAGAGGGCAAGGAUGUUCUUCGCCGAGGCAGAGAAUGGUGUGACAAAGUUGAGUGAAGCCAGCAGAUGGCCGAUAAGCCUCACAUGUUUUAGAACCUAUGUUGUAGGUACACGGUGGUAAGUUACCUGUAGGCCAGGUUCCAUAUCAAGUUGCUGUAUAAAGUACCUGUGCAAUAGGUACUGUCAGAGGGUACCUGUGCCCCAGGUACACUGUUAGAUGUUACCUGUGGUGUUAGAGUUAUGCUGAUAGAGAUGCAAUUAGCAUGGCUAAAACGACAAAAAUAUGACUUUUAUGUACUAUCCAUAGCUGUUGGACUCCGAUAACAUGUCCCAAACCUAAAAUCAUAUUCUGUAAAAUGUAAAAGCCUACACCCUAUUUCUUAUUCUCGAAUUGGGUUGUGACAAAAUUAGAGAAUCACUCCAGAAAUGUUUACCCAUAAACCCACCAUUGGAAAAAACUGGGGGAAAUCACUCCGACCAGGCGAUCCACCAAGUCAAGAAGAUUCUUACAGAAAAAGUAAUCACAAGCUCAAACAAUCAUAAAUCUAUUUAGGAAAUGAGGACUACCUCCCUGUGCAACCUUAUUUUCCAAACUUAGUUGAGCAAGUAGCUUGUCCUUCGUGGAAAUGACAGCUAGUCCAUCAGCUUUUUCACCCCAUGGCACCGCAACUCAGCUUCGGAUAGUCAUCCAUGAACGAAAUAUAGAUUCUAGAAUGAAAUAGUCAAUUUCUUCAAGAAAUCAUCCUCUUGAAGAAAUCAACAGAGAAUUUGAUCUACCUAGGAUGAUAAAGUGUUUAAACUAAACCCUAGAUGCAUAUUUCAAAAAACCACAAUAGAUUUCAAAAACCAAUUUUCAAAAUCUCAAAAUGAAAAUCCAAACCUACCAAGUAGAGAAUGCAAAGUAAAAGUUUUACUCUGAAAAAUUCUCAAUGGAUGAAGUGGAUUUCAAAAAUAGAAGCAGAUUUCAAAAGCUAUUUGUAAACCUCAUUUCCAGAAGCCAUGAUCAUUCUCAGACAAACCAAAGAGAAAACUAAGUUUUCCAAAAUUGUGUAAAUGAAAGAGAUGAGAGAUUAAUACUUUGAUAUGCAAAGAUAUGGUAAGAUUUUCUCAAAAACAAGUAGCUUUCAAAAUGAAAGCUUGAAAACCCAUUCCUAUGCCAUGAACACUCUCAGACAAACCAAAGAGAAAUCCAAGUUUUUCAAAAUGGUGAAAAUGAAAGAGAUGAGAGAUGAAAACGUUGUAUCACUAACAAAAGUUUGAGAAAUGAAAUUUCAAUGAAAGUCCAAAAGGAAUUCAAGAACCCAUGAACUCUUCUUCCAAAAAUCAAAACCUAAUUUAUGCACCAUCUCUCACUAAAACUCUCUCUCUCUCUCUCUCUCUCUCUCUCUCUCUCUCUCUCUAAAACCCAUUUGAAAAAUGUAAAUAAGAGAGUUGAUGAGUCCAGACCAGCCCCAGCCAUUUUGGUAGGUCAAAAAGACACUUGACAGUCAAUGAUUAGACUUAUAACAAGCAAAAUCAAGUGCCUUGGUUGAAAAUCCCGUGCUGGAAAUAUUGGCCCAUAUGACUAGUCAUCUCGACAAAAUAUAUGGAUGCAAAUGCUGAUUUUCCUAAUGAUGUCCAUUGUAAAUGAAUGCACAAAUUAUCUUGGUUUUGUAGGCUCAUAAGCUCUUCAAUGUACUUCAACUUUGUAGCAAAUACCCAAUGCCUAAUUUCUAAAGAUGAGCUAAGAGGAAUUAUGACAGGACCCGACCCAAAUUCCACUUUGGAAUCUGAGCCAAACUCUGUGCGUGUCCGACACCUGAUAGGUGUGGAGCACACUUGACCAAAUUUCCCUUCUAAAGAAAUCCAAAGCUUCUUUAGGGUUUGACUUCUGCUGAAAAUUCGGCAGUCUCCCUUAUAAAUUGCUCAAUUCCCAAACUUUUUCAACUGUACAACAAGCAAUAUAAAUAUCCACAACCGUUCAGCAUGCACAAUAAUCGAAUUCAUGCAACCACACAUCAAAUCUUUAUGGCCUCAAGCCUCUUUAAAUCAAAUAAAUCGUUCUGCCAACUGAAAUUGAUCCCAACUUUUGGAACAACAAGAAUACGUUAACGUAUUUCAAAAUAACUUAACUGAUCAGCUUUUCAAUCACUUGGUCUCACGACUGCACCUAGUAACUCUAGGUUGCCUACGUACCCUUAACAAGGGAUCAAGCCACACGUAGUUCUUUCUCUUUGUUUUAUUGAUAAGUUAUGUAUUCAACUUUUAUGUUUACCACCUGUUUUGCAAAAUCAAAUAUGAAAAGAAAAUAAAAAGGAAAAGAAAAUAAUGAGAGGAUAAUAACUUUUAAAUUGGAAAAGAAAUACAAGGAGAACACAACGGUUAUAUAAAAUCAAGUAACGACAUGGUAAAAUAAAACUUCACUUAAGAAAAUAAUCGUGAAUUAUACAAAAUCCUUAAAACUUAGAAAACUCUUAAUCCUUGUCUCUUAAGUAGGAAAACAUAUAUUAAAACCUUCGCCCAUAAUUACCAAGAUAAAAUCCUCAAUUUUUUAGUUUAAAACAUCUUAAACUUAAAUACUCUCCACCUAGGCGUACCCCCAUUCAUAUUCCAUCAAUUCCUAGUAUCCUGUUUGUUACAUCCUUGCAGGCCUCGAAAACACAAAGUUAACCCAAGCCGCAUUCCUCGCAAGACUCAGGGGACCCUUAGUCAACUUGAGCUGCAUUCCUUGCAGAACUCGGGGUACAUGUUGUCGGCCCAAGAAUGCAUAUCCUCGCACCACACAGUUUAGGCGCCCCCGAAACUCGUGGGGCAUUAUCAUAAAGGACAAAACUGUUCAAGGCAACUGGGGGGGGGGGGGAGGGGGGGGGAGUACUUUUGUGGUGGGUUUGAAAACCAUAUUAUGAAACUUAUUAUAAACUUUCUCUUAUUCCACAAAUCAAUUUUCCAACUCUUAUAUCAACUUUCCAAAAAAAAAAAGGGAAAUAUGCUGAUAUAAUCAGUUUUCAUAAGUGGUGUUCUGAAAUGAUCAGGUUACAAAUUCAACAUGUCUUAUGACGUGUCAUUUUCCCUUUAUAUGAAUGCUAAAGUGGCACAUAUGUCCUUCUUCUGCAGGUGGUCCUUCCAGCUUCAUACCCAUAUUCACAUCUCAGAUUAUGUACACGUAUGUGAAAGAAGUUGCAGGCUGUUUUGUCGUAUUGUGAAUCUUGAAACUGAAUAUGAGUUUUUGCAUAACAUGGCACCAUUUUUGACAUUUUGCUCACCACGCGAUAAAGUGUGGUGAUUUUGUAGUAGGUUGCAGGGUGUUCAUUUCUGUAACGGAAUUCAACUGUACUUGUCUUCCAUAGUAGAAGGGCUGUACUCACUUUCCUUUGUUAGAACUAAUUCUUGACAUUCUGUGCUUAACACAGAUUGUAAAUCCAUCAUUUGGCACAAGUUGCAGCGAAAUGCAAUUUUUUGGGGCCACCCACAUUGUAGCCUUUUUCCAUUAUUUUAUCGCCACUAUAGCGAAAUAUUCGACUCUCAUUUGGCAAUAUUUGUGGUUGAGAUAUUUUCGUGACAGUUGAAAGUAUAGAUUGGGUGGCUAUGUCAUGGGACUUGCUUCGUGAGACGACAGUGCAUUGUCGACUGUUUAGUUUAGUUUAGUUAGGUUGAAUACUUAGUUUUGUAUAUGCAUUUUUUAAAUCCGAUCCGGACGGAAAUGUCGGGGUUGGUUAGCACAAACAAUAUCAUUAACGCUCGGCUGGGCCAAUUACAAGCUCAAAUAUUCUAUUGUUUGACGUCAUUGAGUUGUAGUUUUGGGAGGUCCCUCACCGUCAAAUAUUUAGUUCUUUCUCAUGUUUUACGUGGAAGAAUUGGUCUAACGAUUGAGGCUCCAUAAGAGUUGAUACCAAAAUACCAGAGCCUGGGGUUAUUGGCUAUGCCUUUUGUGUUAGCCUUUGAAAACCAAGAUGAAAUAGAAAACGACCAUGUCUGCCAUCACUGAUUUAUAAUAAAUCAAACCUGUUCCAUUACAUCCAUAACCUAACCAACUUUAACCUGCCAACUGUAGAUGAACAAACCUCCUAUUACAUUUGGAAUACAACAAAUAAAGGACCAUUCCAACCAUGAAAACAGAGACCCAAAACCAUGGGUUUUUCAUCUUCCCUUUUCCAGCGUUUUGUUCUUCUUCCAAGCGGUUUAUUUUCCUAAGCAAGCCUGGAAUUAUGUGCUUCGAUCUGUCACACAUCUCUGGGUCAGCCCAUUCCCAAAAUGUACAUCCAUUCCUCUGCAUAAACGGAAUCAAUGUUUUCAAACAAAGACGGCCAGCAUCAGAUUUGGAAUACAGACAAUUUCCAAAUGUCAGCUCAAACUUACACAUAAAUAAACUUACCCUUGCACAUACUUGAAACCUCCUUCCAGGAUGAGAAACCGUCCACGAUGUAUGCGUUUUGACAACGUUCCCACAGUAGCACAGCCGUGAACACACUGAACUCGCGGCUUCCAUUUCCCAGCGAGAUCUUGAAGUCGCCUCUUGACCGGGCAACCGAGACGUCACUGACUCACCCUCACCGGUACGAAGGCUCCUCCUACUCAUCUUCUUGUUUUGGAGGGUAUGAAUUGUUGUUCACGUUGUGCGAUAUUUAGGGUGCUGAAGAGGGUCAUCGUGUAUUCAAAGGGUUACACUUGCAUGUGCACAAUGUUUCAGGAACAUGGUGUGAGUGCACAAACAUGAAACCUGGAGUUAAUGGGGUGUUUUUAAAAAAAAAAAAUUCCAAUAUUUACCAUUGCCAACAGUAAGUAUAGAUUGGAAUGUUAUUCAUAGCCUUAGUUUAUGACAGAUACGGCAUGGUAUACACUUGCAAAUACAGUAGAUGCCAUUCUUCGUUGUCUGUAUAUUGGUUUAUUAAUGACGUAUUGAUAGUAUAGUGGCACUAUAUUGGUAUCCUAUUGUAACUUUAUUGUAUUGCUAUUGCUUUGUAUUGGUUUUAUAAUGCCCGAUAUUGGACUUAUAUUGGCAUUCCAAUGUAACCUCUACAUUGUUUGCAAUUGGUACAGCUAUUAGAACUUUUUUUAUACUAUCUUACGUAUUGGUUUUGCAAUGUCAUUUAACAAGUCUACAAAUCUGAACUAUGUGGAAGGUAAUUACGUUAUAUCGAAUAUGAAAUGAAUGCAGCCAAACUACAUCAAUUGCAGUUUUCAAAGUUCCUGCAUACAACACAAAAGAAAGGCACCUGAAACGUACAUAUAAUACAAAGGCCACCUCAACCUGGCAGCAUACAAAAUAAAAUAACAAGCCAGGUGAAACUUACAGAAGACAAAAUUUACAAAGAGGUCACCUCAAACUUACAUAAUACAAUCUUAACAAAGACAGCACCUGCAGCUUACAUUAUACAUAUGUACCAAAGAGGCCCCCUCAAACUUACAAAAAACAAAAGAAAUAAAUAAAAAGGGCACCUCAUACGUAUAUAUUACAAAAAGAGGGCACGUCAAAAAUUUCACUGUACUGGGUUUGUCCCCAAUAGUAGCCAUGGUAAUAUUACAAGGCAAACCUUCUGGCUGUGGCCGAAUUUCGAGUUGCAUACUCGUCAAAUGCGGCGACCGCGACCCAUUAAGUUCAUGACCCCUCCCACAGUGAUGUCCCACUUUCCUUCUGCAUCCACAAUUUGUGCAAACUUCCUAAAUAGUUCGAAGCCGGAUUCCAGUUGUUGUUGCUUCAGCUGAGCCAUUUCGUCUGAUUCUUUGAAUACAAUAAUUGCACUGGCAGGGGCAUUUUCAAUUCUAGCUCUGACAGCCUUCAUAUGUAGGAGAUGCAUCCGGGCUUGAUAACGCGCCCGAAUUGUGCGCUUUUUUAUGACACCCCACCUAGCUUGGCCCUCUUUAAUUUUGAUAACUAUGUCUGCAUGGAUAUUUUUCUAGAACAUGGUAUUGGCUCGACAUUGCUGCAGUCCAUGGACCCAGUCUUCAGUGUCUUCUGUUGCUGCUUUGGCAGGUGUUUCGGUGUCCCCUCCUUCAGUAAUGGCAAGGGUUGGGUUUGGUGUGGGGUUGGGGUCCAUGGGUGUUGGGUAUUUACUGUGGGUUGAUGUGGCCAUUAGUUUGCCCAAACUGCCAUUCAUUGUGAUGUAGGUGAAAUAGCUGCGCAGGCAGGGGGGUUUGACGGAGUAAGUGUGAUGGAAAUGUUGGGUGGAUGCAGCUGGGUUACAAUUAAAUAGUGGAAGGUAUUAAUGACCAGGAGUAAAUGACUGUGAUGAAGUGGCGGGAGUUAUUGGCGGCAGUUGUUGGGUCCAAUUUUAGGCGGGAGUUAUUGGCGGGAGUUGUUGGGCAACACGUUUGACUUGGGCUGUGCGUAAUUGCGUAUAUAACUAUUCUUUACCAUUGGUUGGUGGUUGUUGUAUGGGACCCUUGUUGAAUUUACAAUUUAUUCCUUUUGUCCUCUUUCCCAAUUUCCCUCCUGUACCAAAACUACAAAUUGUCCCAAAUGUAUGAGUAUGGUAAUUUGACAAUGUAUGGGCCAAUUACAAAAAUGGACCAUGAAAGUAUUUGUGUUUCCAAUUUCCUUUUUGCUGUCUUCCAAAUUCCUUGAUAUGAGUUCCAUUUUUGUAUAUAACGGUGAAUUCCUAACUCUGAUUUUUUACCAUUUGCAAAUCUUUGUAGGUGUAUUCAUCCCACAUGACGUUUUAUUCGCCUUGAAAUUUUGGUUGGGACUGUAUAUGACUGUUUUGGUGGUAUUAUUUUUUUUUUAGAUGGACUUGCCUAUUGUCGUCAUUUGUAGGGAAUACUUUGUAAUUUAUGAACAAGUGUGUACAGUUGGUAAAAUCAGAAUUAGGGAACUUGCUACUAAGCUAUUAUUCAUAUGGCAGCACCUUCAAUAUUAAUAUAGUAUAGAAUUGUGAUGAAGAUUUUGUGUAAUUUGUGUAGUCACUGUUGUUCAGGUGUGUAUAUUGCUACGGCCGAUUAUUCCAACGUUGACAUACAUUUAUUCGUAUUUGGUCCGGCUGUAAUGGGCAUAUUACAAUGCUGUCACUGACAGAGAGGAGUAAUGAGUGAAGACUGAUUUUGUAAUGUAGUCAUUGAAAGCAAUAUAAAACACACAACUUCCUCUAUAUAAGAGGGUCUAACCUACUCAUUCAAUUCCAUAUAUAUCAGAGACGAAAGCUGUACUAAAGCUCACCCUAUUGUUGGUAACGAAAAGAAAGCUCCAGAUUCAACCUAACGUUAACUAUUUUUCAGGGUGCAUGUGUGCAUUAUCCCCAUUUGAAGUUGAAGAUGUCAGACGUAAUCCCUCCAAACGAGGUUGUUAGUUACCCAGGAGACCAGCCAUGGCAUGUCCCUUUCCCAUCUCCACCUGGGACUCCAAAUAACGAUCCGACGUCAUCCGAAAGUGAGGCUGACAACAAUGAUCCGCUAAAGAAAAUAGCUGAAGUGAAGCAUCACCUCCAAUAUUUGUGUACGGCAACGGAUUGGUGGGAAACCAAAUGCGAUAUUCAUGGCUAGGUGAUGGGCAACUUGACGAACAAGCUGAACAAAGCAUUUGCUAGAGAAGUUAAGCAAACAAUGAAAGCACAAACUCGAAGCGCGAAGUUAGCCUCGUUGACGUUACAAUUGGAAGAAACAAAGAAAGACGCUGUCCACAAAUUCACUGAAUCUGAAGAAUUUAACCAUGAACUGGUUGAAUGUUUUAACAAUGGGUUCGAGAUGUUCCGGGAUUAUGCUUCCGUCAUGUCACCAGACUACAAUUGGAGCGAAAUAGAUGUUGGUGGUGUCUGGCAGGUGCUGAAUAGGGUUGGCCAGGGAAUGGCUGAUCAUAGCCUUGUGCAUGCAGCGAGGAAGAAGACCAAAGAAUUGGAUAUAUUCAUGGACCUGUAAACAUGGUGAUUUUGUGGAAGGGUUUCUGUAGCUGGGUCAGGGUAAGUACGGGUGGAAUCAUUUUGUAUGUAUUUGGUGGCUUUUGUAUGAAUGUGGUGCCUUGUUUACGCCUUCCUCUUAUUCUCACCGUUGAGUGGGAAAUUACUUAGUUUGUAUAAAUUUGAAGUGCUGUAACGUGGAGGUGUGCUUAUUAAACGUUUAUUGGCCUCAUAUUAGAAGCAUUAAGCAUGUAUAUUGUGUUUGUAUUGUAUAUUUAUUGACUCAUAUUGCAAUCGUAUUGUGCUUAUAGUAUGGUUUUAUUGCUGCUUUAUGGAUAUACAUCUCAUAUUAUAGCCUCUACAUCUGAGUAAUGAUAAACAAUGACUCUAGCAACGGUCGUAUAUAUGGAGGGUUUCGGACAGAUCGAUGGUUCUGACGCGCGGAAUAUCCAUGGAAAUAUGGGACAUAUAUCGAUUCCAAUAACAAUUGGAUACAAACCACGGACACUGUAAAUACAUGAAAUUUUUUACUAACAAGACAAAUAAAGUUAUGAAAGCAAUAAUUAAAUAGGAACAAAAAAAAGGAUUAUCGACAUUUAAGUAAUGAAGUAACAAUUUGAAGGGAUAGGUGGUAAUAUUCAGUACUUAUUAAGUUCAGUAGUUAUUCAUUUCAGUACUUAUAAUGAACAUUGGAAGUAAAUAAGCAGUAACAUGAAAUGGAUGAAAUAGGAAAGAAAUAAAUGACAUUAAGUAAUGAAUUUUGUGAGCAACAAUAUAGAACACUAAUAAAUGACUUUGUUAUUUUGCAAAACAGGUUGGAUUGGAAGACUUAUAAAUACCAGAGUCCAUAGGCACUAAUCACACACCGAUGGGGUGUGCGUGUGUAGCUCAGAACCUAGAAGAAGGGAAGGGUUUCUUCCUCUGUGUGUGUGACUUGAAGUGAAUAAUUAACUAUUUAAAAAGUCCAUAUCACGAUAGUAGCGAUGUGUUCACCAUGUGUAGCUGCAUGGAUAGUUUCCCAAAAACUAUAUAUAGUUUGGUCUAUGGCAAUCAGAACAAUGAGAAAUCAUUAAGUACAACGACGCUCCCAGUAAUUGCGUAACAUUUGCAUUUGAAGGAGUUUUAUGUACGAGAUGCAAUUUUAGUUAGCCUUCUAGGCCCUUUCAUUUUGGACACAAACCGUUUUCAUUACACUACCAAUAGGCGUGCAACAAAGUUACAAUACAAUACCAAUACGGUGGCAACAAAGUUACAAUACAAUACCAAUACGGUGGCAACAAAGUUACAACAGCAUGACAAUAGUGUGAAUAUAAAGACAGGAAUACAUAACGUGUGUAGGAAAGGAAACCAAGUGAUGCCAACGUGACUACAAUCACAUUUCACAACACCAAAUCGAAUACAAUUUAAAUGAAAAUAAAAGGUACAUCAGAAACGAAUAGAAAUGCUAAUCUGUAAGACACAUUGGCCAGUGGAACACUGUUAAAUAACAGCUGGUUUCCUUUUCACAGGUGGAACUGUAUGUUCACCAAUUUGUACUAAUAAUAGGCUCUCAUUGCAAGGAACUUGUUACCUUGUUCCAUAUUCUUCACAUGACCAUUUAGUUGACGGACUUCCAUCCCUGCAGCACCACCGAACCUAUUCAUGAACUUCACAGUUGAUGACAACUGAGGUACAAACUGAACAACUGUAAAAUCUGCGCAAAUUGACACUUCAGUUCUUGAGAGGGACAGAUUGUUUGCAUGUAUUUCGGUAGUGGCCCUUCACACCACACCUUGAGCAUUAUUUUUGCCGGGAGUCCUCUCCUUUGGAAGGUAUUCUUUGCAUUUUGCGACGGCCCAGCAUAACCUUACAAACAAGAGGAAGGAUUUUGACAUUGUUCAAAUGUUCGGGAAUAACCCAUGUGCCUUUAGGUGGAACAGAAUAAAUAGAUUCAGCAUAUGCAGCUGCCCAUGUAGCUCGUGUAUAAUAAGAAGACGCAAAGGAGUAGGGGUUCAAUUUCAAGUGCCGACAUACCGCAAUAGCAUGCUUGCACGGGAGUUGCUCCAAGUCAAACUUCCUGCACGUACAACUACGGUUUGCCAAGUGCACCAGACCAUUCAAAUCACCAUCCAGAACAUUAUACUCGACAUCAUUGAUUUUGACCACAUUCAUCCUUGACGCAGCAUCUAACCUCUUCCUUAACUUCUGUUCACCCAAAUCAGGGCACAAUGUAGAAUGACAUUUCAUUGCUAAAUCUCGACGUUGAUUAAACCAAGUGAGAAGUAGAUUUGUGAUUUCAUCGAUCAAGUGUAGCACCGGAAGCAUCCUUGCAAAACGAAGAACUGAAUUAAUGGACUCCACAAUAUUCGUUGUCAUCACAUUAUAUCGUCGUCCAUCACAGUGGGCCCGAGACCACUUCUGGAUGCCUGCACGUAGUAGAUAAGUUCGCACUCGCUCAUUGUUUAUCAUCGAGAAGUGACGAUUGAACUCCGCUAGACGAUAAGACUUCGCUGCCCUUACAAAAUACCCCAAUAUCGGAUCCCGUUGCUUCAAGUGAAAUGAGGCUUUCAUAUUGCCCUUCAAGUGAUAAAAGCAAAUCCAUGGCUUGCCCCAGGAAAAACUCUACGCAACCCAUGUUGUAUGCUAACAUUGCGAUCAGAUAUGACAACAAGAUUCGAGCAAUCACCAAUUGCACAAUGUAAUUUUCUCAAAAACCACUCCCAUGCUGCAUCCGUCUCCAAAUCUCCAAUCCCAAAGGCAACAGGAUAUAUGUUGCGAUUUCCGUCAAAUGCGGUCGCAACAAACAAAACACCUUUAUACUUGCACUUCAAAUGGGUAGCAUCAACAGCAAUCACGGGCCGCAUUGACGACUUAAAUCCUCGUAUGCAUGCACCAAUUGACAUAAAAAAUAUAAGAAGUGGUCGGCUGCAUCAGUCUGAAUGUAUGUCAAAGUUCCCGGAUUUGUACGCUCCAAUUCAUAACAAUAGGAAGGGAGAAGGGAAUACGACUCUUCUGCAGACCCUCUCAUUGUUUUGAAAGCUAACUCUCGGCUUCUCCAAGCUGUAGAGUAGCUUAUGCUGACACCAAAUUUUUUUUUUCACAUCUGUCUUUAUAUCAGCUGCAGUAUAAAUGCUGCGCGAAUCCUGAAAUCUCCAUUUAACACAGUCAGACACCAAUUCGGCCGUAGCUUGAGGAUGGUGACUACUUACAAACCUCAGAUCACAUUCAUGAAGUGGAUCGUAUUUAACAACCUUAAACUCAUGUAAUCCAACUUUAUAUGCCCGAACUUUCCAAGGGCAAGGCACCUGCCAACAGCGAACACACAACCGACGCUUCCCAGAUUGGACUGUUCUGAACCAAAAGUGGCCUCUAAUUGCUGCUAAACUGAUGGUUUUUAAAAGAGCAAUCUUAUUUGGAUAAACUCGGCCAACCUUCAAAUUUGCUUCCCAAUUUAUGCACGAAAGGCCUCCACCAUAACCAAUAUAUUCCACACUCUCACCAUGCUUCGAAUCAACUCGAAUUGUAUGCAUUUCACUCGAACUUGAUUGCCGGGGAGGUUCAGAUUGCACCUGUCUACACUGCAUAGUGGAGGGUUCCACAUUGCUGUCCUCAUGAGGAUGCACAAUUGGUGCAGAGUACGGUUCCUCCUCAUUGCUAGGUUGAUACAAAUCAACAACUAUGUUUUCACCGCUUUCAAAAUGAACUUCUUGAACCCAAUCACUCCAAUUAAAACCAUUCCCACCAUUUUCAGUUUCAUUGUCCGAAAUUACCACAUUUCUUCGUUCCACAACAAAGGUAGCAGGAGCAUUGCUACUCUCAACGCUUACAAUGCCAUUGCACCCUUCAAUACCAUGACCUUCGAUAUUUUUCAAGCUUGCUACUAAAGGGGUUACUUUAGAGGCCAUAACAUCUGUGUUGUACUUGAGAAAAUAUUGAACAUCAUCAUUGUCUUCAACCCUUAUGUGCUUACUGACAGAUGCGGAUACAGGAACUGAAUACUUCAAUGUGACACUAUAUUUCGUGGGCUCUGCAUCCAUGAUCUUAUAAAUGCGAUGAACAAGGUCAGAAAACGUUACGUUCCGUGACACUAUUAUGCCUUUAGCCUCCCCACCUUCAUAACUCUCAAUGUUAUCCUUCUUAACCCAACUUCCAUUGUAGCAUACCAAAAUUCCAACUGUAUCCAUUUCUGCAAAUAACAUAAAUAAUGACUACACCGAUUCAUAACAAUUAAACAGAAAAAAUUGAUGAAUAAAAACAUACACAACAAUCAUUCCACUACACAUAUCAUCUUCUAAAUCCUCAAAUCUUCAAACUCAAAUUUUAGCUGCUUCAACAAGGAACUUUUAUUCCUUUUUGUUUUUUCUCUGAUUUUGUACAUAUCUGUGGGUUCCAAGUUAUUAACAAACUAACAUACACAUACAAUGGCAGAAAUAUGAACCCUCUAACCCUCCAAGGCUUUUGCACAAAUGUAAACACCUUCAACAAAAGGAUCAGGUUGUGAUAGAAAACGUAUAAUGUAGUACAAGCUCAAUUACCAAAUUCGAAACCAAAACACACAAACUAUACUUCUUACCAAAACAAACCCAUAAUGCCAAUAAAUUCCCCACAUUAGCAUCUAAAUUGAGCCUAACACUAGCCGUAUUUACAAAUUUUUAGGCCAGACAAAGUUAACAUAUGAUUUUUCUGUGUGCUGUUAUUUUCACCAUUAUCAAACACAUUGCACUACUUUAUACACGCAUUCGGUCAAUUUUAAACAAAAUUCAAGUUCACCAGACAGAUCCCACUGCAGAUAAUAUCACAAACUAUGAAUUUUAACAUAUCAUAACUCCUUCAAACUGAAAAUUUAAGCUUUUAUGCCCUCUGUGGUGAAAAGGGGCUGAACGAUUUCAUAAUACACAUACACUACCAAACCAAUAUCACAACUCACAUCCAUUCACAACGAUGCCGGAAGUCGCCACUUUCGCUUCUCUGUGGACUCGCAGCAGUCACCUCGAUCUGGAGGUCAACAAUGGAGGCCGUGCCUUCCGGCUUCGCUGCGCCCAGACUAGGGUCCCAAAUUUGAGGACAUCUGGGUUAUGACGAUGGAUGGGUUGCGAACUGGAUUGCUCAGUGGCAACAUGUCUCGCAACCUGGAGUUCCCCUAAUUUUUGCCAACCUUCCAACAUAGAGGAGAGAGAGUUUUAGGAGUUCAGACAAGUUCCCUUUCAGAAAAGGGGUGGCAAAGGGUUGCUACAUCUGCUUUUAUAUGGAGGGCAGUUUGGUCAUUUCUUAUCCACAAGUGAUUAUAUCAGAACACAAUUUGUAACCUGAUCAUUUCAGAACACCACUUGUGAAAGGUGAUUAUAUCAGCAUAUUUCCCAAAAAAAAAUUCAGUUCCCAACUAUAUUUAAAUUGUACCACAUACUAUUAAGUACUAGCAUUCAUAAUUCAUCAACCUCAAGCCACUGAGUAUAUAUAUUAAAUAUAAGCAUAUAAUAAAAUAUUUAAUUAAUUUCUUGUAACAUCCCACAUCGACCAACGGAGAGGGGAUGAUGUGCCUUAUAUGUACAUGCCCACCUCUAUCUAGCAUGAAGCAUUUUGGGAGCUCAUUGGCUUCGGAGUCAUGGGAACUCCGAAGUUAACCGAGUUUGGGCUAGAACAAUCCCAGGAUGGGUGACCCACUGAGAAGUUGCUCGUGAGUUCCCAGAAACAAAACCGUCAGGGCAAGGGGGCCAAAGCGGACAAUAUCGUGCUACGGCGGAGCAGAUCCGGGAUGUGACAUUUCUUGUCCACACCAAAAUCCAGUUAAUAAGCCGUUCCCAACUUUACACAACCAAACAUAGUAUAAUACCUUUAGAAAAAAAAAGCGAUUAACUAAUCACCUAAUCCAGUAUUACCCAAUCAUAAAAUUUAAUAAUACUCACAAUAAUAAUAAAUAAAUGAAUGACAAGAUAAACUUCAAAUAUCAUAAUAAGACCCAAAAAUAUCUCAAAACAUUAACCUAAACUCACAAUCUAAACAUAAACAAAAUAGUUCAUAAACAAUCAAGCCUCGUUUACACGGUCGUUCUAGCACUUCUCGAAGGGUGAAACUACUUUGGAAGACUCACGGUCAACCGAGGGUCAAACUUUCUAAAUUGGGUCAACCGGGCCCGCAGGGCCCACGACCUCCGAUUUCUAAAACGAGAGUUCCUACUAGUUCAACAAGGUUUACUAUACUUGUCCGGCAAGUUUGGUCUGAAUCGAAUGAUCGGAUCACUCACGAUCGCACUAUCGGACGGUUAUCGUUUAUCUAUACUUUAAAUUAUUGAACCGGAGUAUCAAGGACUCCGAUUCUUGGCCUGCGAAUUCCUGUAUGAUCCUAGAAGUGCCUAGAUCAAUAUAUUUGAAAAUCAGAUCAAUCCAACGGUCCGAACAAAUCAAACCCGGAUAUCACCUAAUAUGCUAUAUCUAAUCGACAAUCAAACGGUAACCAAAAUGAAAUCCGAGCAUACCGUUGUGCUUGGGACGACAUGAGGAUCAUUUUAGGACCAAAGCGAUUCCGGAGAUAGGAAAAUCUCCAAACCGCCAGUCAAGACCUAAACCUACAUGAUCAGGACAAUGAAUGGAGCAACUUUGUUCUUGGACCAACUCCAAAAAGUGGACGGAGAUGGUCAAAAUCAAGGGCCGAAACUGGCCAAAACUUCAAUUGCUUAAUUGACAACCAAAACGCAGAAAUUGAUCCUAAAUGACCCAACCAGCAGCUAGAACACACUCAGAGGAUGAAAAAGCAUGCCUCUAUCGCAAAAUUUGGUAGCUAGCAACGUCCGAACAAGCUCCGAAAAAUCUGGGUAAAAAUCGGCCAAAAUCGAGCUCAUUCCGGCCACAGACGGUGGUGGCUGGGGUGGCUGUGGGGCGGGAUGAGUAGAGGGGAGCUAGCCGGUCAUUUUGGGACUAGCCCCAGCUUCGAUGGCAGCCGGAGGUGGCCACUACAACCACAAAACCAACCGGCAGACUGUUUGGGGGAGGGGGGUGUCGUGUGAAGGAGAAGACUGGGGAGAGAGAGAGAGAGAGAGAGAGAGAGAGAGAGAGAUUUCAUAUUUUUAAAAACCCUUUUGAGAAAAUUACGGUUAUGCCACUAGGCUUCUGUAGAUCAUAACUUCUUCAUUACAACUUCGAUUUGAGCCCACUACGUGUCUGUGGACUCAUCUCGACGUGCUCAACCCAACGGUGCCCCCAAAAUUCCCAAAUUCUUUCCCGAACAAAACGUCAACUUUUAACCCAUUAAAAUAUUCUCGGGGUAAAAUUGUCUUUUAUGUGAUUAUUUUAUUAAUUAAAUAUUAAUUUAGGAUCGGGUUAUUACAAAUUACAUAAAAGUGUACAUUUGGCAAGGAAAUCCAAUUCUAAGAAUCCUAAACCUAGCAUACUCAUGCCCCUUUUUUUGUAUGCCCUUUUGGUUUAUGAAUGAAAUCUUAUUCUCAUAAAUAAAUAAAUAAACUUUCAAAAGACAAAAGCCUCACUAAUAACUUGGUCCUCUCAUUCAAUUUUUUCCCACAAUUUCUCAAUUUCUCUUACUCCAUAUAAAAAUACAUCUUUCGCACAAAUAUACUAAAGGGCAAAGUAAUAUUAUUAUUUUGUUUAUAUUUUAAAAAUAUUUGAUCUCUUUUUUAUUCAUAAAAAUAAAUAAACUUAAAUGAAAUUAGUGUUUAUAUCGAAAUUUAACAUGCUCCUAUGGGUUUAUAUUUUCUCACAAUCCAUAAAUAAAUAAAAAAUACAUUUUUCUUCCAAAUAUUCAACCCCCAAAAUAAUAUUCUUAUUUGGUUACGUUUUUAAAUACUUAAUGUCUUAUUAUUUUCUCCAAAAAUUUCAAAAUUUCUCUUAUUCAUUCAUAAAAAAAAAUUACUAAACUUAAACAAUAAGUGAGCAUAUUCUGUAAGUAACGAAGUUUAUUGACAAACAUUAUAUGUAAUCUUAAUCACACAAUCCCACCAUGAAAGUAAGUUUUAUAAAUUUGUUUUGUUAAAUUAGUAGAUAAUUGAUUAAAUAAACAUGUGUCAAAGUUUCAUUCAAAAUUUCAAUAUUUUCCAAAUGAUUUCCAUGAAUUUUAUUACAUUUUUACCGAUAUUUCAGUUGAAAUUUACGAGUUUUGGACCCUCGAUAUUUCUGAAACGACUGAUAUUUAAUACUUUGGAUUGAACGAAUGGAAUGAAGGGCUAGGAUUAAAUCAUUUAGGGUUACAGCUGCAUUUUGAAUGGCUGAGAUUUGUACACUUCAGUGAGGUAGUUUUGCAUCAAAGGUCGUGAUUAAAACACCACAUAGCUUUCCUAUUCCAAUUGGAAUUAUAAGUUGCACUCCUUAGCCCAACUAGCUUGCAAUUAGAAAUCCAAAUCCAAUUUGUUUUCCUCUUCUUGUGAUAACUAACUCUCCUAAUUGCAUGACUGACUAAUGUAACUUGUAACCGACUCCAAAAAUGUCCGCCUAGGUCAUGUGAUCAGCCAUAUAGGCUUGCUUGAUCACUUGGAUGAUGACAAGGCACUUUGACAAAGAUUCAUCAAAGAUACUUCCAUAAUGAGUCUUUCUUCUUAUUCCAACUUCAAGAAUGCAGCAAGAACGUCUUUUUAAUCUUCAAGGCUCCAAGAGUAGGUUUCUUGAUCAUCAAGAUAGGUUCUUGAUACUUUCUAUGCACGCCACCUUCCAAGAUUCAAUCUUUAAUGCUUCUUUCACACGCACCGGCCUUCUUCUCACUUUAUUGAUUGCACCAAUGCCCUAAAUCGGCUCCAUUUUCACUUUUGUGCUCAAUUGACCUACAAAACACAAAAACAAAGUAAAUGAUAGAAAAAAGCAGGGAACUAUGCAUAAAAAGUAAGUAAGACUAGCUAAAAAGAUAGGAAAUUAUGAACUCGUCAUGGUAAUGACGUGGAAGUAACAAGGAAAUACUCCAGUUGGAAAUUUGAAAUAAAUAAUUUAUAAAAAAAAUAAGAAAAGUCUUUGUUGUUGGAUAAAAUUCUAAGUCUAAAUUGUUCUUAGGGACAAUUUGGUUAUAUAAAAAUUGCAUUUAAUGUUGGCCUUGGUUUCCCAUGGGAAGGGAAAAUAAAACUCAAUUUGAGUGGAAGGUUUCAUUUUCCCCUUUUUUUUCCCAUGUGCCAGGAAAUCAUUUCCUAUACCUUGACUUACCAAAUGAUUUCCAAAGAUUUACGCACCCUAAUCUUUUAAUUAAAUGAAAGAGUAAUUGAUCUUUGGGACACUACAUAAACUUUUUCGUCACCUGACCUAAACUUUUACGUUCUCUCUAAAAUUUUCAGUUUUCUCUCAAUUUCCCUCUCAUUUCCGAAAAGCUGCGUGUCUGAUUCUCACUUUCCCUCUCUUUUACAUUCUUCCUCGUCUUCGUCUCCAAAAUUUGAUAACGAAGAAAACUUUCUUUGCAAGCCAAAUGUAUUUUCUCACUCCAUUUUUUUUUUUUUUCAGUUUCCCUAUCAUUUGAAGUUUUUUUUUUUAAAGAACGAGUCCCACUUAUACGGAUGAAUUCUGCAGCAUGGUGAUAGCAGCACAUCAGAUCACUAAGGGAGUUGCCAUUGGGGUGGCAAAUUCCCUUACUGCUCUUUUAGCUUCAUCCGCCAUAGAUGGGGGUGUCGGAAAAAUCCAACGUACCUGAAAAUAAAAAUAAAAAUUCUAAUUAAACUCUGAAUUAAAAUAUAUUGAUAUUAAUAGAAAAUAAAACAGUCCCCGGCAACGGUGCCAAAAACUUGUUGUGAAAUUAUUGCAAGCGCACAAUCCGCACAAGUAAUAUAGAAAUAAGUAGAGUGUUGUUCCCACAAAGACUAUAAUUUUCUAUUAACUACCAAUUAUGAUUAAUUCAAAAUUUUAUUUGAACAGUUGAUUAAAAAGAUUGAUUGACUUAAGUAAACAAAAGCAAUUAUGAAAAAUAGCAAUUUAAUUAAUGAUGGAAAAUCAAGUUGAUGAGGCACUAGAGCAUCUGAUUUCACCAUAACCAAUUCCACUUAAUUCUUAUAGCCAAUUAACCAUAAUUACUACCCAUGCUGACAGUUGGUUUUUCCUAAUUCAUUUGAUAUCCCCUCUCGGGCUCAACCAAUAGUAUUCCUAAUUAACAACUCAUUCUCUCUCAAGCAAAGGAUUUAGAAAAUCAAGAACCUAUUAAGUUCUAUGAGAACCUGCAUGAGUCCAGUUAGUCCCUCUCGGACACUCAUUCAAGACAUGGUAUUUAUUACGAGAAGCAAACACCAAAUAUCUCCUCUCAGUCUCCGCUUUGAUCAUCAAAUCAAUUAAAUAUUGCCCAGGUAUUCAAAGCAUUAAGAACAGUAACAAAUACUCAACAUGGAAUAAUAAUCAAAAAUUAAAAUAACUAUAAAAAUUAAGUAUUCAUGGUUAGGCUACAUCGUAGCCCUAGCAAGGAAAAUUAGGUCAUGACAAAAGAAAAGUGAAACAAGAGAAUUGUUGUCAUAAAACCGAUUUGGCCGAUGGAUUUGAUCGCUGGAUUCUCCACAGAAACACCUUCGAAAGCUCCUAAAGUAGUGCAGCAGCAAAUUCUUGGCUCUAUAUUUCUUUGGGUGUACGAAAGUUGGUGGAAAAAUAUAGUGGAAAAGAUGAUCGUCCCUAGAGAGAGCUUAGGGUGACCUUAUAUAGUGUAAACAACUAACCCUACUCUAAAAAGGUAUGGAAAAACUCUCCUAAAGCAAAAUAAAAUUCCAAACAAUUAAGGGACCUCAAUUAGGAUUAUAAAGCGUUUAAAAAGAUUUUAAAAAUCUGGAUGUAUUCAAUUUGGAUGUAUUCAAACUUUAAAAGAGGUUUUACAAGUCUGGGUGUAUUCAGUUCGGACUUAUAUGAACUUUUAAAGAGUCCAUUCAAAUAUGGGUGUAUUCAAUUAGGAUUAUAAAAAAGUUGAAUCAAAUCUAGGUGUAUUCAAAAGGUCAUAUAUUUGGAAGGAUUUCAUUAAGUGAUAAAUUUUCGUAGGUUUAAAGGGGAGAGUUCUAAAUAACAAAUACCAAAAUAAAUCCAACCUCCCUCCCAAGUAUUUCAUCAGAUGUUUUUUUGUUGCCCUAGCUUUUCUCUCUGCGAAGACGAACAACUUCCUUCCUCCAUCUGUGAAGGUAUGCUCCCUAUUUUUUCUUUGAUAUACCUUGUUGGGUUUUCUUUUUCCAUUUUUUCUUCAUCGUGUUUUCCUUGUUAAUAGGUUUAUGCUUGUUACUAGGGUUUAUGCUUGUUACUACUUUUUCUUCUGAAAUAUCUAUAUAUGACUAGAUAGAAAAUUGAAAUAAUUGACAAGCUUUCUAUAAUCAAACAAAAAAACUGAGACAAAUAUAAAUGAACAUUAAAAAAAUGAAAAUCCAAAAAUUUUAACUUUUAAAUGCUGUUUUGGAAGCCUAAACGACCUCAAAAGCCUAAAAUCCACCAUAUGUCACGGCAAAGCCGUGAGUUUGACUCAUGGCAUCAUUCCCUUUUCAAAUCAUACACCCCAAUCAGAGUUCGGACGCCAAAUCUGCAAAUUCCUACUGUGUCCUUUUUCCAUUCAACAUAAGAUGUGUCAUGUUUAAUCUAUGGUUGAUGAUGUACAUUUUUUGUUUAUUUUUUAUGCUGUAUUUUGUGAUUGACAUGAUAAAAUUCAUAGCUGCACUCAAAUGGAGUCUGAAAAUACACAACAAGUAAAUGGAAAAGGGAAGAGCAAACAAGAUUAUAAUGCUUGGACUGUGGAAGAGAGUAGAAUGUUGUUGCAACUCAUGGUUGAUGCUACAAGCCAUGGAUGGCGUGAUGCUAAUGGAAUGCUAAGCAAGGCAACUGUAGAAACCAAACUACUCCCCAAGAUUAAUGAAAAACUUAGGUGUCACAAAACCUAUUCUCAAUACCAGAGUCGGCUGAAGUACUUUAAAAGAGAAUACCAGAAAUACUCACAGCUUCUCCGUCACAGCUUUGGGUUUGGGUGAGAUCCAACCACAAAGAAAUUCACUGCUCCUGAAGAAGUUUGGAAAGACUACUUUAAGGUUAGGUUAUUAAAUUUUCUUUAAAUAAUUUCGUUUGGUAACUUGAAUACAUAAUCUGUUAAAUAAUUAUUUUUUUAUUAUUGUUUUUGUUAUAGUCCCACUCAAAAGACACAAGUAUUCAAACAAAAACUUGUGAGGACUACGAGGAUCUGCAAAUUGUAAUUGGGAAUGCAACUGCUAUUGGAAGAAACUCAUUAGGAUUGGAUGAUGAUACUGAUGGAAGAACUUUUAGGGCGGAAGAUAGAUAUGUUGGAAUAGAGGACUUUGUCUUUGAUGAUGAAAGUCAGGAGGAUGAAGAAAUUUAUGAAACAAUUUAGAAUUUAUUAAUGGCGAUUCAAGUAGUAGCUUAUGCAUUGAAUGAGAUUAUGAUGCAUAGUGAAGAAAUUGAACAUCCAUUAACUCGGCGACCAAUUACUAUGAAGGGAUAUAAUUAUAUACAACAUGUAUUGAAUGACGAUCCAGAGCAUUUCCGAGAAAGGUAUAGAAUGUAUCCUGAUGUGUUUCAAAAGUUAUGCAGUAUUAUUAGAGAAAAAACACUCUUACAAGAUAUAAGAUUCAUUUGUGUAGAAGAAAUGGUUGCGACCUUUUUGCUUAUUGUGGGUCAAAAUAAUAGAUAUUGUCUAGUACGUAAUACAUUUGGCCAAUCGCACUUCACUGCUAGUAAAAAUUUUAACAAAGUUUUAAAGGCCUUGAACACAAUAGCACCGGAGAUGCUAGCCAAGCCUGGAUCCGCAGUACCGGCAAAAAUAAGGGAAAGUACAAGGUUUUACCCAUACUUUAAGGUAAAUGUGUUAUCUGGUGCAACUUGUUUUAUUCAAUUUUUUUAUGUUUAAUAAUAUCUUUUAAACUUUUGGGUUUAUUUCAGGAUUGUAUCGGAGCUAUUGACGGCACACAUAUUCCAGCAAUGGUAACGAGACGCAACGUAAGUAGCUAUCGUAAUCAUCACAGUACGAUAUCACAAAAUGUAUUAGCAGCUUGUAAGGGUGGGAGGGCUCAGCUCAUGAUUCAAGAGUACUACAAGAUGCUUUAACAAGGAGGAAUGGACUUAAAGUGCCACAAGGUAUUUUUAAAUUUUCAAAUUUUUCUUAUAGUUUACAUUAGCUCAUACAUUGGAUACUAACAUAUAUGUAAUCUAUUAUCAGGUAAAUUUUUCUUAGUGGAUUGUGGAUUUCCAAAUCGACGCCAAUUUUUGGCUCCAUUUCAAGGUGUUCGAUAUCAUCUCCAAGAGUUUGGUGGUCAAGGUCGUACACCUGCAAAUGAAGUUGAGUUGUUCAAUCUUCGUCAUUCGUCCUUGAGGAAUGUCAUUGAGAGGAUAUUUGGUAUAUUUAAGUCACGAUUUACAAUUUUCAAGUAUGCACCUCCAUUCCCAUAUGCGACACAAACAGAGAUAGUGUUAGAUCUGACGAAUUUCCUGUUGAAUUGGAGGACGAAUCUUCUUCAUCUUCAUCGUUACCAGCUAAUGAAAGGGAUCCUGAACUAGUUUUCCAAACACAAGAACAGCAACGAUGGAAUGCUAAUGAAUGGAGAGUUGGUAUAGCUUUGGAUAUAUGGAGAGAUGCUUGGUACAAUGACAACAAUGAGAAUCAAGGAUAAUGAAUGAACGUUAAAUAUUUUCUUAAACUUUUCUUUCAAAUUUGUAAUACAUUUGUCACUAUAUUUCUUAUGAAUUUUGCUUUUUGUUAGACAUAAUUUUAUUUCAUGUUGUUAAAGGAAAAGAUGUUAUGAAUUUGAUUUUUUAUUUCAUCUUUUUUAUAUACAUCAAUGUUACUAUAUACGUUGACAACAUUGAAAGUACUGUGCAAACAGGUACUAUGCAUACGAAAAGUACUAUGCAUAUUUGACACAGCAUUCAUGGUCAAAUAGGUACUGUGCAUACGAAAAGUACUGUGCAUAUUUGAAACAGCAUUCACGUCAAAUAGGUACUGUGGAUACAAAAAGUACUGUGCAUAUUUGACACAGCAUUCUUGGAUUAUUCUUUUCAUUUUGAACUGUGCAUAUGUUCUUCCAUCGCAAACAAGUACUUUUUGUUUUUGCUUUGGGUAACAAAAACAAAUUUGAUUGAAAAAUUUCAAGUUUCUUUCUUUAAAUGACAAGGAUGGGGAUAAAAUGAAAUAUACUGUCUACAUAAGUCUAGAAUAAAAGCCUAUCAAGUUCUAUGAAAGCUUAAGAAAGUUUAUUAAAAAAAUUAUACAGAAGUCUUCUAAAAGUCUAUCAAGUUCUAUACGAAUUAUAAAGUUCCAUCAAGUUCUAUGAAAGCUAGCACUUAAACAAAAUCUUUUUAAACGCUCUAGAAUCCUAAUGGAAUACACCCCCCUAAGAAAACAAACUAGGAAAGAAUCAUUCUUUGACUUGGAAACAUGUCAGCCAACUUGCAUGCAUGUUUUGGGAUCAUUCCACUUCCUAGAAAAUUCUGGAAAAAUAUGAGAAACGUAGCUUUAUGUCUAAGCUUUCCUAGAAUAUAUUACACGCCACUAGGAAAAAUACGAAAGGUCUUCAAAUCUUCAAUCUUCCACAACAGUGCAGUUCUGGCGGGAUUUUAACUUAAGCUAUCUUGACUUGCAAGUCUGGAGCAUUUGGCUUGGUAGAAAAUUAUGAAACUUUGACACAAUGAUCUUCAAUGUCUUAACUUUCUUUUCCAAUUAGCCUUAAUCUAAAAUUCAUUCGAAAAGUCAAUUUUGCAGUCGAAAUCCUUCCAAGAGUGCAGAAUAGCUGAAAAUAAGGAAAGUAAUGUAAUAAUGCUCUUUUUAAUUAACUUUCCCUAUAAAAAUCAAAUAUAAGAUGUAUAAAAAUAUAGGAAAUAAUGCACUUAUCACUUGAUCCCUCAGUAAGGGUACGUAGGGAGCCUGGGCUCUCACCCAAGUGCAGCCGCAAGAUAUACCAUAUUUUUGGACUUUAAUUUGGUUUGUGGUUGUGACGGGGCGGAAACCUGUUUUAGAUUGAUGAAUGAUUGUUGAAGUCUUUACAACUACUUAUGACUGUGCAUGCUGAGGUUUGGACAUUUUAAACUGCAUUUUAACAAGUUGAAAAUUUUGGUUAAGUCUGUUUUUUAGGGGAGACUCUGCCGAAAUUUCAACAGAAAGUCUCGACCGUCUCCUCCUUUGAUUUGGAAGAGAGAUUAGGAUGUUAACAAGUGGGCCCGGCAUCGGUUGGAUGUUGGAAAAACCACAGAAUUCGUCACAGAUUUCGAGGGAUUCGGGGCGGGUCCUGUCAUCUCCCCCUGAAAAGAAUGGGUCAUCGGAGCCAAGAAAUAAGCAAUAUUUUCAUACUUCAAGGUAAUGGGGAUACGUCAAUAAACAUAUCAUUUGCAAAGAGAAUUCAAGCACAAGUCACAAGAGAACCUGGCUCUGAUACCAAGUUAAACAAAGUUAGGCAAAUAUUCAGUUAUGCCCAUAUGUGUAUUCUUCUCCAAUGUAGAGGUAUUUAUGAAGAAGUAUAAAGAUGUGUUAACCCUAAAUAACAUAAAAAAUAGAACUAAAUUAUAAUAGAAAAUAAAUCUCAAUUAUAAUAAGACUAGCCAAAUAAAUAAGUAACCAAAUCAAAGUCCUAACUACAUAAGAAGUCGCCAACACUUCUCACUUCGAAGAGUUCUUUCCUAUAUACACGUUCAGGUGCUAUUGCACCAGUGCUCCUGACAAACUGAACAAAAAACACCAAAUAAUUCACAUGCACAUCAAGACAAAAGCACUCAAAAGCAGAAAGCUUAAAAUAAAGCCAAAAGGUGCACUCGUCAAGGGAAUCACAGAAAAUUUGAAAUAAAGCCAAAUUCCCUCAUAUCCAAAACAACCAACCUCUCUUCAAAGUAAAAUGGAUGAAAGAAAUAUAGAUUACAAGAGGAAGCCAAACUACAAUAAUAUCAUAGAAAAGGAAAACAACAAGCAUAUCAGCAUCAGAUAGGAAUUUGGAACCAGAGCCACUUCACUCUUGAGACACAGGCAUUCAUUUAAAUGGCACUGAAAAAAGAACUUGGACUGGGAGGGGUUGGGAUGUCCACGGUCCCUUCCAGCAUCAGCAGAACUUUCUUCAUAGAGGGACGGAGCGAUGGCUCAUCCUGGAUGCACCAAAGUCCCACUUUAAUCAUCCUUUCAAAUUGCCUUCUCUCUAUCUCUUCAUCACCCGCUAAUUUGCCAAGUUCACCCUUCUCAAAACAAUGGGAGGCCAAUUCAUCCAAAAUAGCCUCCUCCUCAGGAAGACUCCAAUCCACGUUCCUUCGACAACAUAUGAUCUCCAACAGCACAAUUCCGAAGCUGUAAACAUCUGCUUUAACCGUUAUCGGCAUUUUCCUAUGCCACUCCGGUGCAACGUACCCCUUGGUUCCUCUGAUUCCAGUAGUGGUUCUAGUUUGGUCUGCCUUAAGCAGCUUUGCCAAUCCAAAGUCGGAGAUUUUCGGGCACAUGAACUCAUCUAGUAGUAUAUUUUGAGGCUUUAUGUCACAAUGGAUGAUCUGUGUAUCACACUCUUCAUGGAGAUAAAGAAACCCCCGCGCUAUGUUACGAGCAAUGCCCAUUCUUUCUUCCCAAAAUGGUUGCCUUUCACGGGUGAAGAGCACAUCUGCAAGUGAGCCGUUGCUCAUGUACUCAUACACCAAAAGCUUUUUAGCUCCGUCAAGGCAAUACCCAAGUAAACGGACUAGAUUCUUGUGAUGGGUUCUCCCAAUAACUCUGAUCUCAGUCUGAAAUUCUGUUUCCCCUUCAGCUGCAACUUUCUCUAGUCUUUUGACAGCAACUGGUUUUUGGCUACCCAAAAUCAGCCCUUUAUAAACUGUUGACGAGGCUCCUCUACCAAGCUCUUCCUUGAAAUUAUUAGUCAUCUUUUCUAGCUCUUCAUAAGCAUAUCGUCGCAGUGCCACACUCUCAUUCAAUUCAAGGUCACCAUUCACAGCUCUCAUUCUUUUAUAUGCCCAGACAUUGUGUUUCCACAACACAAUCACGGAAAUCACCAACAAAAUGGAUCCAAAAGCAGUAAAUGAAAGACCAAUAAUCAGGAUGUCAGUUCUACCUUUUUU
RNAcentral lists this long non-coding RNA (114607 nucleotides) under Prunus persica (peach). Its description in RNAcentral is "long non-coding RNA (PPER_LNC006175)". The stretch from base 79541 to 79647 matches the Rfam family "Plant small nucleolar RNA R71". The record is from RNAcentral. Lineage: Eukaryota; Viridiplantae; Streptophyta; Magnoliopsida; Rosales; Rosaceae.